RNAcentral lists this long non-coding RNA (137131 nucleotides) under Triticum aestivum (bread wheat). Its description in RNAcentral is "long non-coding RNA (TAES_LNC002194)". The stretch from base 4160 to 4294 matches the Rfam family "MIR1120/MIR1122 microRNA precursor family". Lineage: Eukaryota; Viridiplantae; Streptophyta; Magnoliopsida; Poales; Poaceae. The record is from RNAcentral.
UUACAGUGUAAAUUACACUAAAAGUUGCACACGAAUUACAAUGUAAUUUCCGUAAAUUUACAUAGUAAAUUACACUGAAUUUACACUAUAAUUUCCAUUGCACUUAAAUUACACAGUAAAAUGCACGGGAAUUCACAUAAACUAACAUUGUAAUUCUCUGAACUUACAGUGCAAGAACCUUGAAAUUACACUGUAAUAACCAUGAAAUUGCACUGUUAAAUGUCCCGCGAAAUAUAGUGGAACUGACACUGAAAUGCCCUAAAUUAACGUCACUGAGUGCUGCAACACAAUACUUCAAUCCUAAAUGUGCAGAGCACGUCAUACCUAUGUAUGCACUCCUAAAGUCUAGCAGCCAACUGAGCUAACUAAUCUAAUCAACCCUAAACAGCAGCCAAUCAAGGGAUUAACCUCAAACUGCAGCAACCCCUAACUUCCCAUGUAUCAUCCAUGGGUGGAUGAAUCUGAAACAAAGCAUGGUGCAACUCAAAGUAGAGGAGGGGGGAGGGCAGAGGUAGUGGGUGGGGCCUGAGAAGAAGUCACCGAAGAAGGAGGGAGGCUCCAUGGGGCCUCUGCGUGGUGUGAAGAAGGAUCUCCAUCUUCAUGGCGGCGUCCCAUUCCACGGAUGUGUGUGCCCCUCCUGCCGUCAUCGCCGUCCGCGCCAUGGCGACCUGCAAAAAAGGGAAGACAAGUGGCGUGAGGUAAGGAGGAGAGGGUGGGCGAAGAAGGAGGGGAGAGACCAACCUGUGCCGGAUCCGGCCACCUCUGGCCUCGCCGUUGCCGGUUGUGGCGGAUCCCGACGAAGUUUUGGGGAGGCGCCCGAACCCAAGUCGUGGGGGAGGGUGGAGCCUUUGAGCGUCGGAUCUAGAUGAUUAGAGCAUCUACAGUCGGGCACCUCAAGCCUGGCUCAUACACCCGGGUGGGCCACCCGGUCACGAUUUUUCGAUCUAGACGGGCUCCUUAAAUGGGCCUCGAACGCCUGGGCUGAUCGGCACCCCUCAUAUCCAGCCCAAAUAUGGGGCGCCCGGGCGUGCCCGCCACGUCGGACCCGUCAGCCCGACCCCAUCGAAAAUUGCGCCAAAUGCACCAAACCCUUUCUCCUCCUCCCGCCGCCCUCCAACUUUUCCCGCGCCCGAACCCUCGCCGUCCUCCACCCUUGCUCCCAAUCCUCACCACCGGUCCCGAUCCACCACCGCGACGAAGACGCAGUCUGCCUUGUCCGUCGGCCUCCCUUCGUCGGCUCCGACUUGCAAGGCGGAGGACGCCGCCCGGAAGUUGCGGCAACGCCUGCAGCGAGAGAGGGAGGCGGCGGCGGUGCAAGGAGGUUCGGACAUGGUGGACCACCAAGGGGUGGCGAUCAAAUGGGAACUCGAGAAGGCCAAGACAUUUGGCUACAUAGAGCUUGAGAAGGAGAGGUUGCAACUCUUACAGGACGUGGUGGAUGCGAUGAUCAUGUUGGCAGACGAAACCCUCUUGGAUGAGCAUGUGAAGAAGUGGCUUGCGGACAAGAAGAAGAAGAUUAAUGACCUGAUAUAAACAUGACCCAUACGGAUAUAACCACAAUUAUUGCGCGUAAAGAUAAUUAUCAGGUGAAUUCUAAUAGAAAUUAUAUGAAUUAUUAUUUUGUUAUCCGAAACAAAAAUACAACACAAUAUUUUAUAUGCAGGAUUAAAGAAGACAUGCACAAACCUCGGGUGAAGAUGCGAAGUUUAAUACAGAAGAUUUACACUUGAGCAUUAUCGAAUCAACAUGCAUUUGUUCGCUCGAUCGCUAAUCGCUCAACUGCUCGCUCGGCCGCUGCUGCUGGCUCGCUCGAUCGCUAAUCGCUCGACUGCUCGCUCGACCGCUGCUGCUGGCUCAAUCGGUCGCUGCUCGCUCCUUUGCUAGCCUUUUUUUCUCUUGCAAGCACUUGUCGAAAAAACCAUUGCUGUUUGAAAAAACUAAAAAGGGAAAAUUUGCAAAAUUAAAAAAAAAUCAAAAAAUUCAUGAAUUCAUAAUUGUACAUGAAUUUUCAAAAAAGUUGGCAAAUUUGAAAACAAAUAUCGAGUUUGAAAAAAGGUUCAUCAAAUUUGAAAAAAGUUCAUCCAAUUUGUAAAAAGUUCAUCGAAUUUGAAAAUAAGUUCAUUGAAUUUUGAAAAAAAUAUCAAAUUUAAAAAAGUUCACGAAAUUGAAACGAAAAAUGUUGAAUUAUUGGAAAAAAUUAAGAAGGAAAAUAAUAAAAACUAACAAAACCGUUCCAACAAAAAAACAAAAAAAAGGUACAAAGAAGAAAAGAAGGAAAAGCUAUAACAUACCACGUCAACAGCAGGUGGCCUAUUGGUUAGGUGGUGUGUGUUGAACCGGUCGAUUGCCGGUUUGAAUCAUGGUACUUAUCUCAAUGUUCUAACGCCCACACCGGAUAUGGACCGAACUGUCUCACGACGUUCUGCGCCCUGUACCGUUAACACGGUAUCGGACGCUGAGGGCGCCGUAUAGGUUUUGCGCCCAUGCAUGGCCUUGUGUGUUGCGCACCUGGGCCUAUAGUACAGAUGAGGCAGUUUGCCACCAGAUUGAUAUGAGAAGUUUAUUUUCAAAUCAGAUCGCGUGUGGGUCGGCCAAUUAGCAGGCCCGUCUUGACUUCCAAGAAAAUAGACGAAGCGUUCUUCACGCCGGCCUUUAAUAAAUAGUCAUCAUAUUCUAGGGUUUACGCGGGUUUUAUUGUAUUGUUUAGCCAUGCUACAAUUUCGCAUCUAUGAGACGUGUAGGACUACCGUUUUGUUAGAUCCAAAGUGGAACCCCAACUUUUGAUCUAGUUCAUGUACUUAAUUUUUCAUUCGCAAUUUCAGAUUGCAAUUCACCUUUGUUCUUGCCGGUUCUUUAGUUGCUUGCAGGAACUCAAACAUCGUCGUUCAGGUUGACCGUGCCUACGGCAAGGUCAAUAACCAUUGGAGAUUGGUUUAGCGAUUGUCGAGGCAUAUCGUCGGGUAUUGUAUAGCCGGAUCGUCAAGAUCAUAAUCCACCAAAUUGAUAGUUAUCCUCACUCUCAUCGAAACAUCGGGCCGCCGUCACAUAAGUGGUAUCAGUUUUCAGUUUCAUCGGUGAGAGAUUUACAGUUUUGUUAGAUUAGUUUAUUUUUCAUGUCCUAUAACCCAAAAAAAAGCCAAAAAAGAAAGAAAGAUUAGUUCAUCCUUUGCACCUAUCUUUUUAGCCUUUAGCAAUUUUUGCAUCUAGUACUUCCGUAGUUGAAUUUUUGGUUGCAUCAUCCUACAAAUAGUGCUGGUUUAGAUUUGUACGAGAAAAUUUUGUCUACUAGAUUGAACUUUUUUUUCUCCAUCAUAGUUUCCGCCGCAAGCUCGUCCAUAAUCUGAAAAAAAAAACUAUCAAAAUUGCAUUGGAUUCCUUUGUUUUGCGUGCAAUCCGAAAUCUCAUCUGUUACACGUCGUUGUUGUCCGCCCUGACGCGUACAGCAGCGCCGUGUUGCAUCAAACAUCAAUUCCACUCAUGUCUGUCCUCAAGCGCCAGUUUCUUGUUCGCCAUGGUGCUCCACUUUAUAGCCACGUAGGUUUGCUUUGUAUAGGCAGCAUCAUCAUAACUAGAUCGCGCGAGAGUGCUGAUCCCAACCGAUAAUAAUAAAGUGAAGAAGAAACAUUCAAUUACCCCAUGCAUCCCAUUGGUCCAUCACCGAAAGUCUAAAAUUAUGCUUAAUCACUCAAUAUAUCAUCACAUAUAUCCAUUGUUGUAAGCCAUGUAUUUUCAUACGUUUUAGCUCAAAACCAAACCAAACUGGUGAACAUGAUAAUAUGAUAUUUCAUCACAAAGCAUAAAGACCCGAUUCAUACCAUACGAUCCAGUCAUAAUGAUCGCCCAUGACAAUAAGUUCAUUACAAAGGAUAGAGUCUAAUAUACCAAAAGACCAGAUUGAUAGAGCAGUACACGAAACGUAUAUGGUUCGGCUAUGGCAUAACAUCAGACUACCUAUAUAUAUGGAUAGAGAGUUUGGUCUGACUGCCUUGUCGCGCGGCUCCUCCCUGCGUUGUAAACACAUGUUGAUCGACAUUAUGUGUUACACAAAGAAUCCAUAGUGUGCCAUACGAAAAUCAACACAGCAAGAAUACAGUUCUUUUUCUAACCCUUAUGCCUUAUGAAUAGUGUUAGUUAUCUGGCAAAUAAAUAGCUCCUAUUAUUACUACUCCCUCCGUCCGGGAAUACUUGUCACCAAAAUGAAUAAAAGGGGAUGUAUUUAGAUGUAUAUUAGUUCUAGAUACAUUCCUUUUUAUCUAUUUUGAUGACAAGUAUUUUCGGACGGAGGGAGUACUCGCAUAGUGAACAUGCUAAAUAAUCGUGUUAACAAAUGACAAUAGUUAAAAGUUGAUAAUGCAAAAGGAAUGUGUUAACAAAUGACAAAAGUUAAAAGUUGAUAAUGCAAAAGAAAACAUGAUUAUAACACCUUUAGAAUUAGUUUGGUAAUGUUCACUGCAGCAAGACACAAAAUUCAUGUAGUUCUUGGUAGGCAUAAGUUACCAGAGUCCGCAAACAUGAGUAAUCCAGUCAGCUAGCAAUCAGCCAAAUGUAGGGCUGCCAACCAAAUUUCUAACAUAAUCGUUUUACUAACAGGGAAGCGACAAUAUACUUUGCUGGAUAUCCAAAUAUGCUUUAGGAGUCAUCAGAAAAAUUCUUGUAUAAUAUUGGUAUCCCUCUUAACAACAAGGAACAAUCUUGGUACACGACAUCUAUCUGUUUAUUAUUCCAAGAUACCAAGAUACGGGAAGCAUACUAAAAAGCAACAUCCUUGCACCAAAACAGCGGAAAUAGUUUCUUGUAACAAUUCAUAAUAUGCUUUGCAAUUUCCCCUGCACAAACAAAAGAACUAUCUGAGCUUGUGGGUAGCAGGAGAACUCCAAAACAAAAUCAGACCUACAAUUUAAGUGCAGGGUCCCAAUAUAGUAGCUAUUGAUCACCCCAUCAACAAGGCGCCAUGAUGUUCAUGAGUUUUCUUUAGCAUGCAUUCAGAAAUCACUGUUAGAUACAAGAUCAUCACCUAACAUCAUCAAUUAGCAUGAGCUUUUGACCAAUAUGCAGCAGACUUAAACAAACAGAUUAUAUAAAAGCAAAACUGACAGUCUGCUGAAGGUUUAUACAUCCAAGCAACAAAUACAAGUAAUAACACUCCAAAAGCUCUAGGCUAUUAUUUGAUAUAAGACCAUUUUUUCGCAGCAAAUACAUAACUUGAACCGAUAAAAGAGGUAAAUGUUUUAACAUUAUCACAGCACUGGGGCUAUAUUAUUCCUUAUUAUGGACUCGGAAUCACUUGCCCAUAAAAAGCCGUAAAGAUUGAUGUAAUAUUUUUCAUCUAACAUAAAAACCACCAAUCCAUCUUAGCAAGUAAUAACGGGAACUCAACUCUUGUGAGAAAGUAACUACUCAGUCACUCUAUUUAGACUACAUUUGCAGUCACUUCCAAAAUUUCAGGAAAAAUGUCACAGUCCAGAAAGUGCAUCGAGUUUAACAUGCCAUUAAACUGAACCGAGGUAACAAGUUCACUUCCCAACCGUUUUAGGCAUCUCGGAUUUACACACAAUCUACACAUUUGCUCAUCACACAAAUUAGGAGGCAACAAUAAUGAUAUACCCAUCAAGUUCACUGCAAUCUUUUUAUCCUACCUGAGAUGUAGCCUGCAGGUGGACGUUGGAUUCAAGGUUGCCUGGCCCCAGAACUGAAACAGUAGCAAGCAAUUAUGAGAGUUAUUAACAAGAAAAUAAAUAUGCAUUGGUAGUUAAAGAAAAUGUCGCGACAGAUGGCCAGAGAUAACAGUUACUACUAUUGUUGAAAUAACUUACAGUGGGACAAUGCACAAGCUUGACUGUUCACAAGAAAUAAAUAAUAUCUUGUUCUUCUUCCUCUACACCGAACUCUCCCGCGAGAUUAUUCCUCCCCUCCUUCCUCAGAUCUGCCACAAUUGUAUUUAGAAAAUGCACGAGGACAUCCUCAAUUUCCCAAAGGAUGUCGCCUACUGAGCAGUACAUGUAGACAAUUAUGUCCAAGCCUAUCAGGCUAUAAACUAUUAUGCUCAACUGAAAAAGCAAAUAUUGAAAUAAUAGUUAUUUCAAAUUUCUUUUAUGUGCGCUGCACAUGGUUUUAUAAGUCUGUAUAAUUAAUCCAUAUACAAAUAAACAUAUAUUUAGUAUUUCUAUAUGGUUGAGAUCUAGGACAUUGUUUACCAAAACUUUGUUACUAUGAUAUGUUCUUCAAAUGUGCCAAACAUACAAGUUUUUUCCCACUCCCUACGGUUGUAAGGUCAUGUGUUAACUAAAGAUCGACAGUCAACACCAAAUCUUUAUGUCUAUAAAAUGCGAAAGGGACAACCUUUUUACUGAUUAGUUUCAAAGUCAACUAACAUGUAUUGAUGGUUUGUAUGGAAUAUAUAUUUUAAUUAAAAUUGUCUAGAUAGAUGUACACACCUCAAGAAAAAUAGCAAGGAGAGACUAUAAUCAUCUGGUCUGAGCAUCAGUAUAGGUGUUGGCUAAGACUUGUUACCAUAAAACCUAUAUUCUGUAAGAACAUCAUCAUAAAGAGAGUUGAUAUCGCGGCAUCCAUACUCGAUAUAUUAAUCAUAGAAUAGGCUUUCUCCAAAACACAAACGCGAGUAUCUUGAGAUAGUUUCUCAAGAUAUGAAGAAUGAGAAUGGAUCACAGUACAUAUAUGCACACAGUAAUAGCAUUAUGUGUCAAUAGCCACAUAGAAAAGAAAGAAGGGAAUUGUCCAUCAUGUGGGUGAUCAUAGUGACGGAGAUAUCGACAAUGUGGGUGAGUGCCCUAUAACCUCAGCUUUGCUGAUGAGUAUAUCUAGGUGCAUCCAAAAUAUACAUGAUUAUUUUUGUUCUGUGCUACAUGGAAAGUGCAUAGAGCUCAUUUGCUUUGCCUCGUAAGAUUUUAAAUUCUACAUAAUACUUCAAUAGAUGAUAAACCUAAAGAAUAUGUUUUUGCUUAUGUUAGUUGGAGGCUUUACUUAGAACGCAUUUGUCAAAACAUGUUGUGUUUCAGCUUUAAUAAUAACUAAAUCGUUGCUUCAUGAAUUCAGCUAACUCUACCGCAAAUACCAGUUAAAUUUCUCUUGAUACGGGGUAACUAAUUGAGCCAUAGAAAAACAAAACUUGGAAUGUCAAAAGGACGUAGACAGAGUCUAUACAGAUAUCACGACACAACAAGAUAUAAAAUAGGAUGUAAUAGUGACUAUGCUUUAUUUCUAGUAAAACUAUCACAGAGAAAGAAAAUUGUUGGACAAACAAUCCUCUCUUUUUCAUAUGUGAUUGUACAAACAACCAUAUGUUUUCAUGUGUAACAAAAACACUAAUUACAACUCAAACGUUAGAAAUUCUAACCAAGGCCCCCUUCCAUACACAAAGGAACAAAACCACCAACAUUUCCAUGCACAAAGGAACAAUAAUGUUAGGCCCUACCUGAAUCCAGACAAGGAACAAAAAAGCAUAUAUUUACACCCCAUCAAAAAACAAGCAUGGAAACAAAGGAACUACAAAAAUAUACAGCAUAGAGAAUAGUAUAUUUGGCCUUUACCAGAAAAGGAAAGCCUCAUUGGCCAACCAGGGCAAGCAGAACAUGGUGAGCCCCAAAACACAAAUUGCCAUGCAACCAUACACCUAGCUCUGGAAAAGAAGAUGCGUGGAUAGGAGGAGAAGAGGGGUUGACAUGCAGAUCCGUGAAUGGAGACGCAGGAGGGUGCUGAUAGACGGGGUGCAGGCCCAACCCCGGCUUGCCGCUCAGCCGGCGGAGACGACAUUGAGCCCUCAAUGCAUCGACGACUUUGUGUUCGCUGUAUGGAGCCGCAGAAAAAGGAGAUCAGAACUGUGUAUAUAUGGACAUCUAUGAGAGAGUGAACACUGGAUGCAGAGGAGAAAAUGGAACCAAAUGGUGAUCAUUACUAUUCAACUUGAAAGGAAGCGCAGUUUAUAUCCAUGAUUUCCCUCUUGUGAAGCAAGCAUCAAACAACACAGAAGCAAUGAAAUUGCACAUUCAAAUAGAACAAUACAUGAAAUGCUCUUGUGUCGAGAACAAUUGCAAGUAUUUUGUGCACAUCACAUCAUAUUUGCAGGGGUAGCUCGAGAACGGGUGGGGCUCACCACGUGUGGGGGUAGCAGGAGGAAUAGGCAGAGCAGCCUUGAGGGCCCGUCCACCUGCAGAAGCAGCUUGUCCUCAUCGGAGCAACCUUCACAUAAAACAAACGCAGGAAUCAGAAUAAGAGGAGAUGAAGAAACAAAGAAGAGAUUCAUGCCCACCCAGAAUAGUCAGAGAUCCACCCAGAACAAAGACCAUAAUAAACUAAGAGCCUAAUCAGGUUGUCAUGGUUAAGAACAUAUAUAGCAGAACAAUUAAUGAUUGAUGCUGCUAAAUCAACAACCCAAAGCUGAAGCUUUUUUUAUACAUGGCUGCUAGAAACAUGCAAAUACAAUGAAUUAGAGCAUCUCCAGCCAUUGGAGCCCCCCAGGACAAUCGCCAGGCCAAAUAUAGCACGUCCUGGGGGGCAAUACACCUUCGCCGAAUGAAACGCGAGGACGUUUUCCCAGCCGUUGGUGCCCCCAGGACAGUCGCCAGGCAAAAAGUGAAUGAGUGGACCAGAAAAAAAUGAUACAUGGAGGAAUAUGAUUGGCUGUUGCUUCCGCCGGCGCCCCUAGCAGCCCCCCAGCGCGUUGGGUGUGGCCUGGGUUCACCGGCACCUUUUUGAGGUCUUGGGGGCAUGGCUGGGCCUUUUUUUGCCAUUUUUAGNNNNNNNNNNNNNNNNNNNNNNNNNNNNNNNNNNNNNNNNNNNNNNNNNNNNNNNNNNNNNNNNNNNNNNNNNNNNNNNNNNNNNNNNNNNNNNNNNNNNNNNNNNNNNNNNNNNNNNNNNNNNNNNNNNNNNNNNNNNNNNNNNNNNNNNNNNNNNNNNNNNNNNNNNNNNNNNNNNNNNNNNNNNNNNNNNNNNNNNNNNNNNNNNNNNNNNNNNNNNNNNNNNNNNNNNNNNNNNNNNNNNNNNNNNNNNNNNNNNNNNNNNNNNNNNNNNNNNNNNNNNNNNNNNNNNNNNNNNNNNNNNNGGGGGGCUGGAGAUGCUCUUACUACUUGAAUGAAGAGAAAGCAUGUUUAAUUACCGGGUGCGUGGCGUUGUAGUGGAGGAGAGCGUGGCGGUGUCGUGCCUUCUACUGAACCUGACGCAUGAUGGCGGUGUUGUGCCUUCUGCAUCAAAUGCAAUUGGAGCAAACUUACUUGGUACUGUUAUAAUUGUUCAACAUAGAUACUUCAACAGCACUCUGCCCUAUUAAUGAAACAUGGACGAGGUCUUCUCAUCAGAGCGACAUGAUGGACAAAGUUGGAACCAAUGGCGAUGGGGUAACCUCACACACAUCUUUCCAUAAUGCAAUUCUGCAGACACAACCAAAGUAUAUUUACUAUUUAUUUUUGAGUCAAUUGCACGGUUCAGUUUUAUUUUGAGUCAAUUGCACGGUUCAGUUUAGUCCAGAAAGUUACAAGUCGUGUUUGAUGGUGGUUGACGAAUCAUCUAUAAGCUAUGUAUUUUAUGUUGAUUUCUUCCUAUGAACAUGGUAAAAUGUCUACACCUCCCUGCAUUGGCUCUCUACACGUUCACAGUAGGUUUAGUAGGGGGUUAAAAGGUGGCUCAUUUCAUCAUACCACUUGUCUGAAUUUCUGAACAUCUAAACCACAGUGGUCAUAACAACAGUUUGUUAACUCUAAAAGUUAAACAUUGAAUGUGACUGAAUUUCCCCACAAAAGAAAAAGAACAUGACUGAAUUGAACUGAAUUUUUUAACACUGAAAUUAGCAAUCACCACCAGGUUGUGUCCAGAAGUAGAAAGAGGGCGUGGUGCCUCGUCCACCUGCAGCAGCAACAACAAAAGCUCCACCACCUCUUCCAGAUCGGAGCAACUGCGCACAAAACAAACCAAGGAAUCACAAGGAGGGGAGAUGAAGAAACCGACAAGACAAGGGGUUUAGGUAUCAUGCGCACGCACCAUUGUUGGAGAUCUGUGGAUGAGCUCGCCGGAGAUGGCCUGCAGCAGGCGCGUACUUGGAGGGCCAGGGAUUCGGGCGUCUCCUUCCAUGGCUGUUGCCGGGCCGGACCACCAUGGCCGACCUCGAGGACGGUCGCGGAUGAGGUCGAUGACGAAGUGUCGAUGGCCCUGUGGAUCUGGGCGCUGCCUCACCUGGUCGCUCGAUCCCUUCCAUCCCCUCCCCUCCCCUUACCUUUCCUUGGUGACGGUGAACUCCAGGUCAGCCUCGGGCGCAGCCUUUGAGGAGGUCAUGCGCUUGCGCGAGGAGCCUCGCGAUGGCUCGGCGGCCGAGGGCUGCGAGCUGGGCGGCGCCAUAUGGGAUGCGUGCAGCUGGCUGGGGUUCCGGGAGAGGAUUCAGAUCAUGGGUGAGGGAGGAAGGAAGAGGACUUGCACUUCUUCCCGGCCAUGGCUGGCUCAGCUAUGGGAGAGGAACGGGGAGGGGAUGGUGGCGCGGCUGCAGAUGGUUGGCGGCGGUGGCGGCGGCGAACGGGGAGGAUGACUGGCGGCAGUGGCUCUCUCGAGAGAGAGAUGUGAGGGAGAGAAAAAUGAGGGAGGCACUCAUUGGGGGAGGAGGCAGCGAAUCGGAAAAGGGCACAGAUGCGAAAUGACCAAAAUGCCUUGGGUGGGGGACGUGAAUUUCAGCAAUGGCAUGAGAUCUUUUACCCGCUGGACAGCGCCGAUGGGCUACACCGGACGUGCCCCGGCCACCCCUUCAUACCUGUUUGGUUAGAUAUUUGUGUACGUGACUUCUACUAGCGGGCGGCCUGAAAGUUGAAAAAAAGGAAAAUUCAGAAAAAAGAAUAAAAAAAAGUUGAUGCAAAGUUUUGGCCAGCUAGCAUCUUUUGAAAAAUCUCUUUUGCUGUUCAGCCUGCUCUGUUCAUAUAAGUGAUAUGUUCGAUUUUUUUGUCUGCUCUUGGUUGCCAUACACUACGUUCAUACCUCACUUAUAUCUAGCUACUUGGAGCUAUUAUAUUUUCGCCAGUUCCCUCUCGCUUGAUUCAGUAUCUGGGCUUAGAUUAUUUUAUCUCUUACUAGUCGACUACCAAUACUAGUUAGGAGUUUGAGCAAUUAUUCAUCUUGCAUUACUUUUAGCAAAAUUGUGCCACCGAUAUUGUGAGUUGAGAAAACCUUCACCAAGCUCCACUUUCUAUAUUGUACAUUGUUUGGUGACUUGGCAAUCACUAUAUCCAACUUUGAUAACUUUUGAAGGCGCCAAAGGCCGACAACCACUGCAGCACGGUAAGAUCUUGUAAGAGCUUGGUAAUUGCUAGAGUGUUGAGAGAAUUUUUCCGCCACCUCCGAGUAGUAAUAUAGAAACAUUAUACUUAUUAUUUUUGUUUUUUGUGUGGUACUAACCAUGGCAGAUUCUAGAGCGGUUGACAGUUGGGGUGCGUCUAUUGUGGGAGAUGACUUGCCAUAUAUUGAUAAAGAUCACUCUUUCCCACCACAAAAGGUACGACGAUCGUCACAUGAUAUACAUCAUGGUAGAAACACACAUCAUCAUGUUACCUCUUUGCCAAAUUUUAAGGGUAAAUAUGACCCCGAUUCAUAUAUUGAUUGGGAAACUGAGGUAGAAGAAAUAUUUGCUAGCCAUGAACUUCCCAAGCAUAAGAAAAUAAAUGUUGUCACUAAAGUGUUUUUAGGUUUUGCUUCAGUUUGGUGGAGAAAUUAUUGCAGGAAAAAAAUUGAUAAUAGGCCUUCUACUUGGAAAGAUUUAAAACUUGUUAUGCGAGACCGAUUUGUUCUUCAUAUCAUGCCAGUGAUUUUCUUAGAAAAUUACAACGUUUAGCACAAGACAAUAUCACUGUUGAAGAAUAUUAUGACAAUUUGUGUAUUGCUUUGUUUCGUUCUGGCUUAGAAGAAUGCGAAGAAGAUUUUCUGAAUUGAUUUUGGAAAGGUUUAAACCAUGAUAUACAAGACAUAAUAAUGCAUGAAGACUAUAUUCUAUCGAUCAUUUGUUUCGUCUUGCCUGUAAAGCUGAACAGAAAUUAAGAGGACGCGUCUACAUGACGAACAAGCGUGCGAUGGAAUCCCCAUCAAAGAAGGUUACUUCCUCCCCUGCACCACCAACUAUGAUUGCACCACAUGGACUUUAUGAGGCAUCGUCACCGACCGUUCUUACUUCAUGUGAGCAAGGCCUACUACACUAGUAGAAAAUAGGGCUUUGGUCCAGGUCUGAAAAGGGCAUUAAUCCCGGUUUCCCUAUGAACCGGGACUAAUGGGUGCAUCAAUCUCGGUUCGUAAAGCCAGGGCGCCGGCCGGGCCUCGGGGGCCAUUGGUCCAGAUUCGUCUGACCCCUUUGGUCACGCUUCCAGACACGAACCAGGACCAAUGGGCCUCGCUCCUGGCCCACAACCUUUAAUCCCGGUUGGUGGUUGGAACCGGGACCAAAUGGAGUCCUUUAGUCCCGGUUCUAGCCACAAAUCGGGACUAAAGAGAGGCCUAUAUAUCCCCCUUCCCGCGAGCAGAGCAGUGCAUUGCUCUGUUUUUUGGCCGGCCGUGGGAGAGCUUUGUGGUGCUCUAGCUCACCUCCUAUGCACAUGAGGUGUUCGGUGAAAUGUCCAAGACAUACUUAAGCUUUCUCCUCUCGAAGCUCCUUGGCCAAACUCCAUUUUCCUUAAGAUUUGUCUAGGUUUGGCGGUCCAUCCUGUCCCGUUCCCGUCCUCACCGACGUCGAUCGCCCGCGCCGAUCUCGCCGCCGGCACCACCGUGGUGAGCCUCUUGUUCUUAUCUUCUAAAAGAAAAAAGUUCUUACUUGUAUGAUUUAGAUAGAUACUUGUAUAAUUUUCUUACUUUUAUUAUUUUUUGUUAUUAUAUAAUGCGAUGGUUUUGGUAUCCGCCUCCGUCGGCCCUCGUCCUGUCUAUGAUUCGGAUGUGGUAUAUAUUAUAUUUUAUAACUAUUUUGUUCAUUUAGUGUGUAUGAAAAUUAUGCCGACCAACGUGACAUAGAUGUUUUUAUCAAGGAGGUAUGUGAACCGGAAAUUCCAACCGACCCUAUUGUUGAGAGGUUAAAUUUAGUUGAAGAAGAAAACAAUUACCUGAAGAAAAAAUUGAAAAGAAUUAAGGAGGAGAAGAUGGGAUUGGAGUUGCAUGUUGCGGAUGUCGUCAAUGAUCACAAGAUCAAGAUGGAUGCAAUGCGCUUGAAGAUUAUAAAGAUUAGAAAAUAUGUCAUUCAUACCGAGGCUUGGCAUCAUUAUGCCGUUGGAUCAAUUGUUACCUUAGUUGCGAUUAUGAUCGCAUUUGUUGUUGCAUUGAAAUGUUUUACAUUAUUUCAAUGUAUGGUUUAAUUAGAUGCUCUAGAGAGCUAUAUAUAUGUUGUUCAAUGAGAACUAUAUAUGUAUGAACUUUAUGUAUUUAUUUUUUCAGUAAUAACAUUUGAUCACUACUGUACUUUGGUUUUAAUGUGAUGAUGAACUUCUAUUAAUUUGGUUUUCUAUAUUCAUGCUGUUCUGUAAUGGUUUUUGACACACUUAAUUAUAUAUAAUGCACGCAGAUGAACCGGCAAUGGAUGUACGAUGAUGUUAACAUCAGUCUGUUUAUAUUGAACUGAUGAUCGUGUAUUACUACUGAAGUCAAGCAAUGAGGUCUAGUUUGUUGAAAUUACAUAUUUGGCUCGGUUAUAGUUUAUUCCAUUGCUUUUCUUUUUCCAUGCCUUACUACUGAACUGAACUAAAGCACUUCUGUUUGAAAAAUUACAAGGAGACUUCUACAGCCUACUAGCAUGUUCUAGCUUGCCGCUGAUGUGUAUUCAUGCUGAUGAAGCUUGCUUGCCUAGCUGCUAGACUGAUUCUUGUUCUGUUAUGGGUGCUGUGGUUAUUUGAACUUUAAUUGCAGCUACUAUUACAGUGUGUGCAUACAUGACUGAAACUGUAUGAUGUGUGUGCCAUGGUUACCUGAACUUCAAUUCUAGCUACUAUUCAAAUCUAAUACUAGCAUGUACAUGACUGGACUCGUACUACUGCGUACUAGUGUGCCAUUUUGCUUAUUCUUUCCUUGAACUUUGCAUGCUCUCUAUUCUUUCAGAGAUAUGUUCAAAGCUAGUUCCUCGGAGGUGUAUUCUUUCAUAGAUAUGUUAAAGCUAGUUCUUUAUUCUUUCAAAGAUAUGUUAUUUUCAUACUUUCAGCUCACAUGUAGCUUUUCUUUGUAGGAAAGUAAAUACUCCUACGUUACAUAAAAAGAGAGACAGAGUCAAAGCUGUAAGGACUUGGUAAAGAAAACUGUGAGAUGUAGGCCCCAUAUACUCCUGCGUGACCCGAAUUUCCUGAGCGAAGUUGGAAGCAGCGCAGCGUGCGUCCGUACAUCAUGGGCAUCUUGCCAGUGAUCUAUGCACUAUCCCCUUUGUUUUUUUUGCGGGAAUAAUACUUGUAUUACUCAUUCACCAAGUCCUUACAAUCAUCAAGGACCAACUUCAAAACAUCCUCCGGGCCUGAACCGACCCAAGUCAUAGUACGACCUUCUACUCUAGCAAAACUAGCUAGUCUAUCACUCGCUCAUGAGUAAUACAAGUCUGCCUAAGACUCAACAAGAAUUUAAUUUCACUAACCAAAGAAGCAUAAACUGAGCAAUCCACCUCGCCGCAUGAAAUAAUAGCCAUGGUUGUAGUCGAGUCCAUCUCAAUGGCAAUUGGAAGAUUGGAGCGUUGAAUUGCGAAAGAUAAGCCUUCCAUACAUGCACAUAACUCCGUCCCCAGAGCGUCUCUACACGAGAACAAGGCCCUGCAUGAUGAGAAUAUUAUGGCUCCUGAGUUAUCUCGCAAGAUCAUUCUAGCACCCGCACCACCAGCGAACGAGUAAGAUCCAUCCGUGUUAAGCUUCACCCAGCCAAGCUGGGGCGGCCUCCAAGGUGUAUCGCCAUUCACGGGGUGCUCAACAGCGGACCUAGACUUUAGAUCAUAGGAUAUGCUGCACUUCCCCUUUGCUGGAUCAAAGCGUGAGUUCAGUUUGAUGCCAAUUAGAGCAUCCAAGUAAUUCUGAAGAAACCUUGUUGAUACUUCCAUGGGAGGAGCAGGUCCAUGAUGUACUAUCUCAUUCCGAAUGAACCAGCUUCUCCAAAAAAUUAACAGUAGCAUACUUCUCUGAAUUCGUUCAAAGGGGCAAGUACGUGAAGUAGCCAUUCCUUACCAACAGGCAACAGGGAAUCAAGGAAUGGUAAAAUCCAAAUCUCGGCCAUGGCUAGAUAAAGAUCACGUCCGUAUUGGCAUCUCACAAACGGGUGGAAAUUGUCCUCCUCUUCCAUACCACAAACUGGACAUCUACUUGAAAGCUCCAGUCCAAUCUUGUGUUUAUUCCUCCAUGUCGGCAAAGAGUUCGUAGUCAAUCUCCAAGCAAAAUUGCGCACAGUGGGGGUACAUCACAUCUCCAUAUAUAUUGCCAGCAUUUUCUACUACCAUCUGGCGAUGUGCUAGACGCCUCUGCAGUAUUUCUGUGAGCUACUUCAAAAGCCAGCAUAUAUGCUGAUAUGACCGUGAAGACGCCGAGCUUCCCCGGCCCCCAUGCAAUCACAUCCUCACCUAAUCUUGGAGAUGCCCGUAUCUUUAAGAUUUCUUCCACAUCAGCUGAUAAGAAGUACUGCUGAAGAAGUACCGAGUUCCAAGAACCAUUAUCAUUUAGCAAGUCGGACACAAAAAGAAUGCGACAUCUUCCCUGCAGCGACACAGGUUUGUAUGAAAAGGGCCUUGGAAUCCAGUUAUCUCUCCCCUUUGUUGGUAGUCAGAGUCACUAGGACAACUAACUGUGUUAGCAUCUAGAGUUGUAACAAGCCACAGUCCGCCUAUCUUGGUUGCGCAGCGAUGAUGCUACCAUCUCCUACUACAAAGUACACGCCUUGCACCGGAAACAGCGCAACCAUAUGACAUCUAUCCGAGUGGGCGACCACGUGGUAACCGGGCAUGAGGCCAUGGCUGAGGCCGCCUACAACCACUUCUCCGAUGUGCUCGGAAGUGCCACGGAGCAUGACAUCACGCUUGAUCUCCGCGUUUUGCGUGUUCAACACAAUGCUACUCCGUGCGGUGGACCUAGGCCUUCUUCGACGCCUUACCACUCGGCACGCGGCCUCGAGUAUAUCGCUAUACGCGGACGAUGUUGUCAUCUUUUGUCACCCGGACUGCCACGACAUUACCACCGUGUGAACCAUCCUGCACAUAUUCGGGCUUCAUACAAACUUCGCCAAGUGUUCUGCCACCCCGAUCCGGUGCGAUGAUGACAACAACAUGAUGAUCACAUCUGAGAUGCAGUGCCCCAUAGCCCAAUUCCCCAUCACAUACCUCGGGUUGCCUCUCUCUGUCUGCAAGGCCUCCACGACUAGCUUGCUCCCGAUCAUCGACAAGCUCGGCCACAAGCUCUCCACUUGGCAUGCUUCCAUGAUGUCCAACGGGCAACGGCGACCGCCUUGCUCUCGUGCAUCACGUACUUAGUGCUAUCCCGACAUACUUCCUCACCGCCUUUGCUCUCAACCAAUCCAUCCUCAAGAAAUUCAACUGCAUCAUCUAGAUGCUCGAGGUGCCCGACUGUAGAUGCUCUAAUCAUCUAGAUCCGGCGCUCAAAGGCUCCACCCUCCCCCAUGGCUUGGGUUCGGGCGCCUCCCCAAAACUUCGUCGGGAUCCGCCACAACCGGCAACGGCGAGGCCAGAGGUGGCCGGAUCCGGCACAGGUUGGUCUCUCCCCUCCUUCUUCGCCCACCCUCUCCUCCUUACCUCACGCCACGUGUCUUCCCUUUUUUGCAGGUCGCUAUGGUGCGGACGGCGAUGACGGCAGGAGGGGCACACACAUCCGUGGAUGGGACGCCGCCAUGGAGAUGGAGAUCCUUCUUCACACCACGCAGAGGCCCCAUGGAGCCUCCCUCCUUCUUCGGUGACUUCUUCUCAGGCCCCACCACUACCUCUGACCUCCCCCUCCUCUACUUUGAGUUGCACCAUGCUUUGUUUCAGAUUCAUCCACCCAUGGGUGAUACAUGGCAAGUUAGGGGUUGCUGCAGUUUGAGGUUAAUCCCUUGAUUGGCUGCUGUUUAGGGUUGAUUGGCUCAGUUGGCUGCUAGACUUUAGGCGUGCAUACAUGGGUAUGACGUGCUCUGCACAUUUAGGAUUGAAGUAUUGUGUUGCAGCACUCAGUGACGUUAAUUUAGGGCAUUUCAGUGUCAGUUCCACUAUAUUUAGGGGGACAUUUAAUAGUGCAAUUUCAUGGUUAUUACAGUGUAAUUUCAAGGUUCUUGCACUGUAAGUUCAGAGAAUUACAAUGUUAGUUUAUGUGAAUUCCCGUGCAUUUUACUGUGUAAUUUAAGUGCAAUGGAAAUUAUAGUGUAAAUUUAGUGUAAUUUACUAUGUAAAUUUAAGGAAAUUACACUGUAAUUCGUGUGCAACUUUUAGUGUAAUUUACAGUGUAAUUUCAACGGGUUUACAGUAGAGUAAUUUAAGUGUAAUUACAGUGUGCACUUUAGAGCAAUCAUACUAUAUAUUUAGUGAAUUUAAAGCAUCACUCCAUACCUUUCGCGUUUGUCUUUUUUCUCUACAAGUUACUGCUAUACUGUUGAUUGAUUCUACCCUUGCGUAAGAAACUUUGAUGAGCACAUAAUUUUCUACUAUGUAAUUUGAGCAGCUUGGUAACCGUAAUUUUCAGUUUCCUUUGACCCUAGGCCCUUGUGCUUUAGAAUUGCUAUUUUUUGUCAGUGUACAUGCUAGAUCAUGUGGUUUAUGAUACUUCUCUGGUCCUUAUAAACAAAGUGACAUGUUUGUGCCGUGGAAUAGAAAGAAUAUUUCAGUGUCUCUCUUUAGGCCUUUUGUCGAAUUGUUAUGUGGUCCAGCGCAGCCUUACGAAACCGGGUUCUAUGCAGUUCAUGUACAGUGCAAAACUCAUUAUUGCAGGUCAGGCCUGUUGCAUGUUUUUGGUCAUUGACAUGCAGGAAAGAAGGAAAAAGGACAUAGAAGUAUCAUUUUGUUAUUGGUCAAGAAAUUUGAAUAAUGUCCAACUGAUUUCAGUUGAAUGACAAAUAGACAAUCCCUUGUUUAAUCAGUAGAUAUACACCAUUAACUCAAAUAGCAAAGAAAUACUAGUCCACUUAUAAUCGACGAUUGCGCAUGAUGCAUCCAUCCAUUCUAUCGGAGAGGCUGUGUUUUUUUUUCUUCUUGUGCUAAGGUUGAUAGCAUCACAUAUCUUAUGCUUUUGUUUCUCAAGUAGAGCCUUGAGAUAGAUGUGUCUGCAACCGUCCUCGAAUGGUUGUGCAAUAAUAAUGGUCCUAGCUAAUUACUAGUAUGCAUUGCUUAUAAAACAACUUGCUGCUCAUUUCACUUUGAGUAUGCUGUUGCUGCUAAAGUAGCAACAACAACAGCCAUGCUUUGGUUCCCCAAAAUUCAGAUGGCACUGACAUCUCUACAUACACACACAUAUGAAUAUGCACCUUGGUUUGGUUCAGUUUGCAUGUGUACCGUUUCUUUAACUUUGACUGAAACUAUCUUGGUGGCACUUGCAUCAAUGUUGUGCUCUACCCUUGUAUAUGUCCUUGGAGAAGAUGACCAUUGGACUGUAGGGGACGAACAACCUUGUCCUGCUCGAGGAGGAGGAGGAUGGCCACCCCGAGCUCGAGGACGACACGACAACAGGUAGCACUCACCUCCCUACCAAGGUGAAGGUCCGAUCCGCCUGUUUAGAUGGUCUGCUCUUGUCUUGUGAUCUGAGGGGAGAAGAAAGCCAUUGGCCUCAAUUAUAUUUGCAUGUGAGGGGAGCGAUCCUUUUGGUAGAUGCAGAGUAUAGAUUAGAUAUUCCACAAAACUCACCACACGAGUAUACUACCUAUAUCCACAAAAUUCACCACACGAGCAUACUACCUAUGUCCAAAUGUGGGUGUGAUACUUUCAACAUGAAACAUGAAUAUCAGGUUGGGAGUUUGGAGUUUAAUCAAAUAACGCAGCAAGGCGAUCAUCGGUAGGGAUGCACCUUUGAGGCGGCAAGGAGAGCUUCUCAAAGGCAGUACACAUGGCUUAUUACUGCUUGUAUGUGAGUACGCAGAUGUGGAGUCUAUGGAUAGAGGGUUAGGGGCGCAACGCAAGCAGCAGUAGGGGAUACACAACCUGAUUUGAUUUGGUCAAUCACGGGGAAAUGGGAGAAGGCCUAGGGUGCAAAGUUUGGAUCGGUGGGUUGGUAGCGUUAGGCAUAAUAGAGAUCAAACUUUUUCAUAGGCGUAUGUAGGUUAUUUCCUUGAAGCAUUUUAUCAAAAUGGUGUAGGUGGGUAAUAUCUCUCAACUUAAAUGUGAAGGGAAGAUAUUAUUUCCUUGUAGAGGCCGAGGAAUACAUGGCGUACCGCUACAUAUGCAACCAUGAUUUUUUGUGGAUGGUUACGAGAGAACCUGAAAUAUACCAUGGACCGAAGCAUGGGCACAUGAAGUUCCAACACCGAAGGGUAAGGAGACGGGCCCGCGUCAUUUACGUCGGGAAUAUGCGACCUUGAUUCUUUGUGGAUGGUGAUGCCAAGACUAUAGGAUAAGGUGGAUCCGGACACAUGAGCAGAUGAAGUGCCUGACACGAAGUAGGUUAAGGAGCUGGACCCAAGUCAUCUACACCGCAAAUUGGUCGAAGGUGUGCCGUGAAUGAUAGAUGUACUUGAGGGGGGAGAAAGCCUGUGAAAAGAACAUACGGUUGCUCGAUGAUGACACAUGUCUUGAGAGGAUGGCGAGAACCCUAGAUAUGGUUAAGGCAUGCCACGAGAACAUCACCCCGGUCGCGAGAUUCUCAGUGGUGUGCGGCAACCGAAGCCAAAAGGGCACCCCCGCAAGACCUUGAAACGCCAGAGCGGUGGGCGCACAAGCAAUGGUGAGGAAAAUCACAUAAGGUACCAAGCAAGGCCAUCCUGAUCAGGGCUCCAUUGCCAAGCUUAUGUCCACCACUGCGAUUUAGACAAAUUUUCAACUGGCGUCUCUGUCUUCUCAAGAUUUCCACGGUCCCAUCAGGAUGUAUAUAUAUACUUUGUUUAUUUUGAAAAUUAAUAUAUCACCAAAGAAAUUUUAGUACUUGUCAUUCUUUUAAUUACUUAGUAGUUUGCAUGAUAGACUCAAUCUUAUAUUUACUAAUUAGAGGCACCAAAUAAGCGACCACGUUAAUCCUCAAAAACUAAGAAUAGUAUCCAUCCGAUCUCCAUAUUAAGUAUCUGUAGCCGUCCAUUGGACAACUCAAGAGUCCGUUGUUACUAUCCCACGUCAUGCUCGAUGUAAUGUGAAAAAAAAUCAUCUCCUUGGCCAAAUCCAUCCCACGUCAUGCUCCAUGUAAUGUGAAAAAAAUCAUCUCCCCGGCCAAAUUCUUCCUCCCCCGGUCUAUCAUGUGAGGCACUUGCGCAUCAUCCACAAAUCCCUAGCGCAAAUCCAUCCCACGUCAUGCUCCAUGUAAUGUGAAAAAAAUCAUCUCCCUGGCCAAAUUCUUCCUCCCCCGAUCUAUCAUGUGAGGCACUUGCGCAUCAUCCACAAAUCCCUAGCGCUACUCUUCCAGGUCAUCCUCCUCCUUCCUAUCUUUUGCUGUCUUAAUGCAAAACAAUUCCGUGAGAUCCUUGUGAUCCUCUUCAUAUUCACGUAGAAAUCUGAACUGUCCCAACCACGCUGCAGAUCUGUGGUCCGUCUUGGACAAAGAGAAGGCCCUUUCAAUCUCCACAGAUGCCAUGCCCCAACCAAACCACAACCCAUGAUAAACGAUGUUGUUGAGAAGGAGGCGCUACCUAAGUCUGAUCGGACAUAUUCCAUUGUUGGGGAAGCUACAAGUCGAAGAACUAUGGUAGACUGAUUGCAGGUAAUUAAGGAGCUAGCAACGAUCCAGUAGGUUUUUGUUAUUAGGAAUUUUUAUGUAGUGCGACUUGAUCUCGAAGAACAAGUACACCAUUAGAGUUCGUUUUGGAGGAUUUUGAUGAUGUGCGCUUAGUUACAGACUUAUCUAAAUACGUAUAACUAGGAUGGACAAUAUUUGUAGGAGCCAUACAAUCCAAUUAGGGGAUUCAGUUUGUCAAAGAUGUUUCCACAUAUCCCUAGCGCUGCUCUUCUAGGUUGCCCCCUGCUUCCUAUCUACGGUCUUCAAGUAAAGCGAUUUAAUGAGUCUCUUGCUGCAGAAAUUCCAACUGCCACAAGAAGGCUGCAGACCUGCGGUUCAUCUUGGCUGAGGUGUCAUACAAUCCAGUUAAGGGAUUCCAUUCAUUGAAGAUGUGGUUGUACUUUCGCACAACAAACUCAAGCACAUCUUCUUAUGUUCUUAGAAACUGGAUGAGUUGUUUUGGACUUUCUUUGGUCUACUCCUCUAUGCUUCUUGUUGGGAAAGUUAGUAUGCAAAAGUUAUGCCCAUCUUCUUAAAUUCGGAUGUAACUUUUCGAGUAGAUGAUUUUUCAUAUAAAAAACUUUUUCAUCCGAGUUAGUAUGCAAAAGUUAUGCCCAUUUUUACAAAUUUCAGAGAGAUUUUGCAAAUAAAGUCAAAAUUCACAUUUGCAAAUUUUCCCAACAACUAGACCACAUAUCACAUGGGAAACUUAUUUUCUUUUAUUUUUUUGACAUUUCCAUCAUUUUCUUUUAUUUUUUUAAAANNNNNNNNNNNNNNNNNNNNNNNNNNNNNNNNNNNNNNNNNNNNNNNNNNNNNNNNNNNNNNNNNNNNNNNNNNNNNNNNNNNNNNNNNNNNNNNNNNNNNNNNNNNNNNNNNNNNNNNNNNNNNNNNNNNNNNNNNNNNNNNNNNNNNNNNNNNNNNNNNNNNNNNNNNNNNNNNNNNNNNNNNNNNNNNNNNNNNNNNNNNNNNNNNNNNNNNNNNNNNNNNNNNNNNNNNNNNNNNNNNNNNNNNNNNNNNNNNNNNNNNNNNNNNNNNNNNNNNNNNNNNNNNNNNNNNNNNNNNNNNNNNNNNNNNNNNNNNNNNNGGCACGAACCGGGACUAAAGGUCUCAACCCCAUUAGUCCCGGUUCGUGCCUCAAACCGGGACUAAAGGUCUAAUCUUUAGUCCCGGUUUGAGGCACGAACCGGGACCAAUGGUUGUGGGCCAGAAGCAAGGCCCAUUGGUCCCGGUUCAUCCCACCAACCGGGACCAAAAGGUCCAGAUGAACCGGGACCAAUGGCCCACGUGGCCCGGCCGGCCCCCUGGGCUCACGAACCAGGACCAAUGCCCCCAUUGGUCCCGGUUCUGGACUGAAACGGGACUAAUGGGCUGACCCGGCCUGGACCAAAGCCCUGUUUUCUACUAGUGAGUCCAAUCUUGUGUUUAUUCCUCCAUGUCGGCAAAGAGUCAGUAGUCAAUCUCCAAGCAAAAUUGCGCACAGUGGGGGGUACAUCACAUCUCCAUAUAUAUUGCCAGCAUUUUCUACUACCAUCUGGCGAUGUGCUAGACGCCUCUGCAGUAUUUCUGUGAGCUACUUCCAAAGCCAGCAUAUAUGUUGAUUUGACCGUGAAGACGCCGAGCUUCCCCGGCCCCCAUGCAAUCACAUCCUCACCUAAUCUUGGAGAUUCCCGUAUCUUUAAGAUUUCUUCCACAUCAGCUGAUAAGAAGUACUGCUGAAGAAGUACCAAGUUCCAAGAACCAUUAUCAUUUAGCAAGUCGGACACAAAAUGAAUGCGACAUCUUCCCUGCAGCGACAUGGGUUUGUAUGAAAAGGGCCUUGGAAUCCAGUUAUCUGUCCCCUUUGUUGGUAGUCAGAGUCACUAGGACAACUAACUGUGUUAGCAUCUAGAGUUGUAACAAGCCACAGUCCGCCUAUCUUGGUUGCGCAGCGAUGAUGCUACCAUCUCUUACUACAAAGUACAUGCCUUGCACCGGAAACAUCGCAACCAUAUGACAUCUAUCCGAGUGGGCGACCACGUGGUGACCGGGCAUCAGGCCAUGGCUGAGGCUGCCUACAACCACUUCUCCGAUGUGCUCAGAAGUGCCACGGAGCAUGACAUCACGCUUGAUCUCCGCGUUUUGCGUGUUCAACACAAUGCUACUCCGUGCGGUGGACCUAGGCCUUCUUCGACGCCUUACCACUCGGCACGCGGCCUCGAGUAUAUCUCUAUACGCAGACGAUGUUGUCAUCUUUUGUCACCCGGACAGCCAUGACAUUACCACCGUGUGAACCAUCCUGCACAUAUUCGGGCUUCAUACAAACUUCGCCAAGUGUUCUGCCACCCCGAUCCGGUGCGAUGAUGACAACAACAUGAUGAUCACAUCUGAGAUGCAGUUCCCCAUCACAUACCUCGGGUUGCCUCUUUCUGUCUACAAGGCCUCCACGACUAGCUUGCUCCCGAUCAUCGACAAGCUCGGCCAAAAGCUCUCCACUUGGCAUGCUUCCAUGAUGUCCAACGGGCAACGGCGACCGCCUUGCUCUCAUGCAUCACGUACUUAGUCCUAACCCGACAUACUUCCUCACCGCCUUUGCUCUCAACCAAUCCAUCCUCAAGAAAUUCAACCGCAUCAUCUGCGGAUUCCUUUGGGCGGGAGGCACCGAAGGCAAUGGGGGUCAGUGUCGUGUUAACUGACAGCAAGUUUGCCGGCCAAUCUCUCUUGGCGGUCUUAGCAUCAGGGACAUUCAAAGGACCGGCAUCACCCUCCGUGCGUGGUUGCUUUGGUUACAGUGCACCGACCCCUUGCAACCCUGGAGCCACUUACACAUACCUCACGACCCAGACGUGACUGCCAUCUUCAGCGUGUCUACGACCUGGGAUCUUGGGUCCGGCGUCACCUGCAGAUUCUGGUCCGACCACUUGAUAGAGGGUAGAUCCGUGGCUGAGAUCCCCCCAGUCCUCGCCUCGUCCCUCAACGCCGAUGCAAGACUCGCACCGUUCGCGAGGGCCUCCACCUUAGAGCCUGGGUGCAAGAGAUUCAUGGAGCACUCGGACCGACGGCCAUGUUGCAAUAUGUUGAUCUUCAGCGUCGUGUGCGCCACAUUGACCAGAUGGGUCGGAUACACUCAAAUGGCGCUGGACCGCCUCCGCUAUGAAAUGUCUAUGAUGGGAGAAUUUAAAUUCUUCUUAGGUCUUCAAAUUCUUCAACAGCGCAAUGGCAUCUUCAUAUUUCAGGAGAAAUACCUCAAGGAUGUAUUGUGGAAAUUCGGCAUGAAAGAUUGCAAAGGCGUCAAAAUCCCUAUGCCCACAAAUGGCCAUCUAUGCACUGAUGAAAAUGGUAUUGACUUUGAUCAAAAGGUAUACCGCUCCAUGAUUGGUUCUUUAUUGUAUUUAUGUGCAUCUAGGCCAGAUAUUAUGCUUAGUGUUUGCAUGUGUGCCCGAUUUCAACCUACACUGAAGGAAUCACACGAUAAGGCUGUGAAGCAUAUUCUUUGUUAUCUAGCUCACACACACCAACACUUGGAUAUGGUAUCCCAAGGGCUCGGCUUUUGAUCUCAUUGGGUACUCACUCUGACUAUGCUGGUGAUCCUGUGGACCGCAAGUCAACAUCAGGCACAUGCCAUUUCCUCAGACGAUCCUUGGUCUGUUGGUCCUCGAAGAAACAGAACUACGUAUCCUAACACUUGUGCAAAGUUGAUGACUUAGACGUGCAACACACGAAGAAACGUUUUUCUUCAUUCAAUGAAGAUUAACACUCUAAGUGUGAAGAAAUUAACGAAGAAUUUGAUUCUCAGAGCCCUUCAACAAUUGUACAUGGUGUUUGAAAUCAUCAUUCUUAUACGGUGGAUCACGCCACCACCAAAAGUUGAAAAUCUUGAAUUUGAGUUUUUACUCAUUUUUGAAUUUCCUCAGUUGUUCAAAUUCUUCAACUUUUCAAUGUCUUCACUCUUUCCGUUGUUGUUCUUCAUUGGCUAUAUAUAUAUAUAUAGGGUGGGUCUAUUAUGAUAACACCCUUCAAGACCCUUAUUCUGCUAACACCCAGCUUAUUCUGCUAACACUACCUACCUCACCGUAGCUACAGACUAACCCAAAAAAACAACUGGACCGAACUGCUCGCGCAAAGGGAAAACCCAACCGACCUUAUCUUCUCAUACCCACUCCCCCCAAUUCCCUCUCUAUCUCUCCCGCAACCUCCCUUGCACGGACGCCGCCUAACCACCACCUCCCAUGUGCCGCCGCGCUGCGACCUCCUCUGCGCCGCCGCGCCGCGACCUCCUCUGUGCGGCCGAGUCCGCUCCCCGGCGACUCCCGAUCCGCAGCUCCCCCCAUCGCCCCUGCCUUCCUCUGCGCGCCGCCGCUCCAGGUCGCGGCCACUGCGUUCCACCAACAGCAGCACAUCAGUACGGCGGUAGUGCGGCCCCGCUUCCAUUCCUCCAUGGCCGACCCCCUACCUCCCACCUUCUCCCUCCCUCCCCGAUCGACAACCUCCAUCACCGCCCCGGUCAUGUUGCCCCUCCCGACCCCGCGCCGCCGGAUCCGGGCAACCACGCCGGCGUGCCCUUCCACGAGCUUUCCCGUCGUGACCCUACCACGAGCUGCUCCAGCCCGACCCUGCUUCUUCAACAACGGCACGGUGGCAACUCUCCUUAGUUCUCUCCUGCACCGGGUUCGCGAGCUCCGUUCACGGGCUCGCCGGAUCUCGUGAUUGGGGCGCUGGCGACGUGCUCUCCUACUCCACCGCGCCCCUCCUCUACUUCAGCUCAUGUGCCUGUGCCUCUCGUGGACUCAUCGGCGCACAGGCCGCGCUGGAUCCAUGCUAGUUCGAGGCCCCGACGGCCUCCUCUUCCUGCUAAGCCGCCGAGAUCCGUCGGGGUAUCAAGUUGUUUUGUCGGCCCAAUACUCCUUCUACCUUCCCUUGCCGGCGGUCGUGCAACUUCGGUGAACACCGCUACUCGCGCGCGGAUGACGACGGCUUAGUGGCACUGCAGUUCGCUUUGCAGGGGAUCCGUUGAUGCGGCCGUGGAGUUCGGCCCACAGGUGCAUGAAGUUAUCUUGCCCCCCUCCCAUAGUUUACCCUUCCGCAUGAGCCCCAUGCUGUAGUCCAUUGGGAAGAAGCUCGUGGUGCGGAUGCUCAGUGACAGUGCUGGUGCGUUUCAGAUUUUGUUUUUCUGCAAUUUGUAGGCGACGCUGGAGCCUUGCAGUCCAUUGGCUCGGGGGAGAGCAGUGGAGAGGACACACGUGCGUGUAGUUCCCUGUCCAUUGAAAAUGUAGAAGCCCAUCUUGCUGCAGUGUAUGUGAGCAUAUGGCCUGCAAGUGCUGCUCUUUUCCCAGAUUGAAAACAUUGCGGUGUGGUUGGCUGGCCAUCGACGUGCACUUCGCUUUGGGGGGCAGUACGUUCUUUGUGGAUGUGCACUUCGUUUGGCCCGAGCGGCAUGAAGCUCCAUUUGCGCGCAUGUGUGGCUCGGCUAACUAGUUUGUGCAGUUCGCAUGAUACCUUUAUUAUGUGAUGCCUCCCUAGUUGCUGGAGUUCACUUCUUUGUAUUUAUUGAAACAUCAUGUAGUGCACUGUGAAACUCUCUGUUGUUCACUUGUAAAAACAAAUAGCGGUUCCCUUUGUAAAAAAAGUGCAGCCCCUUAGUGGUUCACCUUGUAGAAAAUGAGAAAGAAAUCCCCAUGGGAGGUUCACUUCUUUUUCCAAUGCAUUUUGUUUUGUUUGUGGGAUGAUUGAAAAAAGAAGUUCACUCCACUUGUUUAGUAGCUCAUACCCCUUUGUAUGAAAUGCAAUUUGUUUCGUGUGUCUCAAAAUCAGUCGACUACAUCAACACGUGCAGUGCGUUUGGUUUUUGGAUGUGGUUCAUUUUUUAGAGUGAUGUUGUUCACUUGUGCCGAACAUGAAAGCACAAAAAAAAUUAGCAAAACAAUAAAAAUAGUAAUGCGGUUCACUAUGAUAUAUGAUGUGGUUCGCUUGCUCGCGUCUCUGCGGUCCACUCUUGUUCAUAAAAAAAUUGAAAAAAACCAUCAAAAACUCGUCCGAGAAAAAUUUACAUCCGACAAAGGAAACCAUGAAGUUCACUUGCCUGUCUGAUGCAGUGCGGUUUCAUCCGAUGCAGUGCGGUUUUCUGUCGAAUGACGUUCACUCACCGAUUUGGGUGUCGCAAAAAACAGUGUCCGCAUAUUCGUAAUUUUAAAAUUUCUUUUAAACCGUAAGGAAUUAGAGAGAGUGUUCUACAUGAAAAAGUUGCGUCUCGUCGAUAUCUUUCCAAUGCCAUAUCAUUUGAAUCAUUUUGACAAGCAGUUUGUAAAAGUUUGGCAAAAAACGACUGCUGCCACUCAUCGUCCGCCGCACCAUUUUAAAAAUUAACUUAAAACCGUAGGGAAUCUCGAAACCAUUUCUACAUAUGAAAGUUGCGCCUUGUCCAUAGCUUUCCAACGAUGUAUUACACGCCUCAGUUCGAUAAACGGUUCAAAAACUAGAGUGAAAACAGUAUCGAACAUUGCAAAAAAUUUCAAAAACGUAAUUUCGCGAUUUAGUAAAUUUGAAACUGCUCAAAACCGAAACGAAUUAGAGAAAAUAAUAGGUAUGGAAAAGAUGUGCCUCAACGAUAUCUUUCCAACGGCGUAUCAUUUGCUUUAUUCCGAUGAGCGGUUUUGAAAAAAUCAUGAAAAUACGCUCGCUGCCACUCGUCAUCUGCAGCACCGUUUUUGAAACUGCUCUUAAACCGCGAGGAUCUUGAAAAGUGUUCAACAUGGCAAAGUUGCGCCUAAUCCAUAGCUUCUCCAGGUAUAUUACACGCAUCAUUCUGAUAAAUGGUUAAAAAAUUAGAGCGAAAAAACUACUAAAAAUACUGCAGCACACUUGGUUCAAACAAUGACGUGCACUUGCGUUGAGCGUGCACUUCGGAAGUGUUAUCAGAAUAACUAUUCUGCUAAUAUUAGCAUAAUAGACAGACUGUAUAUAUAUAUACAUCUGGUUACCCUAUGAUGAAUUCAAGCGGUUGAACUGAUGCUUUCUGUUCCUGUUAAAAAUCGUCUUUUUUAGUUCAAAAGUUUUUACAAUUUUUUUAUCAAAAUAGGGCGUGUAAUAUAUCAUUGGAAAGCUCUUGACAUCCACAUUACAAUAUUAUAAUUUUUUUUUGCAAAAAAAUUAAGAUUUACGAGCAGUUUUGAAAAAACCGUUUUUUUUUCAAACUGAAAAUGCGAAUCGUAUUUUGGACUUAAUUUUCAAACGGUUUGUUGGAAUUGAGCAAAUGAGAUGGCAUUGGAAAGCUUGUGAAAAUCCGCAUCUUCUAUAUUUCUACUAUUUUUUCAAAUUCUAUACGAUUUAAAAGUAAUUUGAAAAAGAGUGAAAUUCUGGGUGAAAUGUUUUUUCACUAUUUUUUUGCAAAUGGUUUGUAGGAUUGAUACAAAUGAUAUGGUGUUGGAAAGCUAUGGAAAAUGUGCAAAUUUUGCGUAUAGAAAGUUUUUUCUAAUCCUUACGGUUUAAAUACGAAUUCAAAUACGGUUAAAAUUGAUUUUGAACGUGUUUUUUAAAAAGUUUGUCGAAAUGGGGAAAAUAAUAUACCGUUGGAUAGCUAUCGAAAAUGCAAAACUUAGUCAUGUUGGACGUUUUCUCUACUUCGCAACCGUUUAAGAGUAAUCUUGAAUACGGCAUGACGGAUCCUGCUAUUUUCUCGUCUGAAAAACAGAUUAGUCGUACUGAUAUAUGUGUAUGUUUGUACUGAGCUAUUUUUUGUAGAGUAAUUUUAAAUGGUGCCGAAAAAAUGUACUUAUACUGAUGCUUGCAUGGUUUUGUACUAAACGUGUUUUCACUAACUAGACUUUGCUCUGUUUUUUCGUGAGAACCAUCAUGCUGUUUUUUUGUGAGAAAAAAUAGAGUACUUGUACUGAUCUUCGUGUGUGUUUGUACUAAUGUAUUCUUCAAAGAGUAAUUUUGAAAGGUUACGAAAAAAGAGUACUUGAACUGAUGUCCGUAUGGGGUUGUACUGAGCGUUUUUUCACAGACUAGGCUUUACUCUAUUUUUUUACUGAAAAUUGUUUCAUCAAUUGUUCGCAAAUGAUAGUACGAACUAAGAUAUGUGUUGGUUUGUACUGAGCAUUUGUUUCAUCAUUUGUUCGCAAUUGAUAGUACGAACGGAGCUUUGUUCAUUUUUAUACUGAGCAUUCUUGUCAGUGCCAGGAUCUCCGGAUUUAUGUUGUUUUGUUCUGCGAACUUCCUCAAAAUUUUAUUGGUAAAUCACACCGUUUUUUUUCUUUUGCUAAAUUUUUGUCCUCUGAACUUGUGACCUAUGGAGUUUGUACUGAUAUGAAUCGUUUUGCCGAACCGCCACAAUUUUUUGUGUAUUGAAUCACUAUAUAACUUAGAACCAAAUUGUUUUUCUUAACAUAUAUUUGAAUUGUUUCUAUAUGUACAUUGAAUUGGGGAAGAGUAGCAAUAGUUAUACAUACUUUAUGGAUAGUAAUACAUGAAUUUCUUGGUAAACUGAAGAAUAUACUCUGGACCGUAAUACAUGUCCUCUCGAGUUUGUACUGAUGUGAAUCCUUUUGAACUUGCUCUCGACGGUAAUACAUGACCUCUCGAGUUUGUACUGAUGUGAAUCCAUUCGAACUUACGUGGCUUACAUCAUUGAACGGACUCUAUUCUUCUCACUACCACCAUUGUUUUGUCCAUUUCUUUUUGGACUUGCAUGGCUUACAUCGUUGAACGGGCUUAGGUGGAUAUGUACUAAUGAACUACUAUGAUUUGUAGCUCUCAGGAAAUGUAAUCCUUUCUUUCCCUGUUAUUCUGAAUACCAAACAGCAAAAAAUCAGUUCUCAUAAGCACGAAAAAAUUAUAUAUGUACCCCUAAAUUUUGCAGCUAUUUUGUCCUCUUUCAUUUCGAAAAAAGCAUACAAAAAGCAAAAGCACAAACUAUACAAAAGGUUUUAGACACCAAACUAGUAGAGAAUUAAAAAUAGGCAUCAGGCAGCAACUUGCUAAACAUAGCACGAGUCAUAUACAUAUGCAUUUCAUCCCAUUAUACUUCUCCACCCGCAUGGAAAGUGAGAGAACCUCCCUACAUGCAUAUAUAGGCAUCAAACUCCCUCUGUACCUGAACUAUAUUUUUGUUUGAUAUAUAUUAUGAACUCCUCUCGUCGAUGUACAUGAACCUGCUGUGCAGAGAGAUGAAAUGUAGUACAUCAGUCUAGCUUCAUUCAGCUAGAGAGAAACAUGAAAAAAUGUUCAGUUUUUUAGACGGCUUUCCUCUUUUUCUUUGUCCAAUCUGCGCCACGACUGCCACCAUCCUGCAUGCAAGCUUAAAAUUAAUUGAAGCCACCAAACAUGCACUUUCAUGAGACUUUGCUACUAUAAGUCAGCGAACAUAUCUUUUAGUAUUAAACCAAAGGCACACUUAUUACCCAGCACUCUUGUUCAGUUCAGAGCAUCAUCAAUAAGAUAAAGAUACGAAAACAUUAAGCCAAUAUAGAACAACUGGAUUGAUUUGAUUCAAAUUUUUACUUUCAAUGCAUUGUAGGCAACAGCCGAUCCAAGUCAGAACUGAUGUGAUUUAUUCCAUCGAACUGAUAUGAAAGUUUAUCUAUACUGUUCUGUUUUUUAACACACAUGUUUUGAACUAUUCCCGCUUUUUUCAUUAUGAAUUGAUGACAUAACACAUGUUGAACUGUUACACAAGAGCAAAUUCAGAAAUACAUAACAAUGGUGUACUCAAAAUAUGUGCAUUUUAAGGAACAAAACUUUCUGAACCUUCUAUACGAAAAACUUCAACUAUCAGUCCAAAGAGAUUUGAAGUUAAACAAUCAUUUCCCUUACUGAGUGUUAAGGAAAACGAAACCAGAGAUGACCUCGCCGGCAGUAGGAGUAGCGAUGGCUGCCAAGGCGACGCGUUGGUACAUGUACUAAACAUCUGCUCAAACCUGUUGUAACAUCUACUUCAAGCUUUUUCUAAAUCAUUGUUGGGAGUAGAGGGUUUUAAAAGAAAAUACAGAGUGCCAAAGAAAGAAAGGAACAACCUAUUUAUCUAAAGGACUGUGAUAUUUGGCACACGUGUGCCAUAUAAGGAAAACUGCCACACCUCUAUUUCUUUCAUUUUAAAGUACCAUACGAUCCCUCGUUCUUUGACCCCGCCUCUUCCCAAAUUACCCCGCAGGCUCGCCUGAGAAACCCGCUUCUCCCGCACAUCUCGGGAGCUUACCCCCGAGAAAACUGCCACUUCUUCACGUCUACCACAUGAUCUCUCCUCAGGACAAAGUUACCAUGAUAUUCAUAUGAAAGUUAUUAGGCCUGUGUUGCAUAGCUUACCGUACUAUUUACAUGGAACGUAUCAGGUACUAUGCUUCAACAACUAGACCCUUUCAAAGUUACCACUAUGUUUUGUACACAAGUUAUAAGGUCUUCGAUGUGCAAAAUACCGUGGUACUUACACAUAAGUUAUCAGGGUAUAUGUACAUCAACCUCCCCCCGGUCAAAGUUACCAUGGGGGAUUGUACAUGAGUUACCAGGUCUACGGUUCGUAUAUUAUCAUGGUACUUGCACCUAAAAACCUGGGUGUGUUUCGGUAGCUUUUCUCAUAGGUCAAAAAUUACCAUGAUGUUUUUGCGUAACUUAACAUGCCUAUAGCACGUGUGCCCCUCGUGACACUAAACAUUAUGUGACUUUCUCGUGGCACGCCAUGUGUUGUGUUCAUCCAAGAGGCCCACGCGCGAGGCAAGUGUAUUUUUUUAACAACUUAUAUAUUUUCCUUUGGUAAAAAAGUUAUCAUCAUGUUUAUAUUGCAAGUUAUCGGUUAUGCGGUGCUUAUAUUAUCAUGUUAUUUACACAAAAAUUAUUGGGGAUGUUUUGAACAACUUUUUCCCGAGGUAAAAAGUUAUCAUGGUGAUUCUAGGUAACCUAUCAAGCCCGUAGUGCUUAAAAUAUCAUGCUAUUUACAUAAAAUUUAUCAAGGAUAUGUUUCAGCAACAAAUUCCACCCCCCCAUGGGUCAAAAAUUUAUCAUGGUGUUUAGUUAUCGCAGUGCAUAUGUUUUCAUACUAUUUACACAUAAAAAUGCCAGGGGAGGGAGGUAUACUACCGUGCUAUUUACACAGAAGUUACCGGAGUAUCUUAAAAAAAUUCCCUACGGUCAAAGUUACCAUGGUGCUUCUACCUCCGUUAUUAGAUGUGCGCUGCGUAUAUUACCAUCUAUUUACACAUAAACUAUCAGGUAUCUUUUCACAUUUGUUGUCCCCAAUGGUUAAAGUUACCACGAUGUUUGUAUCUAAAUUAUCAGGUCUAUGGCGUGAAUGUUAUCGUACUAUUUACAGAAAUUACCGGAGGGCGGGUUCAACAAAUUUAUUCACAAUGAUCAAAGUUACCACGAUGCUUGAAACAAAAAGUUGCUAAAGUAUUAAAGGCAAAAACAUGUCAAAAACAGUAUUACCCUUAGAAUGUUCAACAAUGAGUAUCAUAGGUGAGGUGGUUAGCUCCCUUUGUUAAUUACCUGCAGACCAGAGAUCAAAUCCUAGUCUAAGCAUUAUUUUUGCUCAAAAUUGAGAAGGCAUGUGGGGCCAUAAAUGACGAUUACGAAAAUUAGGAAGGCACAAGCGGGAGAGAAUUGAUGACAUUGGAUGCGUGUGGCAGUUUCGCAAUCUGCCACACGGUUGCCAUAUACAUAUUUCGUUAUCUAAAUAGUGUGUGGAAUUGUUUAUAUGGAUGAACAAAACAUUACUUGAAGUAGAGGUUCUGCCAAAAGAAAGAAAGAGCAUCUUGCAGGUUCAAGUUUGAGUAGUUGAGCCAGACAAUUUAUCGUAGGUGUUGUAUGUAAUAAUAAUUUAAUUAUUUUCAUAGGAGUACGACUCAUAGUAUCGGCAUGGAGGUCGUGAACAAAAGCAGAAGUAUCCUUAAUUUUUUAUUAGUGACUGUAAUUUUCCUUAUAAAGAACAUACUACUCUCGUGUAAACCCAUCCCUCUACAUAUGUACUGUCAGUUUUUUGCAAAUCGAACAAAUUGCGUAUGUAGCAAGUGCUAGUAUCUUGAAAUGCAGUUAUGCGUAUGCCCCUAAGAGUAGGUGAAUAGAAAACUCGAACAAAAAAUAGCUUUCUCCUAAUAGUAAUCGUGCUAGAACUCAUUCAAAGCUGAAGUGAACUAUAAUUAUAACCAGCCUUUGUCAAUAGAAGUCCUACUAAUCACAAAUUCCUCUAAUUUCCUCCAGACUCAAGAUCAAGAUGGUGGACAGUGCACGGAUAUUACAAAAUUAACAAUUCACAAUACGAAUUAAGUAUCACAAAUUGCAAGGCACAAGUUUUGAGCACAUACAAUCUUUCAUUGGUAGGCAGCACUACAACUUUGGAGGUCAACACAUUAGGCAAACUCUUUGGAAUUAAGAUAGUGAAAAGUAAAUGUAUGCGAAAGCAAGCUUCCAUUCGGUAAACCAUCAAGCCCAGAUUGCUGCACUCCGAAUUUCCUUUAGACUCAUACGCUACCUUCAGAUCAGCAAGCUUUAUGUUCAGCAAGUGUGUAACAAAACAAGAAUUGAACUGGAAUAGAAUUUGAAAUUUGAACUGAAAUACAAUACGAAAACUAAACUGAGUGUACUUUCAGAUUUUCACAUGGGCAUUAGUGCAUGAAGCAGCAAUGAAAUUGAACUGAAACAAAUUUCAGUUCAGCAAACUUAUAUGAAGUUAUAUGAAGCAUGCUUGAAUGCGUUGACCCGAAGCAUGCUUGUAGGAGAGUAGUGGCACUGGAAGGGAGCCUUUUGCUGAACUUAUAUGAAGUUAUAUGAACUUGUCUAACUUAUAUGGAACUUAUAUGAAGCCUUUUGCUGAACUUAUAUGAAGUUGACCAGACAAGAUGAUACCGGGGCGCAUCAGAAUAUAGGAGAGUGGUGAUGCAAGUCAGUCACCGGCUGGAUAAUGAAGCGGGUGGUAUGCGGCAUGGAGACAACCAGAAAAUGGGACAUCCAGGGGUAGGGAGCGUCGUCGCUGAAGAUCAGAGAGUGUGGAGCGCAGGCGUGCGGUGUCCCCCGGCCGGCAACGGAGACGAAGGAGAUCGGGGAUAGUGCACUUUUUUCGUCAGCCUGCAAGAUGCUCAAGGACCAGGACAACAUGUAGUUUCAGAAUUACAGAUUGUGGUCAGCUAUAGGAUGUUUCUGGGACCAUGUUUUAGCUACGAGAGAGCAACAACAUCACAUCAUGAGAGAGAGGAUGCAGCAUCAAAAAUUCAGGAGAAAGAUCAGAGCAGAGCAGAAGUAAAUAUGUUUUGAGGAGAUGAACUGACCAGGAUUUAAAUGAACUCUCACUAGCAGUAAUUUUUGUACUUCGCAUGUAGUACUACAUGGACUUGCUGUAAAAUACAUGGACCAUGUAGUAAUUUUGAAGUUAAUUAUAUGAUCAUCUCAGGGAGCUCAAGUUGUACUGAAAGCUCAAGUUGGACUGAAACUCACUCGAUAACUAAAACUCCUAGGGCGAGGGGUGGGAUCCAGGGUGCUGCUAGCAAUGAAUGGCCUGGGGUGGUGGCGUUGAACGGCCUGGAGUGGUGGCUGUGAACAGCCAGGGUGCUCCGGCGGCAGAGCCCCACCGGAGAUGGUGAUGCAAGCAGGAGGUCGGGAAGCAGUGGUGCCGGUGGUCGGGGUUGUCCAAUGCACACGGCACACCAGUACAGGAAGUUGAUUCAUCACCCAUCCACAGUUUUUUUCCUUUUGGGAAUCCAUUGAACUGAAAAAAGCUACAUGUGAGCUGAAAGUAUGAAAAUAACACAUCUUUGAAAGAAUAAAGAACUAGCUUUAACUUAUCUAUGAAAGAAUACACCUCCGAGGAACUAGCUUUGAACAUAUCUCUGAAAGAAUAGAGAGCAUGCAAAGUUCAAGGAAAGAAUAAGCAAAAUGGCACACUAGUACGCAGUAGUACGAGUCCAGUCAUGUACGUGCUAGUAUUAGAUUUGAAUAGUAGCUAGAAUUGAAGUUCAGGUAACCAUGGCACACACAUCAUACAGUUUUAGUCAUGUAUGCACACACACUGUAAUAGUAGCUGCAAUUAAAGUUCAAAUAACCACGGCACCCAUAACAGAACAAGAAUCAGUCUAGCAGCUAGGCAAGCAAGCUUCAUCAGCAUGAAUACACAUCAGCGGCAAGCUAGAACACGCUAGUAGGCUGUAGAAGUCUCCUUGUAAUUUUUCAAACAGAAGUGCUUUAGUUCAGUUCAGUAGUAAGGCAUGGAAAAAGAAAAGCAAUGGAAUAAACUAUAACCGAGCCAAAUAUGUAAUUUCAACAACCUAGACCUCAUUGCUUGACUUCAGUAGUAAUACAUGAUCAUCAGUUCAAUAUAAACAGACUGAUGUUAACAUCAUCGUACAUCCAUUGCCGGUUCAUCUGCGUGCAUUAUAUAUAAUUAAGUGUGUCAAAAACCAUUACAGAAUAGCAUGAAUACAAAAGACCAAAUUAAUAGAAGUUCAUCAUCACAUUAAAACCAAAGUACAGUAGUGAUCAAAUGUUGUUACUGAAAAAAUAAAUACAUAAAGUUCAUACAUAUAUAGUUCUCAUUGAACAACAUAUAUAUAGCUCUCUAGAGCAUCUAAUUAAACCAUACAUUGAAACAAUGUAAAAACAUUUCAAUGCAACAACAAAUGCGAUCAUAAUCGCAACUAAGGUAACAAUUGAUCCAACGGCAUAAUGAUGCCAAGCCUCGGUAUGAAUGGCAUAUUUUCUAAUCUUUCUAAUCUUCAAGCGCAUUGCAUCCAUCUUGAUCUUGUGAUCAUUGACGACAUCCGCAACAUGCAACUCCAAUCCCAUCUUCUCCUCCUUAAUUCUUUUCAAUUUUUUCUUCAGGUAAUUGUUUUCUUCUUCAACUAAAUUUAACCUCUCAACAAUAGGGUCGGUUGGAAUUUCCGGUUCACAUACCUCCUUGAUGAAAACAUCUAUGUCAUGUUGGUCGGCAUAAUUUUCAUACACACUAAAUGAACAAAAUAGUUAUAAAAUAUAAUAUAUACCACAUCGGAAUCAUAGACAGGACGAGGGCCGACGGAGGCGGAUACCAAAACCAUCGCACUAUAUGAUAACAAAAAAUAAUAAAAGUAAUAAAAUUAUACAAGUAUCUAUCUAAAUCAUACAAGUAAGAACUUUUUUCUUUUAGAAGAUAAGAACAAGAGGCUCACCACGGUGGUGCCAGCGACGAGAUCGGCGCGGGCGAUCGACAGCGGUGAGGACGGGGACGGGACAGGAUGGACCGCCAAACCUAGACAAAUCUUAAGGAAAAUGGAGUUUGGACAAGGAGCUUCGAGAGGAGAAAGCUUAAGUAUGUCUCGGACAUUUCACCGAACACCUCAUGUGCAUAGGAGGUGAGCUAGAGCACCACAAAGCUCUCCCACGGCCGGCCAAAAAAUAGAGCAAUGCACUGCUCUGCUCGCGGGCAGGGGGAUAUAUAGGCCUCUCUUUAGUCCCGAUUUGUGGCUAGAACCGGGACUAAAGGACCCCAUUUGGUCCCGAUUCCAACCACCAACCGGGAUUAAAGGUUGUGGGCCAGGAGCGAGGCCCAUUUGUCCUGGUUCGUGUCUGGAAGCGUGACCAAAGGGGUCAGACGAAUCGGGACCAAUGGCCCCCGAGGCCCUGCUGACGCCCUGGCUUUAUGAACCGAGAUUGAUGCACCCAUUAGUCUCGGUUCAUAGGGAAACCGGGAUUAAUGCCCUUUUCAGACCUGGACCAAAGCCCUAUUUUCUACUAGUGUUGUAGGCCUCGCUCACAUGAAGUAAGAACGGUCGGUGACGAUGCCUCAUAAAUCCAUGUGGUGCAAUCAUAGUUGGUGGUGCAGGGGAGGAAGUAACCUUCUUUGAUGGGGAUUCCAUCGCACGCUUGUUCGUCAUGUAGACGCGUCCUCUUAAUUUCUGUUCAGCUUUACAGGCAAGACGAAACAAAUGAUCGAUAGAAUAUAGUCUUCAUGCAUUAUUAUGUCUUGUAUAUCAUGGUUUAAACCUUUCCAAAAUCGAUUCAGAAAAUCUUCUUCGCAUUCUUGUAAGCCAGAACGAAACAAAGCAAUACACAAAUUGUCAUAAUAUUCUUCAACAAUGAUAUUGUCUUGUUCUAAACGUUUUAAUUUUCAAAGCAAAUCACUGGCAUGAUAUGAAGAACAAAUCGGUCUCGCAUAACAAGUUUUAAAUCUUUCCAAGUAGAAGGCCUAUUAUCAAUAUUUUUCCUGCAAUAAUUUCUCCACCAAACUGAAGCAAAACCUAAAAACAUCUUAGUGACAACAUUUAUUUUCUUAUGCUUGGGAAGUUCAUGGCUAGCAAAUAUUUCUUCUACCUCAAUUUCCCAAUCAAUAUAUGAAUCAGGGUCAUAUUUACCCUUAAAAUUUGGCAAAGAGGUAACAUGAUGAUGUGUGUUUCUACCAUGAUGUAUAUCAUGUGACGAUCGUCGUACCUUUUGUGGUGGGAAAGAGUGAUCUUUAUCAAUAUAUGGCAAGUCAUCUCCCACAAUAGAUGCACCCCAACUGUCAACCGCUCUAGAAUCUGCCAUGGUUAGUACCACACAAAAACAAAAAUAAUAAGUAUAAUGUUUCUAUAGUACUACUUGGAGGUGGCAGAAAAAUUCUCUCAACACUCUAGCAAUUACCAAGCUCUUACCAGAUCUUACCGUGCUGCAGUGGUUGUCGGCCUUUGGCGCCUUCAAAAGUUAUCAAAGUUGGAUAUAGUGAUUGCCAAAUCACCGAACAAGGUACAAUAUAGAAAGUGGAGCUUGGUGAAGGUUUUCUCAACUCACAAUAUCGGUGGCACAAUUUUGCUAAAAGUAAUGCAAGAUGAAUAAUUGCUCAAACUCCUAACUAGUGCUGAUAGUCGACUAGUAAGAGAUAAAAUAAUCUAAGCCCAGAUACUGAAUCAAGCGAGAGGGAACUGACGAAAAUAUAAUAGCUCCAAGUAGCUAGAUAUAAGUGAGGUAUGAACGUAGUGUAUGGCAACCAAGAGCAGACAAAAAAAUCCAACACUUAUCACUUAUAUGAAUAGAGCAGGCUGAACAGCAAAAGAGAUUUUUCAAAAGAUGCUAGCUGGCCAAAACUUUGCAUCAAAUUUUUUUAUUCUUUUUUCUGAAUUUUCCUUUUUCUUCAACUUUCAGGCCGGCCGCUAGUAGAAGUCACGGACACAAAUAUCUGACCAAACAGGUAUGAAGGGGUGGCCGGGGCACAUCUGGUGUAGCCCAUUGGCGCUGUCCAGCGGUAAAAGAUCUCAUGCCAUUGCUGAAAUUCACGUCCCCCACCCAGGGCAUUUUGGUCAUUUUGCAUCUAUGCCCUUUUCCGAUUCGCUGCAUCCUCCCCCAAUGAGUGCCUCCCUCAUUUUUCUAUCCCUCACAUCUCUCUCGGGAGAGAGUCGCUGCCGCUAGUCAUCCUCCCCGUCUGCCGCCGCUGCCGCCAACCAUCCGCAGCCGCGCCACCAUCCCCUCCCCGUUCCUCUCCCGUAGCUGAGCCAGCCAUGGCCAGGAAGAAGUGCAAGUCCUCUUCCUUCCUCCCUCACCCCUGAUCUGAAUCCUCUCCCGGAACCCCAGCCAGCCGCACGCAUCCCAUAUGGCGCCGCCCAGCUCGCAGCCCUCGGCCGCCGAGCCAUCGCGAGGCUCCUCGCGCAAGCGCACGACCUCCUCAAAGGCUGCGCCCGAGGCCGACCUGGAGUUCACCGUCACCAAGGAAAGGUAAGGGGAGGGGAGGGGAUGGAAGGGAUCGAGCGACCAGGUGAGGAAGCGCCCAGAUCCACAGGGCCAUCGACACUUCGUCAUCGACCUCAUCCGCGACCGUCCUCGAGGUCGGCCAUGGUGGUCCGGCCGGCAACAGCCAUGGAAGGAGAGGCCCGAAUCCCUGGCCCUCCAAGUACGCGCCUGCUGCAGGCCAUCUCCGGCGAGCUCAUCCACAGAUCUCCAACUAUGGUGCGUGCGCAUGAUACCUAAACCCCUUGUCUUGUCGGUUUCUUCAUCUUCCCUCCUUGUGAUUCCUUGGUUUGUUUUGUGCGCAGUUGCUCCGAUCUGGAAGAGGUGGUGGAGCUUUUGUUGUUGCUGCUGUAGGUGGACGAGGCACCACCCUCUCUUUCUACUUCUGGACACAACCUGGUGGUGAUUGCAAAUUUCAGUGUUAAAAAAUUCAGUUCAAUUCAGUCAUGUUCUUUUUCUUUUGUGGGGAAAUUCAGUCACAUUCAAUGUUCAACUUUUAGAGUUAACAAACUGUUGUUAUGACCACUAUGGUUUAGAUGUUCAGAAAUUCAGACAAAUGGUAUGAUGAAAUGAGCCACCUUUUAACCCCCUACUAAACCUACCGUGAACGUGAGAGAGCCAAUGCAGGGAGGUGUGGACAUUUUACCAUGUUCAUAGGAAGAAAUCAACAUAAAAUACACAGCUUGUAGAUGAUUCGUCAACCACCAUCAAACACGACUUGUAACUUUCUGGACUAAACUGAACCGUGCAAUUGACUCAAAAUAAAACUAAACCGUGCAAUUGACUCAAAAAUAAAUAGUAAAUAUACUUUGGUUGUGUCUGCAGAAUUGCAUUAUGGAAAGAUGUGUGUGAGGUUACCCCAUCGCCACUGGUUCCAACUUUGUCCAUCAUGUCGCUCUGAUGAGAAGACCUUGUCCAUGUUUCAUUAAUAGGGCAGAGUGCUGCUGAAGUAUCUAUGUUGAACAAUUAUAACAGUACCAAGUAAGUUUGCUCCAAUUGCAUUUGAUGCAGAAGGCACAACACCGCCAUCAUGCGUCAGGUUCAGUAGAAGGCACGACACCGCCACGCUCUCCUCCACUACAAUGCCAUGCACCCGGUAAUUAAACAUGCUUUCUCUUCAUUCNNNNNNNNNNNNNNNNNNNNNNNNNNNNNNNNNNNNNNNNNNNNNNNNNNNNNNNNNNNNNNNNNNNNNNNNNNNNNNNNNNNNNNNNNNNNNNNNNNNNNNNNNNNNNNNNNNNNNNNNNNNNNNNNNNNNNNNNNNNNNNNNNNNNNNNNNNNNNNNNNNNNNNNNNNNNNNNNNNNNNNNNNNNNNNNNNNNNNNNNNNNNNNNNNNNNNNNNNNNNNNNNNNNNNNNNNNNNNNNNNNNNNNNNNNNNNNNNNNNNNNNNNNNNNNNNNNNCAAGAUCUCAAAGAGGUGCCGGCGAACCCAGGCCACACCCAACGCGCUGGGGGGCUGUUGGGGGCGCCAGCGGAAGCAACAGCCAAUCAUAUUCCUCCAUGUAUCAUUUUUUCUGGUCCACUCAUUCACUUUUUGCCUGGCGACUGUCCUGGGGGCACCAACGGCUGGGAAACCGUCCUUGUGUUUCAUUCGGCGAAGGUGUUUUGCCCCCCAGGACGUGCUAUAUUUGGCCCGACGAUUGUCCUGGGGGCUCCAACGGUUGGAGAUGCUCUAAUUCAUUGUAUUUGCAUGUUUCCAGCAGCCAUGUAUCAAAAAAAGCUUCAGCUUUGGGUUGUUGAUUUAGCAGCAUCAAUCAUUAAUUGUUCUGCUAUAUAUGUUCUUAACCAUGACAACCUGAUUAGGCUCUUAGUUUAUUAUGGUCUUUGUUCUGGGUGGAUCUCUGACUAUUCUGGGUGGGCAUGAAUCUCUUCUUUGUUUCUUCAUCUCCUCUUAUUCUGAUUCCUGCAUUUGUUUUAUGUGAAGGUUGCUCCGCUGAGGACAAGCUGCUUCUGCAGGUGGACGGGCCCUCAAGGCUGCUCUGCCUAUUCCUCCUGCUACCCCCACACGUGGUGAGCCCCAUCCGUUCUCGAGCUACCCCUGCAAAUCUGAUGUGAUGUGCACAAAAUACUUGCAAUUGUUCUCGACACAGGAGCAUGUCAUGUAUUGUUCUAUUUGAAUGUGCAAUUUCAUUGCUUCUGUGAUGUUUGAUGCUUGCUUCACAAGAGGGAAAUCAUGGAUAUAAACUGUGCUUCCUUUCAAGUUGAAUAGUAAUGAUCACCAUUUGGUUCCAUUUUCUCCUCUGCAUCCAGUGUUCACUCUCUCAUAGAUGUCCAUAUAUACAUAGUUCUGAUCUCCUUUUUUCUGCGGCUCCAUACAGCAAACACAAAGCCGUCGAUGCAUUGAGGGCUCAAUGUCGUCUCCGCCGGCUGAGCGGCAAGCCGGGGUUGGGCCUGCACACCGUCUAUCAGCACCCUCCCGUGUCUCCAUUCACGGAUCUGCAGGUCAACCCCUCUUCUCCUCCUAUCCACGCAUCUUCUUUUCCAGAGCUAGGUGUAUGGUUGCAUGGCAAUUUGUGUUUAGGGGCUCACCAUGUUCUGCUUGCCCUGGUUGGCCAAUGAGGCUUUCCUUUUCUUGUAAAGGCCAAAUGUACAAUUCUCUAUGCUUUAUAUUUUUGUAGUUCCUUUGUUUCCAUGCUAGUUUUUUGAUGGGGUGUAAAUAUAUGCUUUUUUGUUCCUUGUCUGGAUUCAGGUAGGGCCUAACAUUAUUGUUCCUUUGUGCAUGGAAAUGUUGGUGGUUUUGUUCCUUUGUGUAUGGAAGGGGGCCUUGAUUAGAAUUUUUAACGUUUGAGUUGUAAUUAGUGUUUUUGUUACACAUGAAAACAUAUGGUUGUUUGUCCAAUCACAUAUGAAAAAGAGAUGAUUGUUUGUCCAACAAUUUUCUUUCUCUGUGAUAGUUUUACUAGAAAUAAAGCAUAGUCACUAUUACAUCCUAUUUUAUAUCUUGUUGUGUCGUGAUAUCUAUAUAGACUCUGUCUACGUCCUUUUGACAUUCCAAGUUUUGUUUUUCUAUGGCUCAAUUAGUUACCCCGUAUCAAGAGAAAUUUAACUGGUAUUUGCGGUAGAGUUAGCUGAAUUCAUGAAGCAAUGAUUUAGUUAUUAUUAAAGCUGAAACACAACAUGUUUUGACAAAUGCGUUCUAAGUAAAGCCUCCAACUAACAUAACCAAAAACAUAUUCUUUAGGUUUAUCAUCUAUUGAAGUAUUAUGUAGAAUUUUAAAUCAUACGAGGCAAAGCAAAUGAGCUCUAUGCACUUUCCAUGUAGCACAAAACAAAAAUAAUCAUGUAUAUUUUGGAUGCACCUAGAUAUACUCAUCAGCAAGGCUGAGGUUAUAGGGCAGGGCACUCACCCACAUUGUCGACAUCUCCGUCACUAUGAUCACCCACAUGAUGGACAAUUCCCUUCUUUCUUUUCUCUGUGGCUAUUGACACUUAAUGCUAUUACUGUGUGCAUAUAUGUACUGUGAUCCAUUCUCAUUCUUCAUAUCUUGAGAAACUAUCUCAAGAUACUCGCAUUUGUGUUUUGAAGAAAGCCUAUUCUAUGAUUAAUAUAUCAAGUAUGGAUGGCGCGAUAUCACCUCUCUUUAUGAUGAUGUUCUUACAGAAUAUAGGUUUUAUGGUAACACGUCUUAGCCAACACCUAUACUGAUGCUCAGACCAGAUGAUUAUAGGCUCUCCUUGCUAUUUUUCUUGAGGUGUGUACAUCUAUCUAGACAAUUUAAUUAAAAUAUAUAUUCCAUACAAACCAUCAAUACAUGUUAGUUGACUUUGAAACUAAUCAGUAAAAAGGUUGUCCCUUUCGCAUUUUAUGGACAUAAAGAUUUGGUGUUGACUGUCGAUCUUUAGUUAACACAUGACCUUACAACCGUAGGGAGUGGGAAAAAACUUAUAUGUUUGGCACAUUUGAAGAACAUAUCAUAGUAACGAAGUUUUGGUAAACAAUGUCCUAGAUCUCAACCAUAUAGAAAUACUAAAUAUAUGUUUAUUUGUAUAUGGAUUAAUUAUACAGACUUAUAAAACCUUGUGCAGGGCACAUAAAAGAAAUUUGAAAUAACUAUUAUUUCAAUAUUUGCUUUUUCAGUUGAGCAUAAUAGUUUAUAGCCUGAUAGGCUUGGACAUAAUUGUCUACAUGUACUGCUCAGUAGGCGACAUCCUUUGGGAAAUUGAGGAUGUCCUCGUGCAUUUUCUAAAUACAAUUGGGGCAUAUCUGAGGAAUGAAGGGAGGAAUAAUCUCGUGGGAGAGUUCGGUGCAGAGGAAGAAGAACAAGAUAUUAUUUAUUUCUUGUGUACAGUCAAGCUUGUGCAUUGUCCCACUGUAAGUUAUUUCAACAAUAGUAGUAACUGUUAUCUCUGGCCAUCUGUUGCGACAUUUUCUUUAACCACCAAUGCAUAUUUAUUUUCUUGUUAAUAACUCUCAUAAUUGCCUGCUACUGUUUCAGUUCUGGGGCCAGGCAACCUUGAAUCCAACGUCCACCUGCAGGCUACAUCUCAGGUAGGAUAAAAAGAUUGCAGUGAACUUGAUGGGUAUAUCAUUAUUGUUGCCUCCUAAUUUGUGUGAUGAGCAAAUGUGUAGAUUGUGUGUAAAUCCGAGAUGCCUAAAACGGUUGGGAACUGAACUUGUUACCUCGGUUCACUUUAAUGGCAUGUUAAACUCGAUGCACUUUCUGGACUGUGACAUUUUUCCUGAAAUUUUGGAAGUGACUGCUAAUGUAGUCUAAAUAGAGUGACUGAGUAGUUACUUUCUCACAAGAGUUGACUUCCCGUUAUUGGAGUACUUGCUAAGAUGGAUUGGUGGUUUUUAUGUUAGAUGAAAAAUAUUACAUCAAUCUUUACGGCUUUUUAUGGGCAAGUGAUUCCGACUCCAUAAUAAGGAAUAAUAUAGCCCUAGUGCUGUGAUAAUGUUAAAACAUUUACCUCUUUUAUCGGUUCAUGUUAUGUAUUUGCUGCGAAAAAAUGGUCUUAUAUCAAAUAAUAGCCUAGAGCUUUUGGAGUGUUAUUACUUGUAUUUGUUGCUUGGAUGUAUAAACCUUCAACAGACUGUCAAUUUUGCUUUUAUAUAAUCUGUUUGUUUAAGUCUGCUGCAUAUUGGUCAAAAGCUCAUGCUAAUUGAUGAUGUUAGGUGAUGAUCUUGUAUCUAACAGUGAUUUCUGAAUGCAUGCUAAAGAAAACUCAUGAACAUCAUGGCGCCUUGUUGAUGGGGUGAUCAAUAGCUACUAUAUUGGGACCCUGAACUUAAAUUGUAGGUCUGAUUUUGUUUCGGAGUUCUCCUGCUACCCACAAGCUUAGAUAGUUCUUUUGUUUGUGCAGGGGAAAUUGCAAAGCAUAUUAUGAAUUGUUACAAGAAACUAUUUCUGCUGUUUUGGUGCAAGGACGUUGCUUUUUAGUAUGCUUCCCGUAUCUUGGUAUCUUGGAAUAAUAAACAGAUAGAUGUCGUGUACCAAGAUUGUUCCUUGUUGUUAAGAGGGAUACAAAUAUUAUACAAGAUUUUUUCUGAUGACUCCUAAAGCAUAUUUGGAUAUACAGCAAAGUAUAUUGUCGCUUCCCUGUUAGUAAAACGAUUAUUUUAGAAAUUUGGUUGGCAGCCCCUACAUUUGGCUGAUUGCUAGCUUACUGGAUUACUCAUGUUUGCGGACUCUGGUAACUUAUGCCUACCAAGAACUACAUGAAUUUUGUGUCUUGCUGCAGUGAACAUUACCAAACUAAUUCUAGAGGUGUUAUAAUCAUGUUUUCUUUUGCAUUAUCAACUUUUAACUUUUGUCAUUUGUUAACACAUUCCUUUUGCAUUAUCAACUUUUAACUAUUGUCAUUUGUUAACACGAUUAUUUAGUAUGUUCACUAUGCGAGUACUCCCUCCGUCUGAAAAUACUUGUCAUCAAAAUAGAUAAAAAGGAAUGUAUCUAGAACUAAUAUACAUCUAAAUACAUCCCCUUUUAUUCAUUUCGGUGACAAGUAUUUCCGGACGGAGGGAGUAGUAAUAAUAGGAGCUAUUUAUUUGCCAGAUAACUAACACUAUUCAUAUGGCAUAAGGGUUAGAAAAAGAACUGUAUUCUUGCUGUGUUGAUUUUCGUAUGGCACACUAUGGAUUCUUUGUGUAACACAUAAUGUCGAUCAACAUGUGUUUACAACGCAGGGAGGAGCCGGGCGACAAGGCAGUCAGACCAAACUCUCUUUCCAUAUAUAUAGGUAGUCUGAUGUUAUGCCAUAGCCGAACCAUAUAUGUUUCGUGUACUGCUCUAUCAAUCUGGUCUUUUGGUAUAUUAGACUCUAUCCUUUGUAAUGAACUUAUUGUCAUGGGCGAUCAUUAUGACUGGAUCGUAUGGUAUGAAUCGGGUCUUUAUGCUUUGUGAUGAAAUAUCAUAUUAUCCUGUUCACCAGUUUGGUUUGGUUUUGAGCUAAAACGUAUAAAAAUACAUGGCUUACAACAAUGGAUAUAUGUGAUGAUAUAUUGAGUGAUUAAGCAUAAUUUUAGACUUUCGGUGCUGGACCAAUGGGAUGCAUGGGGUAAUUGAAUGUUUCUUCUUCACUUUUUAUUAUCGGUUGGGAUCAGCACUCUCGCGCGAUCUAGUUAUGAUGAUGCUGCCUAUACAAAGCAAAUCUAUGUGGCUAUAAAGUGGAGCACCAUGGCGAACAAGAAACUGGCGCUUGAGGACAGACAUGAGUGGAACUGAUGUCUGAUGCAACACGGCGUUGCUGUACGCGUCAGGGCAGACAGCAACGACGUGUAACAGAUGGGAUGUCGGAUUGCACGCAAAACAAAGGAAUCCAAUGCAAUUUUGAUAGUUUUUUUUUCAGAUUAUGGACGAGCUUGCGGCGGAAACCAUGGUGGAGAAAAAAAAGUUCGAUCUAGUAGACAAAAAUUUCUCAUACAAAUCUAAACCAGCACUAUUUGUAGGAUGAUGCAACCAAAAAUUCAACUACGCAAGUACUAGAUGCAAAAAUUGCUAACGGCUAAAAAGAUAGGUGCAAAGGAUGAACUAAUCUUUCUUUCUUUUUUGGCUUUUUUUGGGUUAUAGGACAUGAAAAAUAAGCUAAUCUAACAAAACUGUAAAUCUCUCACCGCUGAAAGUGAAAACUGAUACCACUUAUGUGACGGCGGCCCGAUGUUUCGAUGAGAGUGAGGAUAACUAUCAAUUUGAUGGAUUCUGAUCUUGACGCUCCGGCUAUACAAUACCCGACGAUAUGCCUCGACAAUCGCUAAACCAAUCUCCGAUGGUUAUUGACCUUGCCGUAGGCACGGUCAACCUGAACGACGAGGUUUGAGUUCCUGCAAGUAACUAAAGAACCGGCAAGAACAAAGGUGAAUUGCAAUCUGAAAUUGCGAAUGAAAAAUUAAGCACAUGAACUAGAUCAAAAGUUGGAGUUCCACUUUGGAUCUGACAAGGCGGUAGUCCUACACGUCUCAUAGAUGCGAAACUGUAGCAUGGCUAAACAAUACAAUAAAACCCGCGUAAACCCUAGAAUAUGAUGACUAUUUAUUAAAGGCCGGCGUGGAGAAUGCUUCGUCUAUUUUCUUGGAAGUCAAGACGGGCCUGCUAAUUGGCCGGACACACACGCGAUCUGAUUUGAAAAUAAACUUCUCAUAUCAAUCUGGUGGCAAACUGCCUCAUCGGUACUAUAGGCCCAGAUGCGCAACACACAAGGCCAUGCAUGGGCGCAAAACCUAUACGACGCCCUCAGCGUCCGAUACCAUGUUAACGGUACAGGGCACAGAACGUCGUGAGACAGUUCGGUCCAUAUCCGGUGUGGGCAUUAGAGCAUUGAGAGGACCUUUCCCUAGUACGAGAGGACUGGGAAGGACGCACUUCUGGUGUAUCAGUACACCCCCUUGUCACGAUGGGCCGGCCCACAUUCCUUUUUUUCUAUAUUAAAGACGCCGAAAAAACUGAAUGUAAGCACCAUGAUUCAAACCGGCAAUCGACUGGUUCAACACACACCACCUAACCAAUAGGCUACAUGUUGUUGACGUGGUUAGUUAUAGCUUUUCCUUCUUUUCUUCUUUGUACCUUCUUUUUUGUUUUUUUGUUCGAACGGUUUUGUUAGUUUUUAUUAUUUUCCAUCUUAAUUUUUUUCAAUAAUACAACAUUUUUCGUUUCAAUUUCGUGAACUUUUUUAAAAUUCGAUAUUUUUUUUCAAAAUUCAAUGAACUUAUUUUCAAAUUCGAUGAACUUUUUACAAAUUGGAUGAACUUUUUUCAAAUUUGAUGAACCUUUUUUUAAACUCGAUGUUUGUUUUCAAAUUUGCCAACUUUUUUGAAAAUUCAUGUACAAUUAUGAAUUCAUGAAUUUUUUGAUAUUUUUUUAAUUUUGCAAAUUUCCCCUUUUUAGUUUUUUUAAAUAGCAAUGGUUUUUUCGACAAGUGCUUGCAAGAGAAAAAAGGCUAGCAAAGGAGCGAGCAGCGACCGAUUGAGCCAGCAGCAGCGGUCGAGCGAGUAGUCGAGCGAUUAGCAAUCGAGCGAGCAGCGAUCGAGCGAGCCAGCAGCAGCGGCCGAGCGAGCAGUUGAGCGAUUAGCGAUCGAGCGAACAAAUGCAUGUUGAUUCAAUAAUGCUCAAGUGUAAAUAUUCUGUAUUAAACUUCGCAUCUUCACCCGAGGUUUGUGCAUCUCUUCUUUAAUCCUGCAUAUAAAAUAUUGUGUUGUAUUUUUGUUUCGGAUAACAAAAUAAUAAUUCAUAUAAUUUCUAUUAGAAUUCACCUGAUAAUUAUCUUUACGCGCAAUAAUUGUGGUUAUAUCCGUACGGGUCAUGUUUAUAUCAGGUAGUUAAUCUUCUUUUUCUUAUCCGCAAGACACUUCUUCACAUGCUCAUCCAAGAGGGUUUCGGCUGCCAACAUGAUCAUCGCAUCCACCACGUCCUGUGAGAUUCGCAACCUCUCCUUCUCAAGCUCUAUGUCGCCAAAUGUCUUGGCCUUCUCGAGUUCCCAUUUGAUCGCCACCCCUUGGUGGUCCACCAUGUCCGAACCUCCUUGCGCCGCCGCCGCCUCCCUCUCUCGCUGCAGGCGUUGCCGCAACUUCUGGGCGGCGUCCUCCGCCUUGCAAGUCAGAGCCGACGAAGGGACGCCGACGGACAAGGCGGACGGCGUCUUUGUCGCGGUGGUGGAUCGGGACCGGUGGUGAGGAUUGGGAGCAAGGGUGGAGGACGGCGAGGGUUCGGGCGCGGGAAAAGUUGGAGGGCGGCGGGAGGAGGAGAAAGGGUUUGGUGCAUUUGGCACAAUUUUCAAUGGGGUCGGGCUGACGGGUCCGACGUGGCGGGCGCGCCCGGGCGCCCCAUAUUUGGGCUAGAUAUGAGGGGUGCCGGUCAGCCCAGGCGUUCGAGGCCCGUUUAAGGAGCCCGUCUGGAUCGAAAAAUCGUGACCGGGUGGCCCACCCGGGUGUAUGAGCCAGGCUUGAGGUGCCCGACUGUAGAUGCUCUAAUCAUCUAGAUCUGACGCUCAAAGGCUCCACCCUCCCCCACGACUUGGGUUCGAGCGCCUCCCCAAAACUUCGUCGGGAUCCGCCACAACCGGCAACGGCGAGGCCAGAGGUGGCCGGAUCCGGCACAGGUUGGUCUCUCCCCUCCUUCUUCGCCCACCCUCUCCUCCUUACCUCACGCCACUUGUCUUCCCUUUUUUGCAGGUCGCCAUGGCGCGGACGGCGAUGACGGCAGGAGGGGCACACACAUCCGUGGAAUGGGACGCCGCCAUGGAGAUGGAGAUCCUUCUUCACACCACGCAGAGGCCCCAUGGAGCCUCCCUCCUUCUUCGGUGACUUCUUCUCAGGCCCCACCACUACCUCUGCCCUCCCCCCUCCUCUACUUUGAGUUGCACCAUGCUUUGUUUCAGAUUCAUCCACCCAUGGGUGAUACAUGGGAAGUUAGGGGUUGCUGCAGUUUGAGGUUAAUCCCUUGAUUGGCUGUUGUUUCGGGUUGAUUAGAUUAGUUAGCUCAGUUGGCUGCUAGACUUUAGGAGUGCAUACAUGGGUAUAACAUGCUCUGCACAUUUAGGAUUGAAGUAUUGUGUUGCAGCACUCAGUGACGUUAAUUUAGGGCAUUUCAGUGUCAGUUCCACUAUAUUUCGGGGGACAUUUAACAGUGCAAUUUCAUGGUUAUUACAGUGUAAUUUCAAGGUUCUUGCAUUCUAAGUUCAGAGAAUUACAAUGUUAGUUUAUGUGAAUUCCCGUGCAUUUUACUGUGUAAUUUAAGUGCAAUGGAAAUUAUAGUGUAAAUUCAGUGUAAUUUACUAUGUAAAUUUACGGAAAUUACACUGUAAUUCGUGUGCAACUUUUAGUGUAAUUUACACUAUAAUUUCAACGGGUUUACAGUAGAGUAAUUUAAGUGUAAUUACAGUGUGCACUUUAGAGCAAUCAUACUAUAUAUUUAGUGAAUUUAAAGUAUCACUCCAUACCUUUCGGGUUUGUCUUUUUUCUCUACAAGUUACUGCUAUACUGUUGAUUGAUUCUACCCUUGCGAAAGAAACUUUGAUGAGCACAUAAUUUUCUACUAUGUAAUUUGAGCAGCUUGGUAACCGUAAUUUUCAGUUUCCUUUGACCCUAGGCCCUUGUGCUUUAGAAUUGCUAUUUUUUGUCAGUGUACAUGCUAGAUCAUGUGGUUUAUGAUACUUCUCUGGUCCUUAUAAACAAAGUGACAUGUUUGUACUGUGGAAUAGAAAGAAUAUUUCAGUGUCUCUCUUUAGGCCUUUUGUCGAAUUGUUAUGUGGUCCAGUGCAGCCUUACGAAACCGGGUUCUAUGCAGUUCAUGUACAGUGCAAAACUCAUUAUUGCAGGUCAGGCCUGUAGCAUGUCUUGGGUCAUUGACAUGCAGGAAAGAAGGAAAAAGGACAUAGAAGUAUCAUUUUGUUAUUGGUCAAGAAAAUUUGAAUAAUGUCCAACUGAUUUCAGUUGAAUGACAAAUAGACAAUCCCUUGUUUAAUCAGUAGAUAUACACCAUUAACUCAAAUAGCAAAGAAAUACUAGUCCAUUUAUAAUCGAUGAUUGCGCAUGAUGCAUCCAUCCAUUCUAUCGGAGAGGCUGUGUUUUUUUUCUUCUUGUGCUAAGGUUGAUAGCAUCACAUAUCUUAUGCUUUUGUUUCUCAAGUAGAGCCUUGAGAUAGAUGUGUCUGCAACCGUCCUCGAAUGGUUGUGCAAUAAUAAUGGUCCUAGCUAAUUACUAGUAUGCACUGCUUAUAAAACAACUUGUUGCUCGUUUCACUUUGAGUAUGCUGUUGCUGCUAAAGUAGCAACAACAACAGCCAUGCUUUGGUUCCCCAAAAUUCAGAUGGCACUGGCAUCUCUACAUACACACACAUAUAUGAAUAUGCACCUCAGUUUGGUUCAGUUUGCAUGUGUACCGUUGCUUUAACUUUGACUGAAACUAUCUUGGUGGCACUUGCAUCAAUGUUGUGCUCUGCCCUUGUAUAUGUCCUUGGAGAAGAUGACCAUUGGACUGUAGGGGACGAACAACCUUGUCCUGCUCGAGGAGGAGGAGGAUGGCCACCCUGAGCUCGAGGACGACACGACAACAGGAGCACUCACCUCCCUACUAAGGUGAAGGUCCGAUCCGCCUGUUUAGAUGGUCUGCUCUUGUCUUGUGAUCUGAGGGGAGAAGAAAGCCAUUGGCCUCAAUUAUAUUUGCAUGUGAGGGGAGCGAUCCUUUUGGUAGAUGCAGAGUAUAGAUUACAUAUUCCACAAAACUCACCACACGAGUAUACUAACUAUAUCCACAAAAUUCACCACACGAGCAUACUACCUAUGUCCAAAUGUGGGUUUGAUACUUUCGACAUGAAACAUGAAUAUCAGGUUGGGAGUUUGGAGUUUAAUCAAAUAACGCAGCAAGGCGAUCAUCGGUAGGGAUGCACCUUUGAGGCGGCAAGGAGGGCUUCUCAAAGGCAGUACACAUGGCUUAUUACUGCUUGUAUGUGAGUACGCAGAUGUGGCGUCUAUGGAUAGAGGGUUAGGGGCGCAACGCAAGCGGCAGUAGGGGAUACACAACCUGAUUUGAUUUGGUCAAUCACGGGAAAUGGGAGAAGGCCUAGGGUGCAAAGUUUAGAUCGGUGGGUUGGUAGCGUUAGGCAUAAUAGAGAUCAAACCUUUUUCAUAGGCGUAUGUAGGUUAUUUCCUUGAAGCAUUUUAUCAAAAUGGUGUAGGCGGGUAAUAUCUCUCAACUUAAAUGUGAAGGGGAUAUAUUAUUUCCUUGUAGAGGCCGAGGAAUACAUGGCGUACCGCUACAUAUGCAACCAUGAUUUUUUGUGGAUGGUUACGAGAGAACCUGAAAGAUACCAUGGACCGAAGCAUGGGCACAUGAAGUUCCUGUUGGGGAACGUAGUAAUUUCAAAAAAAUUCCUACGCACACGCAAGAUCAUGGUGAUGCAUAGCAACGAGAGGAGAGAGUAUGAUCUACGUACCCUUGUAGAUCGACAACGGAAGCGUUAACUUGGUUGAUGUAGUCGUACGUCUUCACGGCCCGGCCGAUCAAGCACCGAAACUACGGCACCUCCGAGAUCUAGCACACAUUCAGCUCGAUGACGAUCCCCGGACUCCGAUCCAGCAAAGUGUCGGGGAAGAGUUCCGUCAGCACGACGGCGUGGUGACGAUAUUGAUGUACUACCGUCGCAGGGCUUCGCCUAAGCACCGCUACAAUAUUAUCGAGGACUAUGGUGGAAGGGGGCACCGCACACGGCUAAGAAUAUGAUCACAUGGAUCAACUUGUGUCUCUAGGGGUGCUCCCUGCCUCCGUAUAUAAAGGCUCAAAGGGGGAGGGGUGGCCGGCCAAGAGGAGGCGCGCCAGGAGGAGUCCUACUCCCUCCAGGAGUAGGACUCCCCCCCUUUCCUAAUUGGAAUAGGAUUCGCGGAGGGGGGAAAGAGGAGAGAGAGGAGGAAGGGGGGGGCGACCCCCUCUCCUUGUCCUAUUUGGACCAAAGGGGGGAGGGGCGCGCGGCCCAUAUCUGGCCACCUCUCCUCUCUUCCACUAAGGCCCACUAAGGCCCAUAUACCUCCCGGGGGGUUCCGGUAACCUCCCGGUAAUCCGGUAAAAUCCCGAUUUCACCCGGAACACUUCCGAUAUCCAAAUAUAGGCUUCCAACAUAUCAAUCUUUAUGUCUCGACCAUUUCGAGACUCCUCGUCAUGUCCGUGAUCACAUCCGGGGCUCCGAACAAACUUCGGUACAUCAAAAUGCAUAAACUCAUAAUAUAACUGUCAUCGAAACCUUAAGCGUGCCGACCCUACGGGUUCGAGAACAAUGUAGACAUGACCGAGACACGUCUCCGGUCAAUAACCAAUAGCGGCACCUGGAUGCUCAUAUUGGAUCCUACAUAUUCUACGAAGAUCUUUUAUCGGUCAGACCGCAUAACAACAUACGUUGUUCCCUUUGUCAUCGGUAUGUUACUUGCCCGAGAUUCGAUCAUCGGUAUCCAAUACCUAGUUCAAUCUCGUUACCGGCAAGUCUCUUUACUCGUUCCGUAAUCCAUCAUCCCGCAACUAACUCAUUAGUCGCAAUGCUUGUAAGGCUUAUGUGAUGUGCAUUACCGAGAGGACCCAGAGAUACCUCUCCGACAAUCGGAGUGACAAAUCCUAAUCUCGAAAUACGCCAACCCAACAUGUACCUUUGGAGACACCUGUAGAGCUCCUUUAUAAUCACCCAGUUACGUUGUGACGUUUGGUAGCAUAAAAAGUGUUCCUCCGGCAAACGGGGGUUGCAUAAUCUCAUAGUCAUAGGAACAUGUAUAAGUCAUGAAGAAAGCAAUAGCAACAUACUAAACGAUCGGGUGCUAAGCUAAAGGAAUGGGUGAUGUCAAUCAGAUCAUUCAUCUAAUGAUGUGAUCCUGUUAAUCAAAUGACAACUCUUUGUCCGUGUUUAGGAAACAUAACCAUCUUUGAUUAACAAGCUAGUCUAGUAGAGGCAUACUAGUGACACUCUGUUUGUCUAUGUAUUCACGCAUGUAUUAUGUUUCCGGUUAAUACAAUUCUAGCAUGAAUAAUAAACUUUUAUCAUGAUAUAUAAGGAAAUAAAUAAUAACUUUAUUAUUGCCUCUAGGGCAUAUUUCCUUCAGUCUCCCACUUGCACUAGAGUCAAUAAUCUAGAUUACACAGUAAUGAUUCUAACACCCAUGGAGCCUUGGUGCUGAUCAUGUUUUGCUCGUGGAAGAGGCUUAGUCAACGGGUCUUCUACAUUCAGAUCCGUAUGUAUCUUGCAAAUCUCUAUGUCUCCCACCUGGACUAGAUCCCGGAUGGAAUUGAAGCGUCUCUUGAUGUGCUUGGUUCUCUUGUGAAAUCUGGAUUCCUUUGCCAAGGCAAUUGCACCAGUAUUGUCACAAAAGAUUUUCAUUGGACCCGAUGCACUAGGUAUGACACCUAGAUCGGAUAUGAACUCCUUCAUCCAGACUCCUUCAUUCGCUGCUUCCGAAGCAGCUAUGUAUUCCGCUUCACAUGUAGAUCCCGCCACGACGCUCUGUUUAGAACUGCACCAACUGACAGCUCCACCAUUUAAUGUAAACACGUAUCCGGUUUGCGAUUUAGAAUCAUCCGGAUUAGUGUCAAAGCUUGCAUCAACGUAACCAUUUACGAUGAGCUCUUUGUCACCUCCAUAUACAAGAAACAUAUCCUUAGUCCUUUUCAGGUACUUCAGGAUGUUCUUGACCGCUGUCCAGUGAUCCACUCCUAGAUUACUUUGGUACCUCCCUGCUAGACUUAUAGCAAUGCACACAUCAGGUCUGGUACACAGCAUUGCAUACAUGAUAGAGCCUAUGGCUGAAGCAUAGGGAACAUCUUUCAUUUUCUCUCUAUCUUCUGCAGUGGUCGGCCAUUGAGUCUGACUCAACUUCACACCUUGUAACACAGGCAAGAACCCUUUCUUUGCUUGAUCCAUUUUGAACUUCUUCAAAAUUUUGUCAAGGUAUGUGCUUUGUGAAAGUCCAAUUAAGCGUCUUGAUCUAUCUCUAUAGAUCUUUAUGCCUAAUAUGUAAGCAGCUUCACCAAGGUCUUUCAUUGAAAAACUCUUAUUCGAGUAUCCCUUUAUGCUAUCCAGAAAUUAUAUAUCAUUUCCAAUCAGUAAUAUGUCAUCCACAUAUAAUAUCAUAAAUGCUACAGAGCUCCCACUAACUUUCUUGUAAAUACAGGCUUCUCCAAAGGUCUGUAUAAAACCAAAUGCUUUGAUCACACUAUCAAAGCGUUUAUUCCAACUCCGAGAGGCUUGCACCAGUCCAUAAAUGGAUCACUGGAGCUUGCACAGUUUGUUAGCUCCCUUUGGAUCGACAAAACCUUCCGGUUGCAUCAUAUAAAACUCUUCUUCCAGAAAUCCAUUCAGGAAUGCAGUUUUGACAUCCAUCUGCCAAAUUUCAUAAUCAUAAAAUGCGGCAAUUGCUAACAUGAUUCGGACAGACUUAAGCAUCGCUACGGGUGAGAAGGUCUCAUCGUAGUCAACCCCUUGAACUUGUCGAAAACCUUUUGCGACAAGUCAAGCUUUGUAGACAGUAAUAUUACCGUCAGCGUCAGUCUUCUUCUUGAAGAUCCAUUUAUUCUCAAUUGCUUGCCGAUCAUCGGGCAAGUCAACCAAAGUCCAUACUUUGUUCUCAUACAUGGAUCCCAUCUCAGAUUUCAUGGCUUCAAGCCAUUUUUCGGAAUCUGGGCUCACCAUCGCUUCUUCAUAGUUCGUAGGUUCAUCAUGAUCUAGUAGCAUGACUUCCAGAACAGGAUUACCGUACCACUCUGGCGCGGAUCUUACUCUGGUUGAUCUACGAGGUUCAGUAGUAUCUUGUUCUGAAGUUUCAUGAUCAUUAUCAUUAGCUUCCUCACUAAUUGGUGUAGGUGUCGCAAAAACAGGUUUCUGUUAUGUGCUACUUUCCAAUAAGGGAGCAGGUACAGUUACCUCGUCAAGUUCUACUUUCCUCCCACUCACUUCUUUCGAGAGAAACUCCUUCUCUAGAAAGGAUCCAUUCUUAGCAACGAAUGUCUUGCCUUCGGAUCUGUGAUAGAAGGUGUACCCAACAGUCUCCUUUGGGUAUCCUAUGAAUACACAUUUCUCCGAUUUCGGUUCGAGCUUAUCAGGUUGAAGCUUUUUCACAUAAGCAUCGCAGCCCCAAACUUUAAGAAACGACAACUUUGGUUUCUUGCCAAACCAUAGUUCAUAAGGUGUCAUCUCAACGGAUUUUGAUGGCGCCCUGUUUAACGUGAAUGCGGCUGUCUCUAAAGCAUAACCCCAAAAUGAUAGCGGUAAAUUUGUAAGAGACAUCAUAGAUCGCACCAUAUCAAGUAAAGUACGAUUACGACAUUCGGACACACCAUUACGCUGAGGUGUUCCGGGUGGCGUGAGUUGCAAAACUAUUCCGCAUUGUUUCAGAUGUAGACCAAACUCGUAACUCAAAUAUUCUCCUCCACGAUCAGAUCGCAGAAACUUUAUUUUCUUGUUACGAUGAUUUUCAACUUCACUCUGAAAUUCUUUGAACUUUUCAAAUGUUUCAGACUUAUGCUUCAUUAAGUAGAUAUACCCAUAUCUGCUUAAAUCAUCUGUGAAGGUGAGAAAAUAACGAUAUCCGCCACGAGCCUCAACAUUCAUCGGACCACAUACAUCUGUAUGUAUGAUUUCCAACAAAUCUGUUGCUCUCUCCAUUGUAUCGGAGAAUGGUGUUUUAGUCAUCUUGCCCAUGAGGCACGGUUCGCAGGUACCAAGUGAUUCAUAAUCAAGAGGUUCCAAAAGUCCAUCUGUAUGGAGUUUCUUCAUGCGCUUUACACCGAUAUGACCUAAACGGCAGUGCCACAAAUGAGUUGCCCUAUCAUUAUCAACUCUGCAUCUUUUGGCUUCAACAUUAUGAAUAUGUGUGUUACUACUAUCGAGAUUCAUCAAAAAUAGACCACUCUUCAAAGGUGCAUGACCAUAAAAGAUAUCACUCAUAUAAAUAGAACAACCAUUAUUCUCUAAUUUAAAUGAAUAACCGUCUCGCAUUAAACAAGAUCCAGAUAUAAUGUUCAUGCUCAAUGCUGGCACCAAAUAACAAUUAUUUAGGUCUAAUACUAAUCCCGAAGGUAGAUGUAGAGGUAGCGUGCCGACCGCGAUCACAUUGACUUUAGAACCAUUUCCCACGCGCAUCGUCACCUCGUCCUUUGCCAGUGUUCGCUUAAUCCGUAGUCCCUGUUUCAAGUUGCAAAUAUUAGCAACAGAACCAGUAUCAAAUACCCAGGUGCUACUGCGAGCUCUAGUAAGGUACACAUCAAUAACAUGUAUAUCACUUAUACCUUUGUUCACCUUGCCAUCCUUCUUAUCCGCCAAAUACUUGGGGCAGUUCCGCUUCUAGUGACCAGUCUGCUUGCAUUAGAAGCACUCAAUUUCAGGCUUAGGUCCAGACUUGGGUUUCUUCUCCUGAUCAACAACUUGCUUGCUUUUCUUCUUGAAGUUCCCCUUCUUCUUCCCUUUGCCCUUUUUCUUGAAACUAGUGGUCUUGUUGACCAUCAACACUUGAUGCUCCUUCUUGAUUUCUACCUCCGCAGCUUUUAGCAUUGCGAAGAGCUCGGGAAUAGUCUUAUUCAUCCCUUGCAUAUUAUAGUUCAUCACAAAGCUCUUGUAGCUUGGUGGCAGUGAUUGGAGAAUUCUGUCAAUGACGCAAUCAUCUGGAAGAUUAACUCCCAUCUGAAUCAAGUGAUUAUUAUACCCAGACAUUUUGAGUAUAUGCUCACUGACAGAACUGUUCUCCUCCAUCUUGCAGCUAUAGAACUUAUUGGAGACUUCAUAUCUCUCAAUCCAGGCAUUUGCUUGAAAUAUUAACUUCAACUCCUGGAACAUCUCAUAUGCUCCAUGACGUUCAAAGCGUCGUUGAAGUCUCUAAGCCGUAAAGCAUGGCACACUGAACUAUCGAGUAGUCAUCAGCUUUGCUCUGCCAGACGUUCAUAACAUCUGGUGUUGCUCCAGCAGCAGGCCUGGCACCCAGCGGUGCUUCCAGGACGUAAUUCUUCUAUGCAGCAAUGAGGAUAAUCCUCAAGUUACGGACCCAGUCCGUGUAAUUGCUACCAUCGUCUUUCAACUUUGCUUUCUCAAGGAACGCAUUAAAAUUUAACGGAACAACAGCACGGGCCAUUUAUCUACAAUUAACAUAAACAAGCAAGAUACUAUCAGGAACUAAGUUCAUGAUAAAUUUAAGUUCAAUUAAUCAUAUUACUCAAGAACUCCCACUUAGAUAGACAUCCCUCUAAUCAUCUAAACCAUAACCGAUCAUCACGUGAAAUGGAGUAGUUUUCAGUGGUGAACAUCGCUAUGUUGAUCAUAUCUACUAUAUGAUUCACGCACGAUCUUUCGAUCUCAGUGUUCCGAGGCCAUAUCUGCAUAUGCUAGGCUCGUCAAGUUUAACCUGAGUAUUCUGCGUGUGCAAAACUGGCUUGCACCCGUUGUAGAUGGACGUAGAGCUUAUCACACCCGAUCAUCACGUGGUGUCUGGGCACAACAAACUUUGGCAACGGUGCAUACUCGGGGAGAACACUUUUAUCUUGAAAUUUAGUGAGAGAUCAUCUUAUAAUGCUACCGUCAAUCAAAGCAAGAUAAGAUGCAUAAAAGAUAAACAUCACAUGCAAUCAAUAUAAGUGAUAUGAUAUGGCCAUCAUCAUCUUGUGCUUGUGAUCUCCAUCCUCGAAGCACCAUCGUGAACACCAUUGUCACCAGCGCGACACCUUGAUCUCCAUCAUAGCAUCAUUGUCAUCUUGCCAAUCUUAUGCUUCUACGACUAUCGCUACCGCUUAGUGAUAAAGUAAAGCAUUACAGGGCGAUUGCGUUGCAUACAAUAAAGCGACAACCAUAUGGCUCCUGCCAGUUGCCGAUAACUCGGUUACAAAACAUGAUCAUCUCAUACAAUAAAAUUUAGCAUCAUGUCUUGACCAUAUCACAUCACAACAUGCCCUGCAAAAACAAGUUAGACGUCCUCUACUUUGUUGUUGCAAGUUUUACGUUGCUGCUGCGGGCUUAAGCAAGAACCAAUCUUACCUACGCAUCAAAACCACAAUGAUAGUUUGUCAAGUUGGUGCUGUUUUAACCUUCGCAAGGACCGGGCGUAGCCACACUCGGUUCAACUAAAGUUGGAGAAACUGCCACCCGCAAGCCACCUAUGUGCAAAGCACGUCGGGAGAACCGGUCUCGCGUAAGCGUACGCGUAAUGUCGGUCUGGGCCGCUUCGUCCAGCAAUACCGCCGAACCAAAGUAUGACAUGUUGGUAAGCAGUAUGACUUAUAUCGCCCACAACUCACUUGUGUUCUACUCGUGCAUAUAACAUCAACAUAUAAAACCUAGGCUCGGAUGCCACUGUUGGGGAACGUAGUAAUUUCAAAAAAAUUCCUACGCACACGCAAGAUCAUGGUGAUGCAUAGCAACGAGAGGGGAGAGUAUGAUCUACGUACCCUUGUAGAUCGACAACGAAAGCGUUAACUUCGUUGAUGUAGUCGUACGUCUUCACGGCCCGACCGAUCAAGCACUGAAACUACGGCACCUCCUAGUUCUAGCACACAUUCAGCUUGAUGAUGAUCCCCGGACUCCGAUCCAGCAAAGUGUCGGGGAAGAGUUCCGUCAGCACGACGGCGUGGUGACGAUCUUGAUGUACUACCGUCGCAGGGCUUCGCCUAAGCACCACUACAAUAUUAUCGAGGACUAUGGUGGAAGGGGGCACCGCACACGGCUAAGAAUAUGAUCACGUGGAUCAACUUGUGUCUCUAGGGGUGCUCCCUGCCUCCGUAUAUAAAGGCUCAAAGAGGGGGGCGGCCGGCCAAGAGGAGGCGCGCCAGGAGGAGUCCUACUCCCUCCGGGAGUAGGACUCCCCCCUUUCCUAAUUGGAAUAGGAUUCGCGGAGGGGGGAAAGAGGAGAGAGAGGAGGAAGGGGGGCCGGCCCCCUCUCCUUGUCCUAUUCGGACCACAGGGGGGAGGGGCGCGCGACCCAUCUCUGGCCACCUCUCCUCUCUUCCACUAAGGCCCACUAAGGCCCAUAUACCUCCCGGGGGGUUCCGGUAACCUCCCGGUAAUCCGGUAAAAUCCCUAUUUCACCCGGAACACUUCCGAUAUCCAAAUAUAGGCUUCCAACAUAUCAAUCUUUAUGUCUCGACCAUUUCGAGACUCCUCGUCAUGUCCGUGAUCACAUCUGGGACUCCGAACAAACUUCGGUACAUCAAAAUGCAUAAACUCAUAAUAUAACUGUCAUCGAAACCUUAAGCGUGCGGACCCUACGGGUUCGAGAACAAUGUAGACAUGAACGAGACACGUCUCCGGUCAAUAACCAAUAGCGGAACCUGGAUGCUCAUAUUGGCUCCUACAUAUUCUACGAAGAUCUUUUAUCAGUCAGACUGCAUAAGAACAUACGUUGUUCCCUUUGUCAUCGGUAUGUUACUUGCCCGAGAUUCGAUCGUCGGUAUCCAAUACCUAGUUCAAUCUCGUUACCGGCAAGUCUCUUUACUCGUUCCGUAAUCCAUCAUCCCGCAACUAACUCAUUAGUCGCAAUGCUUGCAAGGAUUAUGUGAUGUGCAUUACCGAGAGGGCCCAGAGAUACCUCUCCGACAAUCGGAGUGACAAAUCCUAAUCUCGAAAUAUGCCAACCCAACAUGUACCUUUGGAGACACCUAUAGAGCUCCUUUAUAAUCACCCAGUUACGUUGUGGCGCUUGGUAACACACAAAGUGUUCCUCCGGCAAACUGGAGUUGCAUAAUCUCAUAGUCAUAGGAACAUGUAUAAGUCAUGAAGAAAGCAAUAGCAACAUACUAAACGAUCGGGUGCUAAGCUAAUGGAAUGAGUCAUGUCAAUCAGAUCAUUCAUCUAAAGAUGUGAUCCUGUUAAUCAAAUGACAACUCUUUGUCCAUGGUUAGGAAACAUAACCAUCUUUGAUUAACAAGCUAGUCUAGUAGAGGCAUACUAGUGACAAUCUGUUUGUCUAUGUAUUCACACAUGUAUUAUGUUUCCGGUUAAUACAAUUCUAGCAUGAAUAAUAAACUUUUAUCAUGAUAUAUAAGGAAAUAAAUAAUAACUUUAUUAUUGCCUCUAGGGCAUAUUUCCUUCAGUUCCAACACCGAAGGGUAAGGAGACGGGCCCGCGUCAUUUACGUCCGGAAUAUGCGACCUUGAUUCUUUGUCGAUGGUGAUGCCAAGACUAUAGGAUAAGGUGGAUCCGGACACAUGAGCAGAUGAAGUGCCUGACACGAAGUUGGUUAAGGAGCUGGACCCAAGUCAUCUACACCGCAAAUUGGUCGAAGGUGUGCCGUGAAUGAUAGAUGUACUUGAGGGGGGAGAAAGCCUGUGAAAAGAACAUACGGUUGCUCGAUGAUGACACAUGUCUUGAGAGGAUGGCGAGAACCCUAGAUAUGGUUAAGGCACGCCACGAGAACAUCACCCCGGUCGCGAGAUUCUCAGUGGUGUGCGGCAACCGAAGCCAAAAGGGCACCCCCGCAAGACCUUGAAAUGCCAGAGCGGUGGGCGCACAAGCAAUGGUGAGGAAAAUCACAUAAGGUACCAAGCAAGGCCAUCCUGAUCAGGGCUCCAUUGCCAAGCUUAUGUCCACCACUGCGAUUCAGACAAACUUUCAACUGGCGUCUCUGUCUUCUCAAGAUUUCCAUGGUCCCAUCAGGAUGUAUAUAUGUACUUUGUUUAUUUUGAAAAUUAAUAUAUCACCAAAGAAAUUGUAGUACUUGUCAUUCUUUUAAUUACUUAGUAGUUUGCAUGAUAGACUCAAUCUUAUAUUUACUAAUUAGAGGCACCAAAUAAGCGACCACGUUAAUCCUCAAAAACUAAGAAUAUUAUCCAUCCGAUCUCCAUAUUAAGUAUCUGUAGCCGUCCAUUGGACAACUCAAGAGUCCUGGGUUACUAUCCCACGUCAUGCUCCAUGUAAUGUGAAAAAAAAAUCAUCUCCUUGGCCAAAUCCAUCCCACGUCAUGCUCCAUGUAAUGUGAAAAAAAGCAUCUCCCUGGCCAAAUUCUUCCUCCCCUGAUCUAUCAUGUGAGGCACUUGCGCAUCAUCCACAAAUCCCUAGCGCAAAUCCAUCCCACGUCAUGCUCCAUGUAAUGUGAAAAAAAUCAUCUCCCUGGCCAAAUUCUUCCUCCCCCGAUCUAUCAUGUGAGGCACUUGCGCAUCAUCCACAAAUCCCUAGCGCUGCUCUUCCAGGUCGUCCUCCUCCUUCCUAUCUUUUGUUGUCUUAAUGCAAAACGAUUCCGUGAGAUCCUUGUGAUCCUCUUCAUCUUCACGUAGAAAUCUGAACUGUCCCAACCACGCUGCAGAUCUGUGGUCCGUCUUGGACAAAGAGAAGGCCCUUUCAAUCUCCACAGAUGCCAUGCCCCAACCAAACCGCAACCCAUGAUAAACGAUGUUGUUGAGAAGGAGGCGCUACCUAAGUCUGAUCGGACAUAUGCCAUUGUUAGGGAAGCUACAAGUCGAAGAACUAUGGUAGACUGAUUGCGAGUAAUUAAGGAGCUAUCAACGAUCCAGUAGGUUUUUGUUAUUAGGAAUUUUUAUGUAGUGCGACUUGAUCUCAAAGAACAAGUACACCAUUAGAGUUCGUUUUGGAGGAUUUUGAUGAUGUGCGCUUAGUUACAGACUUAUCUAAAUACGUAUAACUAGGAUGGACAAUAUUUGUAGGAGCCAUACAAUCCAAUUAGGGGAUUUAGUUUGUCAAAGAUGUUUCCACAUAUCCCUAGCGCUGCUCUUCUAGGUUGCCCCCUGCUUCCUAUCUACGGUCUUCAAGUAAAGCGAUUUAAUGAGUCUCUUGCUGCAGAAAUUUCAACUGCCACAAGAAGGCUGCAGACCUGCGGUUCAUCUUGGCUGAGGUGUCAUACAAUCCAGUUAAGGGAUUCCAUUCAUUGAAGAUGUGGCUGUACUUUCGCACAACAAACUCAAGCACAUCUUCUUAUGUUCUUAGAAACUAGAUGAGUUGUUUUGGACUUUCUUUGGUCUACUCCUCUAUGCUUCUUAUUGGGAAAGUUAGUAUGCAAAAGUUAUGCCCAUCUUCUUAAAUUCGGAUGUAACUUUUCGAGUAGAUGAUUUUUCAUAUAAAAAACUUUUUCAUCCGAGUUAGUAUGCAAAAGUUAUGCCCAUUUUUACAAAUUUCAGAGAGAUUUUGCAAAUAAAGUGAAAAUUCAGAUUUGCAAAUUUUCCCAACAAGUAGACCACAUAUCACAUGGGAAACUUAUUUUCUUUUAUUUUUUUUGACAUUUCCAUCAUUUUCUUUUAUUUUUUUAAAACUGAAAAGGCGAUCCACAUGGGGGGGGGUAGAGUUUGAAAAUGGGACCUUUAGUACUGGUUCGUGGCACGAACCGGGACUAAAGGUCUCAACCCCAUUAGUCCCGGUUCAUGCCUCAAACCGGGACUAAAGGUCUAAUCGUUAGUCCCGGUUUGAGGCACGAACCGGGACCAAUGGUUUUGUGCCAGGAGCGAGGCCCAUUGGUCCCGGUUCAUCCCACCAACCGGGACCAAAAGGUCCAGAUGAACCGGGACCAAUGGCCCACGUGGCCCGGCCGGCCCCCUGGGCUCACGAACCGGGACCAAUGCCCCCGUUGGUCCCGGUUCUGGACUGAACCGGGACUAAUGGGCUGACCCGGCCUGGACCAAAGCCCUGUUUUCUACUAGUGAGUCCAAUCUUGUGUUUAUUCCUCCAUGUCGGCAAAGAGUCAGUAGUCAAUCACCAAGCAAAAUUGCGCACAGUGGGGGGUACAUCACAUCUCCAUAUAUAUUGCCAGCAUUUUCUACUACCAUCUGGCGAUGUGCUAGAUGCCUCUACAGUAUUUCUGUGAGCUACUUCAAAAGCCAGCAUAUAUGCUGAUUUGACCGUGAAGACAUCGAGCUUCCCCGGCCCCCAUGCAAUCACAUCCUCACCUAAUCUUGGAGAUGCCCAUAUCUUUAAGAUUUCUUCCACAUCAGCUGAUAAGAAGUACUGCUGAAGAAGUACCAAGUUCCAAGAACCAUUAUCAUUUAGCAAGUCGGAGACAAAACGAAUGCGACAUCUUCCCUGCAGCGACACAGGUUUGUACGAAAAGGGCCUUGGAAUCCAGUUAUCUCUCCCCUUUGUUGGUAGUCAGAGUCACUAGGACAACUAACUGUGUUAGCAUCUAGAGUUGUAACAAGCCACAGUCCGCCUAUCUUGGUUGCACAGCGAUGAUGCUACCAUCUCCUACGACAAAGUACAUGCCUUGCACCGGAAACAGCGCAACCAUAUGACAUCUAUCCGAGUGGGCGACCACGUGGUGACCGGGCAUGAGGCCAUGGCUGAGGCCGCCUACAACCACUUCUCCGAUGUGCUCGGAAGUGCCAUGGAGCAUGACAUCACGCUUGAUCUCCGCGUUUUGCGUGUUCAACACAAUGCUACUCCGUGCGGUGGACCUAGGCCUUCUUCGACGCCUUACAACUCGGCACGCGGCCUCGAGUAUAUCGCUAUACGCGGACGAUGUUGUCAUCUUUUGUCACCCGGAUAGCCACCACAUUACCACCGUGUGAACCAUCCUACACAUAUUCGGGCUUCAUACAAACUUCGCCAAGUGUUCUGCCACCCCGAUCCGGUGCGAUGAUGACAACAACAUGAUGAUCACAUCUGAGAUGCAGUGCCCCAUAGCCCAAUUCCCCAUCACAUACCUCGGUUUGCCUCUCUCUAUCUGCAAGGCCUCCACGACUAGCUUGCUCCCAAUCAUUGACAAGAUCGGCCACAAGCUCUCCACUUGGCAUGCUUCCAUGAUGUCCAACGGGCAACGGCGACUGCCUUGCUCUCGUGCAUCACGUACUUAGUGCUAUCCCGACAUACUUCCUCACCACCUUUGCUCUCAACCAAUCCAUCCUCGUGAAAUUCAACCGCAUCAUCCGCGGAUUCCUUUGGGCGGGAGGCACCGAAGGCAAUGGGGGUCAGUGUCAUGUUAACUGACAGCAAGUUUGCAGGCCAAUCUCUCUUGGCGGUCUUAGCAUCAGGGACAUUCAAAGGACCGGCAUCACCCUCUGUGCAUGGUUGCUUUGGUUACAGUGCACCGACCCCUUGCAACCCUCGAGCCACUUACACAUACCUCACGACCCAGACGUGACUGCCAUCUUCAGCGCAUCUAGGACCUGGGAUCUUGGGUCCGGCGUCACCUGCAGAUUCUGGUCCGACCACUUGAUAGAGGGUAGAUCCGUGGUUGAGAUCCCCCCAGUCCUCGCCUCGUCCCUCGACGCCGACGCAAGACUCGCACCGUUCACGAGGGCCUCCACCUUAGAGCCUGGGUGCAAGAGAUUCAUGGAGCACUCGGACCGACGGCCAUGUUGCAAUAUGUUGAUCUUGAGCGACGUGUGCGCCACAUUGACCAGAUGAGCCGGAUACACUCAAAUGGCGCUGGACCGCCUCCGCUAUGAAAUGUCUAUGAUGGGAGAAUUUAAAUUCUUCUUAGGCCUUCAAAUUCUUCAACAGCGCAAUGGCAUCUUCAUAUUUCAGGAGAAAUACCUCAAGGAUGUAUUGUGGAAAUUCGGCAUGAAAGAUUGCAAAGGCGUCAAAAUCCCUAUGCCCACAAAUGGCCAUCUAUGCACUGAUGAAAAUGGUAUUGACUUUGAUCAAAAGGUAUACCGCUCCAUGAUUGGUUCUUUAUUGUAUUUAUGUGCAUCUAGGCCAGAUAUUAUGCUCAGUGUUUGCAUGUGUGCCCGAUUUCAACCUACACUGAAGGAAUCACACCAUAAGGCUGUGAAGCAUAUUCUUCGUUAUCUAGCUCACACACCAACACUUGGAUAUGGUAUCCCAAGGGCUCGGCUUUUGAUCUCAUUGGGUACUCACUCUGACUAUGCGGGUGAUCCUGUGGACCGCAAGUCAACAUCAGGCACAUGCCAUUUCCUCAGGCGAUCCUUGGUCUGUUGGUCCUCGAAGAAACAGAACUGCGUAUCACUGUCUACUGCUGAAGCUGAGUACAUUGCUGCUGGUUCUUGCUGUUCUCAAUUUCUAUGGAUGAAUCAAACCCUCAAGGACUACUACGUCAAUGUAAAGAAUGUGCCUCUCUACUAUGACAAUGAGAGUGCCAUCAAGAUUGCUCAUAACCCACUUCAGCAGUCGAAGACAAAGCACAUUCAAAUUUGUCAUCAUUUUCUUCGUGAUCAUGUGUUGAAGGGCGACAUUUCUAUUGAGCAUGUGAAGACUGGAGAACGGCUAGCCGGUAUCUUCACAAAGCCUUUGGAUGAGAAGAGAUUUAGCAAGUUGCGGUGUGAGCUAAAUAUCCUAGAAUCUUCGAAUGUCCUUUGAAAAGGACACACAUCCUAACACUUGUGCAAAGUUGAUGACUUAGACGUGCAACACACGAAGAAACGUUUUUCUUCAUUCAAUGAAGAUUAACACUCUAAGUGUGAAGAAAUUAACAAAGAAUUUGAUUCUCAGAGCCCUUCGACAAUUGUACAUGGUGUUUGAAAUCAUCAUUCUUAUACGGUGGGUCACGCCACCACCAAAAGUUGAAAAUCUUGAAUUUGAGUUUUUACUCAUUUUUGAAUUUCCUCAGUUGUUCAAAUUCUUCAACCCAUCCCACCUUAUCUUCUCAUACCCACUCCCCCCAAUUCCCUCUCUAUCUCUCCCGCAACCUCCCUUGCGCGGACGCCGCCAAACCACCACCUCCCCUGUGCCGCCGCGCCGCGACCUCCUCUGCGCCGCCGCGCCGCAACCUCCUCUCUGCGGCCGAGUCUGCUCCCCGGCGAUUCCCGAUCCACAACUGCCCCCAUUGCCCUUGCCUUCCUCUGCGCGCCGCCGCUCUAGGUCGCGUCCACCGCGUUCCACCACCACCAGCACAUCAGUACGGCGGUAGUGCGGCCCCGCUUCCGUUCCUCCAUGGCCGACCCCCUACCUCCCACCUUCUCCCUCCCGCCCCGAUCGACAACCUCCAUCACCGCCCCGGUCGUGUUGCCCCUCCCGACCCCGCGCCGCCGGAUCCGGGCAACCACGCCGGCGUGCCCUUCCACAAGCUUUCCCGUCGUGACCCUACCACGAGCUGCUCCAGCCCGACCCUGCUUCUUUAACAACGGCACGGUGGCAACUCCCCUUAGUUCACUCCUGCACCGGGGUCGCGAGCUCCGUUCACGGGCUCGCUGGAUCUCGUGAUUGGGGCGCUGGCGACGUGCUCUCCUACUCCACCGCGCCCCUCCUCUACUUCAGCUCCUAUGCCUGUGCCUCUCGUGGACUCAUCGGCGCACAGGCCGCUCUGGAUCCACGCUGGUUCGAGGCCCUGACGGCCUCCUCUUCCUGCUAAGUCACCGAGAUCCAUCGGGGUAUCAAGUUGUUUUGUCGGCCCAAUACUCCUUCUACCUUCCCUUGCCGGCGGUCGUGCAACUUCGGUGAACACCGCUACUCGCGCGCGGAUGACGACGGCGCAGUGGCACUGCAGUUCGCUUUGCAGGGGAUCCGUUGAUGCGGCCGUGGAGUUCGGCCCACAGGUGCAUGAAGUUAUCUUGCCCCCUCCCACAGUUUACCCUUCCGCAUGAGCCCCAUGCCAUAGUCCAUUGGGAAGAAGCUCGUGGUGCGGAUGUGCGGAUGCUCAGUGACAGUGCUGGUGUGUUUCAGAUUUUGUUUUUCUGCAAUUUGUAGGCGACGCUGGAGCAUUGCAGUUCAUUGGCUCGGGGCGAGCAGUGGAGAGGACACACGUGCGUGCAGUUCCCUGUCCAUUGAAAAUGUAGAAGCCCAUCUUGCUGCAAUGUAUGUGAGCAUAUGGCCUGCAAGUGAUGCUCUUUUCCCAGAUUGAAAACAUUGCAAUGUGGUUGGCUGGCCAUCGACGUGCACUUCGCUUUGGGGGGCAGUACGUUCUUUGUGGACGCGCACUUCGUUCGGCCCGAGCGGCAUGAAGCUCCGUUUGCGCGCAUGUGUGGCUUGGCUAACUAGUUUGUGCAGUCGCAUGAUACCUUUAUUAUGUGAUGCCUCCCUAGUUGCUGGAGUUCACUUCUUUGUAUUUAUUGAAACAUCAUGUAGUGCACUGUGAAACUCUCUGUUGUUCACUUGUAAAAACAAAUAGCGGUUCCCUUUGUAAAAAAAAGUGCAGCCCCUUAGUGGUUCACCUUGUAGAAAAUGAGAAAGAAAUCCCCAUGGGAGGUUCACUUCUUUUUCUAAUGCAAUUUGUUUUGUUUGUGGGAUGAUUGAAAAAAGAAGUUCACUCCACUUGUUUAGCAGCUCAUACCCCUUUGUAUGAAAUGCAAUUUGUUUCGUGUGUCUCAAAAUCAGUCGACUACCUCAACACGUGCAAUGCGUUUGGUUUUUGGAUGUGGUUCAUUUUUUAGAGUGAUGUUGUUCACUUGUGCCGAACAUGAAAGCGCAAAAAAAAUUAGCAAAACAAUAAAAAUAGUAAUGCGGUUCACUACGAUAUAUGAUGUGGUUCACUUGCUCGCGUCUCUGCGGUCCACUCUUGUUCAUAAAAAUUGAAAAAAACAUCAAAAACUCGUCCGAGAAAAAUUUACAUCCGACAAAGGAAACCAUGAAGUUCACUUGCCUGCCUGAUGCAGUGCGGUUUCGUUCGAUGCAGUGCGGUUUUCUGUCGAAUGACGUUCACUCACCGAUUUGGGUGUCGCAAAAAAUAGUAUCUGCAUUUUCGUAAUUUUAAAAUUGCUUUUAAACCGUAAGGAAUUAGAGAGAGUGUUCUACAUGAAAAAGUUGCGUCUCGUCGAUAUUUUUCCAAUGCCAUAUCAUUUGAAUCAUUUUGACAAGCAGUUUGUAAAAAUUUCACAAAAAACGACCGCUGCCAGUCAUCGUCCGCCACACCAUUCUAAAAAUUAACUUAAAACCGUAGUGAAUCUCGAAACCAAUUCUACAUAUAAAAGUUGCGCCUUGUCCAUAGCUUUCCAACGACGUAUUACACGCCUCAUUUCGAUAAACGGUUCAAAAACUAGAGUGAAAACAGUAUCGAAAGUUGCAAAAAUUUCAAAAAAUGUAAUUUCGCGAUUUAGUAAAUUUGAAACUGCUCUUAAACCGAAAUGAAUUAGAGAAAAUAAUAGAUAUGGAAAAGAUGCGCCUCAAUGAUAUCUUUCCAACGGCGUCUCAUUUGCUUUAUUCUGAUGAGCGGUUUUGAAAAAAUCAAGAAAAUACGCUCGCUGCCACUCGUCAUCCGCAGCACCGUUUUUGAAACUGCUCUUAAACCGCGAGGAUCUCGAAAAGUGUUCAACAUGGCAAAGUUGCGCCUAAUCCAUAGCUUCUCCACGGUAUAUUACACGCGUCAUUCCGAUAAAUGGUUAAAAAAUUAGAGCGAAAAAACUACCAAAAAUACACAGCGUGUAGUUUUUUCGACACGAAGUUCACUCGCCUGAGUACUGCAGCACACUUGGUUCAAACAAUGACGUGCAGUUGCGUUGAGCGUGCACUUCGGAAGUGUUAUCAGAAUAACUAUUCUGUUAAUAUUAGCAUAAUAGACCGACUGUAUAUUAUUCUGUUACGCGUAACAGGAUAUUAUUCUGUUACCCUAUGGUGAAUUCAAGCAGUUGAACUGAUGCUUUCUGUUCCUAUUAAAAAUCGUCUUCUUUAGUUCAAAAGUUUUUGCAAUUUUUUUAUCAAAACAGGGCGUGUAAUAUAUCGCUGGAAAGCUCUUGACAUCUACAUUACAAUCUUGUAAUUUGUUUUUGCAAAAAAUUAUGAUUUACGAGCAGUUUUGAAAAACCCGUUUUUUUUCAAGCCGAAAACGCGAAUCGUAUUUUGGACUUAAUUUUCAAACGGUUUGUCGGAAUUGAGCAAAUGAGAUGGCAUUGGAAAGCUUGUGAAAAUCCGCAUCUUCUAUAUUUCUACUAUUUUUUCAAAUUCUAUAUGAUUUAAAAGUAAUUUGAAAAACGGUGAAAUUCUGGGCGAAAUGUUUUUUCACUAUUUUUUUGCAAACGGUUUGUAGGAUUGACACAAAUGAUAUGGUGUUGGAAAGCUAUGGAAAAUGCGCAAAUUUUGCAUAUAGAAAGUUUUUUCUAAUUCCUUACGAUUUAAAUACGAAUUCAAAUACAGUUAAAAUUGAUUUUGAACGUGUUUUUUAAAAAGUUUGUCGAAAUGGAGAAAAUAAUAUACCAUUGGAUAGCUAUCGAAAAUGCAAAACUUAGUCAUGUUGGACGUUUUCUCUACUUCACAACCAUUUAAGAGUAAUCUUCAAUACGGCAUGACGGAUCCUGCUGUUUUCUCGUCUGAAAAACAGAUUAGUCGUACUGAUAUAUGUGUAUGUUUGUACUGAGCUAUUUUUUGUAGAGUAAUUUUAAGUGGUUCCGAAAAAAUGUUCUUAUACUGAUGCUUGCGUGGUUUUGUACUAAACGUGUUUUCACUAACUAGACUUUGCUCUGUUUUUUCAUGAGACCCAUCAUGCUGUUUUUUCGUGAGAAAAAACAGAGUACUUGUACUGAUCUACAUGUGUGUUUGUACUGAUGUAUUCUUCGAAGAGUAAUUUUGAAAGGUUCCGAAAAAGGAGUACUUGAACUAAUGUCCGUAUGGGGUUGUACUGAGCGUUUUUUCACAGACUAGACUUUACUCUAUUCUUUUUACCGAAAAUUGUUUCAUCAAUUGUUCGCAAAUGAUAGUACGAACUAAGAUAUGUGUUGGUUUGUACUGAGCAUUUGUUUCAUCAUUUGUUCGCAAUUGAUAGUACGAAUGGAGCUUUGUUCAUUUUUAUACUGAGCAUUCUUGUCAGUGCCAGGAUCUCCGGAUUUAUGUUGUUUUGUUCUGCGAACUUCCUCAAAAUUUUAUUGGUAAAUCACACCAUUUUUUUCUUUUGCUAAAUUUUUGUCCUCUGAACUUGUGACGGAUGGAGUUUGUACUGAUAUGAAUCAUUUUGCCGAACCGCCACAAUUUUUUGUGUAUUGAAUCACUAUAUAACUUAGAACCAAAUUGUUUUUCUUAACAUAUAUUUGAAUUGUUUCUAUAUGUACAUUGAAUUGGGGAAGAGUAGCAAAAGUUAUACAUACUUUAUGGAUAGUAAUACAUGAAUUUCUUGGUAAACUGAAGAAUGUACUCUGGACCGUAAUACAUGUCCUCUCGAGUUUGUACUGAUGUGAAUCCUUUUGAACUUGCUCUCGACGGUAAUACAUGCCCUCUCGAGUUUGUAAUGAUGUGAAUCCAUUCGAACUUAUGUGGCUUACAUCAUUGAACGGACUCUAUUCUUCUCACUACCACCAUUGUUCUGUCCAUUUCUUUUCGGACUUGCAUGGCUUACAUCGUUGAACGGGCUUAGGUGGAUAUGUACUAAUGAACUACUGUGAUUUGUAGCUCUCAGGAAAUGGAAUCCUUUCUUUCCCUGUUAUUCUGAAUACCAAACAGCAAAAAAUGAGUUCUCAUAAGCACGAAAAAAUAUAUAUGUACCCCUAAAUUUUGCAGCUAUUUUGUCCUCUUUCAUUUUGAAAAAACAUACAAAAAGCAAAAGCACAAACUAUACAAAAGGUUUUAGACACCAAACCAGUAGAGAAUUAAAAAUAAGCAUCAGGCAGCAACUUGCUAAAGAUAGCACGAGUCAUAUACAUACGCAUUUCAUCCCAUUAUACUUCUCCACCCGCAUGGAAAGUGAGAGAACCUCCCUACAUGCAUAUACAGGCAUCAAACUCCCUCUGUACCUAAACUAUAUUUUUGUUUGAUAUAUAUUGUGAACUCCUCUUGUCGAUGUACAUGAACCUGCUGUGCAGAGAGAUGAAAUGUAGUACAUCAGUCUAGCUUCAUUCAGCUAGAGAGAAACAUGAAAAAAUGUUCAGUUUUUUGGACGGCUUUCCUCUUUUUCUUUGUCCAAUUCCGCGCCACGACUGCCACCAUCCUGCAUGCAAGCUUAAAAUUAAUUGAAGCCACCAAACAUGCACUUUCAUGAGACUUUGCUACUAUAAGUCAGCGAACAUAUCUUUAGUAUUAAACCAAAGGCACACUUAUUAACCAGCACUCUUGUUCAGUUCAGAGCAUCAUCAAUAAGAUAAAGAUACGGAAACAUUAAGCCAAUAUAGAACAACUGGAUUGAUUUGACUCAAAUUUUUACUUUCAAUGCAUUGUAGGCAACAGCCGAUCCAAGUCAGAACUGAUGUGAUUUAUUCCAUUGAACUGAUAUGAAAGUUUAUCUAUACUGUUCUGUUUUUUAACACACACGUUUUGAACUAUUCCCGCUUUUUUCAUUAUGAAUUGAUGACAUAAGACAUGUUGAACUGUUACACAAGAGCAAAAUUCAGAAAUACAUAACAAUGGUGUACUCAAAAUAUGUGCAUUUUAAGGAACAAAACUUUCUGAACCUUCUAUACGAAAAACUUCAACUAUCAGUCCAAAGAGAUUUGAAGUUAAACAAUCAUUUCCCUUACCGAGUGUUAAGGAAAACGAAACCAGAGAUGACCUCGCCGACAGUAGGAGUAGCGAUGGCUGCCAAGGCGACGCGUUGGUACAUGUACUAAACAUCUGCUCAAACCUGUUGUAACAUCUACUUCAAGCUUUUUCUAAAUCAUUGUUGGGAGUAGAGGGUUUUAAAAGAAAAUACAGAGUGCCAAAGAAAGAAAGGAACAACCUAUUUAUCUAAAGGACUGUGAUAUUUGGCACACGUGUGCCAUAUAAGCAAAACUGCCACACCUCUAUUUCUUUCAUUUUAAAGUACCAUACGAUCCCUCGUUCUUUGACCCCGCCUCUUCCCAAAUUACCCCGCAGGCUCGCCUGAGAAACCUGCUUCUCCCGCACAUCUCGGGCGCUUACCCCCGAGAAAACUGCCACUUCUUCACGUCUACCACAUGAUUUCUCCUUAGGACAAAGUUACCAUGAUAUUCAUAUGAAAGUUAUCAGGCCUGUGUUGCAUAACUUACCAUACUAUUUACAUAGAACGUAUCAGGUACUAUGCUUCAACAACUACACCCUUUCAAAGUUACCACUGUGUUUUGUACACAAGUUAUAAGGUCUUUGAUGUGUAAAAUACCGUGGUACUUACACAUAAGUUAUCAGGGUAUAUGUACAUCAACCUCCCCCCGGUCAAAGUUACCAUGGGGGAUUGUACAUGAGUUACCGGGUCUACGGUUCGUAUAUUAUCAUGGUACUAGCACCUAAAAACAUGGGUGUGUUUCGGUAGCUUUUCACAUAGGUCAAAAAUUACCAUGAUGUUUUUGCGUAACUUAUCACGCCUAUAGCACGUGUGCCCCUCGUGACACUAAACAUUAUGUGACUUUCCCGUGGCAUGCCAUGUGUUGUGUUCAUCCAAGAGGCCCACGCGCGAGGCAAGUGUAUGUUUUUAACAACUUAUAUAUUUUCCUUUGGUAAAAAAGUUAUCAUCAUGUUUAUAUUGCAAGUUAUCGGUUAUGCGGUGCUUAUAUUAUCAUGUUAUUUACACAAAAAUUAUUGGGGAUGUUUUGAACAACUUUUUCCCGAGGCAAAAAGUUAUCAUGGUGAUUCUAGGUAACCUAUCAAGCCCGUAGUGCUUAAAAUAUCAUGCUAUUUACAUAAAAUUUAUCAGGGAUAUGCUUCAGCAACAAAUUCCACCCCCCAUGGGUCAAAAAUCUAUCAUGGUGUUUAGUUAUCGCAGUGCAUAUGUUUUCAUACUAUUUACACAUAAAAAUGCCAGGGGAGGGAGGUAUACUACCGUGCUAUUUACAAAGAAGUUACCGGAGUAUCUUAAAAAAAUUGCCUACGGUCAAAGUUACCAUGGUGCUUCUACCUCAGUUAUCAGAUGUGCGCUGUGUAUAUUACCAUCUAUUUACACAUAAACUAUCAGGUAUCUUUUCACAUUUGUUUUCCCCAAUGGUUAAAGUUACCACGAUGUUUGUAUCUAAAUUAUCAGGUCUAUGGCGUGAAUGUUAUCGUACUAUUUACAGAAAUUACCGGAGGGCGGGUUCAACAAAUUUAUUCCCAAUGAUCAAAGUUACCACGAUGCUUGAAACAAAAAGUUGCUAACGUAUUAAAGGCAAAAACAUGUCAAAAACAGUAUUACCCUUAGAAUGUUCAACAAUGAGUAUCAUAGGUGAGGUGGUUAGCUCCCUUUGUUAAUUACCUGCAGACCAGAGAUCAAAUCCUAGUAUAAGCAUUAUUUUUGCUGAAAAUCGAGAAGGCAUGUGGGGCCAUAAAUGACGAUUACAAAAAUUAGAAAGGCACAAGCGGGAGAGAAUUGAUGACAUUUGAUGCGUGUGGCAGUUUCACAAUCUGCCACACGGUUGCCAUAUACAUAUUUCGUUAUCUAAAUAGUGUGUGGAAUUGUUUACACAGAUGAACAAAACAUUACUUGAAGUAGAGGUUCUGCCAAAAGAAAGAAAGAGCAUCUUGCAGGUUCAAGUUUGAGUAGUUGAGCCAGACAAUUUAUCGUAGGCGUUGUAUGUAAUAAUAAUUUAAUUAUUUUCAUAGGAGUACGACUCAUAGUAUCGGCAUGGAGGUCGUGAACAAAAGCAGAAGUAUCCUUAAUUUUUUAUUAGUGAUUGUAAUUUUCCUUAUAAAGAACAUACUACUCUCGUGUAAACCCAUCCCUCUACAUAUGUACUGUCAGUUUUUUGCAAAUCGAACAAAUUGCGUAUGUAGCAAGUGCUAGUAUCUUGAAAUGCAGUUAUGCGUAUGCCCCUAAGAGUAGGUGAAUAGAAAACUCGAACCAAAAAUGGCUUUCUCCUAAUAGUAAUCGUGCUAGAACUCAUUCAAAGCUGAAGUGAACUAUAAUUAUAACCAGCCUUUGUCAAUAGAAGUCCUACUGAUCACAAAUUCCUCUAAUUUCCUCCAGACUCAAGAUCAAGAUGGUGGACAGUGCACGGAUAUUACAAAAUUAACAAUUCACAAUACGAAUUAAAUAUCACAAAUUGCAAGGUACAAGUUUUGAGCACAUACAAUCUUUCAUUGGUAGGCAACACUACAACUUUGGAGGUCAACACAUUAGGCAAACUCUUUGGAAUUAAGAUAGUGAAAAGUAAAUGUAUGCGAAAGCAAGCUUCAGUUCAGUAAACCAUCAAGCCCAGAUUGCUGCACUCCGAAUUUCCUUUAGACUUGUACGCUACCUUCAGGUCAGCAAGCUUUAUGUUCAGCAAGUGUGUAACAAAACAAGAAUUGAACUGGAAUAGAAUUUGAAAUUUGAACUGAAAUACAAUACGAAAACUAAACUGAGUGUACUUUCAGAUUUUCACAUGGGCAUCAGUGCAUGAAGCACCAAUGAAAUUGAACUGAAACAAACUUCAGUUCAACAAACUUAUAUGAAGUUAUAUGAAGCAUGCUUGAAUGCGUUGACCCGAAGCAUGCUUGUAGGAGAGUAGUGGCACUGGAAGCGAGCCUUUUGCUGAACUUAUAUGAAGUUAUAUGAACUUGUCUAACUUAUAUGGAACUUAUAUGAAGCCUUUUGCUGAACUUAUAUGAAGUUGACCAGACAAGAUGAUACCGAGGCGCAUCAGAAUAUAGGAGAGUGGUGAUGCAAGUCAGUCACCGGCUGGGUAAUGAAGCGGGUGGUAUGCGGCAUGGAGACAACCAGAAAACGGGACAUCCAGGGGUAGGGAGCAUCGUCGCUGAAGAUCAGAGAGUGUGGAGCGCAGGCGUGCAGUGUCCCCCGGCCGGCACCGGAGACGAAGGAGAUCGGGGAUAGUGCACUUUUUUCGUCAGCCUACAAGAUGCUCAAGGACCAGGACAACAUGUAGUUUCAGAAUUACAGAUUGUGGUCAGCUAUAGGAUGUUUCUGGGACCAUGUUUUAGCUACGAGAGAGCAACAACAUCACAUCAUGAGAGAGAGGAUGCAACAUCAAAAAUUCAGGAGAAAGAUCAGAGCAGAGCAGAAGUAAAUAUGUUUUGAGGAGAUGAACUGACCAGGAUUUAAAUGAACUCUCACUAGCAGUAAUUUUUGUACUUCGCAUGUAGUACUACAUGGACUUGCUGUAAAAUACAUUGACCAUGUAGUAAUUUUGAAGUUAAUUAUCACUACUGCAGAACCGGGCAAUAGCACCGGUUCGUAAGGCCCUUUGUGCCGGUUUCGGAAUCGGCACUAACAUUUCGGCACUAAAGCCCCCCCCCCCUUUAGCACCGGUUCAGCAUGAACCGGUGCUAAAGGGCAACCACGUGGCACGAGCCAGCUCCGGGGGCCGAGAGCCCUUUAGUACCGGUUGGUAACACCAAUCGGUACUAAAAUGUUUGGGGGGGUUUUGGUUUUAUGAUUUCUUUUUCAUUUAAUUUUGUGUUUUCCAUUUUAAUUCUUUUUCGUUUGCUGGUAUUUUACGGUACUACACAUUGUACACGUUAUGCAUAUAUAUAUAUAUAGAAUUUCUAGUAGAACCAAUCAUAUAUAUAUCAUCAAUGUCUCACAAACCACCAUAUUAAUUUACACAUACACACAUGUAUAGCUAUAUACAAUUUCUCCUACAUAUGCAUGUUGCCUUCGGAGCCAGUUGCAUUAGCCUAAUUGGUGCCUUCGGAGCACGAUGACAAUUGGAAGUGGUUCAUGACCUGUUCGAUGGGGGCGGUAGCGGGUAAUAGUAUUCUCCCUUCGGAUUUAUGACCUGGUCGAGCAAAAAUCCCGCUAUUUCCUCUUGAAGUGCUUCUACGCGCUCCAUUUCUAGGAGCUUGUCCCGCACCUCUUUGAACUGUUAAGAAGGAGAUCGAUAUGCAUGUGUAUUAGUUGUGUGACUAGAUAUCGAUAAUGGUGUAAAAAUUAUGAAUAGUGUUCUAACAAGAGUACCCAUUCCUGUCUUUGAGAUCUGCUCCUUUCGGAUGCCAUCAUGCGAAUGUUCUCGCAAAUGCAGAAUGCACACAGAUUAGUCCCCUACGCCUGCUUCAGGGCCUUUAUUACGAGAAUGGAAUUUAAUUUGAUCAGAUAAUAAUUAAUCAAGCAUGAUAAUUAAUGAGAUGGCAACUAGCUAGCUAGGUAGUACUACUUAAUUUGAUCGAAUACUACAGAAGAAUCUAGGACACUCGCGGUUCCUAUGGCGCGGGCGGUGGACACCCAAAGAGAAGGAACCCUCACAGGAUCAUAGCUGAAGUGAGAUCCCUGAAGAAACUGCCAGGUAUUGGAGAACCUGACGCCCUCUAACGCAACCAUGUAGCGAUGGACGUGCUCGUCCUCCUCCCUGACACGACAACGUACCACCUCCGGCAGGGCUGGUUCCCUCCGCACCGAAACUGGCCCACGCGAACGCAACCAAACGAGAUCAGGGUCGACGACGGGACCCGGGGCCGGGUUCCUCAUCAAGCGGCGCGCCCCUCCAAGCAGCACCUCCCAGUGCCAGCCCGGCGGAGCCCAGUCCCGGACAUGGGUCAGCUGGACGUCGUCGCGGACGUAUCGACGGCGAGGAUGCGGGCCGGGCAUCGUCGACAACAAAUACUAGCUAUAUGCCCGCAAAAAGUAACAUUUUUUUAAUGAUUGGAUUUUGAUAACUAAAAUUUCUAACAUUCUAUAACAUUUCUAACAAUGCUAUAUAUAACUAACAUUUCUAUAACAUUUCUAAUAUUUCUAUAACUAAAAAAAGAAAAAUUUCUAACUUUUUUAUAACUAUUUCUAUAACUAAAAAACAGAAAAAAUUCUAACAAUUCUAACUUUUUUAUAACUAUUUCUAUAACUAAAAAACAGAAAAAUUUCUAAUAAUUCUAACUUUUUUAUAACUAUUUCUAUAACUGAAAAACAGAAAAAAUUCUAACAAUUCUGACAAUUCUAACAAUUCUAACAUUUCUAACAUUUCUAACUAUUGUAACAAUUCUAACAUUUCUAACUAUUUCUAAAAAACAGAAAAAUGUCUAACUAUUUCUGAAAAACAGAAAAAUCUAUAACUAAAAAUGUAUGUGUGUGUGUGCGNNNNNNNNNNNNNNNNNNNNNNNNNNNNNNNNNNNNNNNNNNNNNNNNNNNNNNNNNNNNNNNNNNNNNNNNNNNNNNNNNNNNNNNNNNNNNNNNNNNNNNNNNNNNNNNNNNNNNNNNNNNNNNNNNNNNNNNNNNNNNNNNNNNNNNNNNNNNNNNNNNNNNNNNNNNNNNNNNNNNNNNNNNNNNNNNNNNNNNNNNNNNNNNNNNNNNNNNNNNNNNNNNNNNNNNNNNNNNNNNNNNNNNNNNNNNNNNNNNNNNNNNNNNNNNNNNNNNNNNNNNNNNNNNNNNNNNNNNNNNNNNNNNNNNNNNNNNNNNNNNNNNNNNNNNNNNNNNNNNNNNNNNNNNNNNNNNNNNNNNNNNNNNNNNNNNNNNNNNNNNNNNNNNNNNNNNNNNNNNNNNNNNNNNNNNNNNNNNNNNNNNNNNNNNNNNNNNNNNNNNNNNNNNNNNNNNNNNNNNNNNNNNNNNNNNNNNNNNNNNNNNNNNNNNNNNNNNNNNNNNNNNNNNNNNNNNNNNNNNNNNNNNNNNNNNNNNNNNNCGAGAGGCGACGGGGGGCGCGCGGCGACGGGGACGGCGACGGGCGCGGCGACGACGGGAACGGGGACGUACGGGCCGGGGCGGCGAUGACGACGGGGACGGUGACGACGCGGCCGGGACGGGGCGGCGGUGACGACGGGGACGGGACGACGGAGCGGCGACGACGGGGACGGGGCGGCGACGGGGGCGGCGACGGGCCGGGGCGGCGACGAGGGAUAUGGAGACGGCAGGGGCGGCGUGCGAUGGUGCAGAGGAGAAGAAGCAGACGGAGAGAUGAGAAACUGACGAAAUUUUGAAGUGUUUUCUUAUAUAGAACCCACCUUUAGUACCGGUUGGAGCCACCAACCGCUACUAAAGGUCUGUUUUGGCUAGCCCAAGCGGCGGGAAGCGACCCCCUUUAGUACCGGUUGGUGGCUCCAACCGGUACUAAAGGCCCCCCCUUUAGUACCGGUUGGUUCCACGACCCGGUACUAAAGGGUGUGCACUGCCAGGCGAGGGGCACAAAAGUUUAGUCCCACCUCGCUAGCCGAGGGGCACUCGCACCUGCUUAUAAGUCCCGCCGUCGCUGCUGUCUCGAGCUCCUCUCUUAAGCAGGCCUACUGGGCCUACCUCUUCUGCGAUGCCCUGUUGGGCCUACUGGGCUAGCGGGCCUGCAUCCUGGUCCAACUUGAAUUUGGGUUUCUAGUCGUAUGCAGGCCGCUGUGGCCCAGUAGGUGGGCUUUCUUUUCUUAUUUUUUUGCUUUAUUUAUUUUUGUGAAUAACUUAACUUUGAAAAUAUAUUUUUCAGUGAUUCUUUUUUCUUAUGUUUAAUAUUAGUGUGUUUUAUCAUUAUAUUCAAUUUGGUAAUGCUUAGGUUAUUUAAAAAAUGAAAUGCCUUUGUAACGGAUGAGUUUUCGUCCGAAACCCUGAUACUUCGAAACAGAUUGUCCAUUUUGUACACGAAGUGCAUCCAGUUUUUGCGGUAACCCUCUCUACUUUUUUGCACAUGCUAUGUGGGUGAAAUUAUGAUACCAUGCCAACUUUCAUCCUUUUCUGAGUUCAUUUGAAAUGCUUUUCAAUUUCAGGGUCAUUUAGCUGAAAAAAUCAGUAAAUGCAUGAAAGAAUUUGCUUGCACAUAAAAGUUCUUCACGUUUCAAAUGCCAAAACACAUAACUAGCUACCCUAACUAUUACAGAGAUUGCCUCCUGGGUGUGAAACACAGAAGAAAGUGAUGAUAGUUAAGCCGAUCACAUCCCAGAUCUUUGGGUGUGAAACUUUUUCUUCGCGUGUGUCCUUUUGCAUCGUAGCCAUGGAAAAUCUUCAUCAUUUAACGGGAUGCUCGGGUCAAUAUUCACUGUGAAUGGAGCAAUCUCAUCAAACUUUUCAUAAUCUUCUGACUUGUCUGUCUUGUCAUCCACUCCCACGAUGUUUCUCUUCCCAUAAAGAACUAUGUGCCUCUUUGGCUCAUCGUACGAUGCAUUCGCUUCCUUAUCUUUUCUUUUUCUUGGCUUGAUAGACAUGUCCUUCACAUAGAAAACUUGUGCCACAUCAUUGGCUAGGACGAAUGGUUCGUCUGCAUACGCAAGAUUGUUGAGAUCCACUGUUGUCAUUCCGUACUGCGGGUCUUCCGUUACCCCGCCUCGUGUCAUAUUGACCCAUUUGCACCGAAACAAAGGGACCUUCAAACCACGUCGAUAGUCAAGUUCCCAUAUGUCCUGUAUAUAACCAUAAUAUGUUUCCUUUCCCGUCUUGGUUUCUGCAUCAAAGCGGACACCACUGUUUUGGUUGGUGCUCUUCUUAUCUUGGGCGGUCGUGUAAAAUGUAUUCAUUUAUCUCGUACCCUUUGAAAGUCAUUAUAUUCGAAGAUGGUAACUGGGACAGCAAGUACAGGUCAUCUUCAAUAGAGGUGUCAUGCAUGGUACGUGCUUGCAACCAGCUGGCGAAACUCCUGGUUUGUUCACGUGUAAUCCAGUCAUCAGACCGCUUCGGGUGUUUGGAGCAUAGCAAAUUCUUGUGUUCAUCCAUAUACGGAGCCACCAAGGCGGAAUUCUGUAGAACUGUGUAGUGUGCUUCAGUGAGAGAAUGUCCGUCCAUACAUAUUAUUUGUUCCCCUCCUAGCGUGCCUUUUCCAUCUAGUCUGCCCUUAUGCCGCGAUUCAGGAACACCAAUCGGCUUAAGGUCAGGAAUAAAGUCAAUACAAAACUCAAUGACCUCCUCAUUUUGACGGCCCUUAGAGAUGCUUCCUUCUGGCCUAGCACGGUUAUGAACAUAUUUCUUUAAGACUCCCAUGAACCUCUCAAAGGGGAACAUAUUGUGUAUAAAUACAGGACCCAAAACGUUAAUCUCUUCGCAUAGGUGAACUAGGACGUGCGUCAUGAUGUUGAAGAAGGAUGGUGAGAACACCAACUCGAAACUGACAAGACAUUGCACCAAAUCAUUCUGUAACCUUGGUAUGAUUUCUGGAUCGAUUACCUUCUGAGAGAUUGCAUUGAGAAAUGCACAUAGCUUCACAAUGGCUAAUCGAACAUUUUCCGGUAGAAGCCCCCUCAAUGCAACCGGAAGCAGUUGCGUCAUAAUCACGUGGCAAUCAUGAGACUUUAGGUUCUGGAACUUUUUCUCUGCCAUGUUUAUUAUUCCCUUUAUAUUUGACGAGAAGCCAGACGGUACCUUAAUACUAAACCCGGGCAUGGGCAGCCCGGCCCAACGACCCGGCCCGAGCCCGGCCCGAAAAACUCGGGCCGGGCCGGGCCGGGCUUGACAUUCGGGCCGGGCUCGGGCUUUGUUUUUCAGCCCGAAAGAUAGUUCGGGCCGGGCUCGGGCUUUAAUUUUUCCGUAUUUCGGGCCGGGCUUUCGGGCUUCGGGCCGGGCUUGCACGUGCGCGUACUAAAAAACAACAUUCGGGCCGGGCUUUCGGGCUUCGGGCUUGAUUUCGGGCCGGGCUCGGGCUUGAAAAUGUGGAGUAUUUCGGGCUUCGGGCCGGGCUUGGGCUUGAGAAAUGAAGGUCGGGCUUUUACAAGCUCGGCCCGAAACCCGGCCCGGCCCGACGUUUGCCCAGGUUUACUUAAUACUGAGCAGGCAUUCAAAGAAGAUUUCCUUCUCUUCUUUGGUAAGAGCGUAGCUUGCAUGACCCUGAUGUAUGCCGUCUUUUUCGUGCAUACGUUGCUGGUCCUCCCGUGCCUCAGGUGUAUCUUUUGUCUUCCCAUACACGCCCAAGAAGCCAAGCAGGGUCACACAAAGAUUCUUCGUCACGUGCAUCACGUCGAUUGCGGAGCGGACCUCAAGGUCUUUCCAAUAGGGCAGGUCCCAAAAUAUAGAUUUCUUCUUCCACAUGGGUGCGCGUCCGUCAGCGUCAUUCGGAACAGAUUGUCCACCAGGACCCUUUCCAAAGACCACCUUCAAAUCCUUGACCAUAUCAUGUACAUCAGCACCAGUACGAUGGCGAGGCUUCGUCUGGUGAUCCGCCUCACCUUUGAAAUGCUUGCCUUUCUUUCUUACGGGAUGCCUGCUCGGAAGAAAUCGACGAUGUCCCAGGUACACAUUCUUAUUAGCCAAAUAUAUACUGUCGGUAUCGUCCAAACAGUGCGUGCAUGCACGGUAUCCCUUGUUUGUCUGUCCUGAAAGGUUACUGGGAGCAGGCCAAUCAUUGAUGGUCACGAACAGCAACGCCUUUAGGUCAAAUUCUUCCCCCAUGUGCUCAUCCCACGCACGUACACCUGUUCCAUUCUACAGUUGUAAGAGUUCUUCAACUAAUGGCCUUAGGUACACAUCAAUGUCGUUGCCGGGUUGCUUAGGGCCUUGGAUGAGCACUGACAUCAUAAUGAACUUUCGCUUCAUGCACAACCAAGGAGGAAGGUUAUACAAACAUAGAGUCACAGGCCAGGUGCUAUGGUUGCUGCUCUGCUCCCCAAAAGUAUUAAUGCCAUCUGCGCUUAGACCAAACCAUACGCUCCUUGCAUCAUCUGCAAACUCCUUCCCGUACUUUCUUUCGAUUUUUCUCCACUGUGACCCGUCAGCGGGUACUCUCAACUUUCCGUCUUUCUUACGGUCUUCUCUGUGCCAUCGCAUCGCCUUGGCAUGCUCUUUGUUUUGGAACGAACGUUUCAACCGUGGUAUUAUAGGAGCAUACCACAUCACCUUGGCAGGAAUCUUCUUCCUGGGGCGCCGGCCCUCGACAUCACCAGGGUCAUCGCGGCUGAUCUUAUAGCGCAAUGCACCACAUACCGGGCAAGCGUUCAAAUCCUCGUACUCACCGCGGUAGAGGAUGCAAUCAUUAGGGCAUGCAUGUAUCUUCUGCACCUCUAACCCUAGAGGGCAGACAACCUUCUUUGCUUCGUACGUACUCUCGGGCAAUUCGUUGUCCUUUGGAAGCAUAUCCUUUAUCAUUACCAGCAACUUUCCAAAUCCCUUGUCAGAUACACCAUUCUCUGCCUUCCAUUGCAGCAAUUCCAGUGUGGUGCCCAGCUUUUUCUUGUCACCUACGCAAUUCGGGUACAACAAUUUUUUGUGAUCCUCUAACAUGCGCUGCAACUUCUUCUUCUCCAAAUCACUUGCGCAGUUUCUCUUUGCAUCGGCAAUGGCCCGACCUAGAUCAUCAACGGGCUCAUCUGAUGCCUCUUCUUCAGCUUCUUCCCGCAUUGCCGGCUCAGCUUCUUCCCGCAUUACCGGCUCAGCUUCUUCCCCCAUUGUUGUAUCAUCAUAUUCAGGGAACCCAUGGCCAGGAUAGCUGUCGUCGUCCUCUUCUUAUUCAUUGUCUUCCAUCAUAACCCCUAUUUCUCCGUGCUUGGUCCAAACAUUGUAAUGGGGCAUGAAACCGGACUUAAACAGGUGGACGUGAAUGGUUCUUGACGUAGAGUAAUUGUGACCAUUCUUACAGCGAGCACAUGGACAAGGCAUAAAACCAUCCGCCUGCUUGUUUGCCUCAGCCGCAAGCAGAAAAGUAUGCACGCCCUCAACGAACUGGGGAGAGCAUCGGUCAUCGUACAUCCAUUGCCGGCUCAUCUUCAUUACACAACACCGAAUAGACCAAAUUAAUACAAGUUCAUACAUAAAGUUCAUACAACACUUAAAUGCAACAAACAAAUAACUCUCUAGCUAAAGCAUUUAAAUGCAACAACAAAUACGAUCAAGAUCGCAACUAAGGUAACAAUGGAUCCAACAGCAUAAUGAUACCAAGCCUCACUAUCGAUGGCAUAUUUUCUAAUCUUUCUAAUCUUCAAGCGCAUUUUCUCCAUCUUCAUCUCGUGAUCAUCGACGACAUCGGCAACAUGCAACUCCAAUUCCAUCUUCUCCCCCUCAAUUCUUUCAAUUUUUCUUUCAAGUACUCGUUUUCUCUUUCAACUAAAUUUAACCUCUCGGCAAUAGGGUCGGUUGGAAUUUACGGUUCACAUACCUCCUAGAAAAAAUUUCUAUGUCAACUUGAUGGGCAUAAUUUGUCAUAAACACAAAAUGCAACUAGUUUUAAAAGAGAAUAUACAUACCACACCCGAAUCAUAACAAGGACUAGGGCCGACGGGGACGGAUAUCAAAACCAUAGCACUAUAUGUAUAACAAACAACGUACGGGUAAGAUAAUUAUACGAGUAACUAUAUAUCCAAAUCACACAAACAUCAAUUUUUAUAUAAAAUUUCAUGAACUAGAGGCUCACCACAAGGUGGUGCCGGCGACGGGACGGUGCGGGCGAUCGACGGUGGCUACGAUGGAGAUUUAGAAGGCACUAAGUAAACCACACCUACAUAUGCAAACUAAGUGUUAUUUUUGACCUCAAAUUGCAUAUAAAUCAAAUACUAGCACAUAUAUAUAUAUAUCCUCCCAAAUUACUAAAAUCACAAAUUAAUCACUAUAUAAAGCAUUGCAAGAGCUAAUCUAGCAAUGAGAGAUGAAAGGACAAAGUUGCUAACCUUUGUGAUCAUUUGAAUGGAUGGGGGCCUUCAAAUCUUGACAAAUUUUGGGCAAAAUGUGUGAUGAGCUCGAGAGGAAGAGGGGAAGAACAGAGAGGAGAGGGGAAAGGGGAAUAAUAGAGUGAGCUUGGGUGGACGAAGGGUCUAUGUAGGACGACCUUUAGUACCGGUUCGUGCCAAGAACCGGUACUAAAGGGGCUGGAGGGGCACCUGUCUGACAACAUCCUGCCACCACUCUCAUUAGUACCGGUUCGUUGCACGAAGCAGUGCUAAAGGUUCGCCACGAACCGGUACUAAUGAAAGCGGCCCGGCUAGCCGUUGGAACCGGCACUAAUGUAUACAUUAGUGCUGGCUCAAAUACAAACCGGCACUAAUGUGCUUCACGUUUGACCCUUUUUCUACUAGUGUAUAUGAUCAUCUCAAAGAGCUCAAGUUGUACUGAAAGCUCAAGUUGGACUAAAACUCACUCGAUAACUGAAAAUCCUAGGGCGAGGGGUGGGAUCCAGGGUGCUGCUAGCAAUGAACGGCCUGGGGUGGUGGCGUUGAACGGCCUGGAGUGGUGGCUGUGAACAGCCAGGGUGCUCCGGUGGCAGAGCCCCACCGGAGAUGGUGAUGCAAGCAGGAGGUCGGGAAGCAGUGGUGCCGGUGGUCGGGGUCGUCCAAUGCACAUGGCACACCAGUACAGGAAGUUGAUUCAUCACCCAUCCAUAGUUUUUUUCCUUUUUGGAAUCCAUUGAACUGAAAAAAGCUACAUGUGAGCUGAAAGUAUGAAAAUAACAUAUCUUUGAAAGAAUAAAGAACUAGCUUUAACAUAUCUAUGAAAGAAUACACCUCCGAGGAACUAGCUUUGAACAUAUCUCUGAAAGAAUAGAGAGCAUGCAAAGUUCAAGGAAAGAAUAAGCAAAAUGGCACACUAGUACGCAGUAGUACGAGUCCAGUCAUGUACGUGCUAGUAUUAGGUUUGAAUAGUAGCUAGAAUUGAAGUUCAGGUAACCAUGGCACACACAUCAUACAGUUUCAAUCAUGUAUGCACACACUGUAAUAGUAGCUGCAAUUAAAGUUCAAAUAACCACGGCACCCAUAACAGAACAAGAAUCAGUGUAGCAGCUAGGCAAGCAAGCUUCAUCAGCAUGAAUACACAUCAGCGGCAAGCUAGAACACGCUAGUAGGCUGUAGAAGUCUCCUUGUAAUUUUUCAAACAGAAGUGCUUUAGUUCAGUUCAGUAGUAAGGCAUGGAAAAAGAAAAGCAAUGGAAUAAACUAUAACUGAGCCAAAUAUGUAAUUUCAACAAACUAGACCUCAUUGCUUGACUUCAGUAGUAAUACACGAUCAUCAGUUCAAUAUAAACAUACUGAUGUUAACAUCAUCGUACAUCCAUUGCCGGUUCAUCUGCGUGCAUUAUAUAUAAUUAAGUGUGUCAAAAACCAUUACAGAACAGCAUGAAUAUAGAAGACCAAAUUAAUAGGAGUUCAUCAUCACAUUAAAACCAAAGUACAAUAGUGAUCAAAUGUUAUUACUGAAAAAAUAAAUACAUAAAGUUCAUACAUAUAUAUUUCUCAUUGAAAAACAUAUAUAUAGCUCUCUAGAGCAUCUAAUUAAACCAUACAUUGAAACAAUGCAAAAACAUUUCAAUGCAACAACAAAUGCGAUCAUAAUCGCAACUAAGGUAACAAUUGAUCCAACGGCAUAAUGAUGUCAAGCCUCGGUAUGAAUGGCAUAUUUUCUGAUCUUUCUAAUCUUCAAGCGCAUUGCAUCCAUCUUGAUCUUGUGAUCAUUGACGACAUCCGCAACAUGCAACUCAAAUCCCAUCUUCUCCUCCUUAAUUCUUUUCAAUUUUUUCUUCAGGUAAUUGUUUUCUUCUUCAACUAAAUUUAACCUCUCAACAAUAGGGUCGGUUGGUAUUUCCGGUUCACAUACCUCCUUGAUAAAAACAUCUAUGUCACGUUGGUCGGCAUAAUUUUCAUACACACUAAAUGAACAAAAUAGUUAUAAAAUAUAAUAUAUACCACAUCCGAAUCAUAGACAGGACGAGGGCCGACGGAGGCGGAUACCAAAACCAUCGCACUAUAUAAUAACAAAAAAUAAUAAAAGUAAGAAAAUUAUACAAGUAUCUAUCUAAAUCAUACAAGUAAGAACUUUUUUCUUUUAGAAGAUAAGAACAAGAGGCUCACCACGGUGGUGCCGACGACGAGAUUAGCACGGGCGAUCGACGGCGGUGAGGACGGGGACGGGACAGGAUGGACCGCCAAACCUAGACAAAUCUUAAGGAAAAUGGAGUUUGGACAAGGAGCUUCGAGAGGAGAAAGCUUAAGUAUGUCUCGGGCAUUUCACCGAACACCUCAUGUGCAUAGGAGGUGAGCUAGAGCACCACAAAGCUCUCCCACGGCCGGCCAAAAAAUAGAGCAAUGCACUGCUCUGCUCGCGGGCAGGGGGAUAUAUAGGCCUCUCUUUAGUCCCGAUUUGUGGCUAGAACCGGGACUAAAGGACCCCAUUUGGUCCCAGUUCCAACCACCAACCAGGAUUAAAGUUUGUGGGCCAGGACCGAGGCCCAUUGGUCCUGGUUCGUGUCUGGAAGCGGGACCAAAGGGGUCAGACGAAUCGGGACCAAUGGCCCCCGAGGCCCGGCCGGCGCCCUGGCUUUACGAACCGGGAUUGAUGCACCCAUUAGUCCCGGUUCAUAGGGAAUCCGGGAUUAAUGCCCUUUUUAGACCUGGACCAAAGCCCUAUUUUCUACUAGUGUUGUAGGCCUCGCUCACAUGAAGUAAGAACGGUCGGUGACGAUGCCUCAUAAAGUCCAUGUGGUGCAAUCAUAGUUGGUGGUGCAGGGGAAGAAGUAACCUUCUUUGAUGGGGAUUCCAUCACACGCUUGUUCGUCAUGUAGACGCGUCCUCUUAAUUUCUGUUCAGCUUUACAGGCAAGAUGAAACAAAUGAUCGAUAGAAUAUAGUCUUCAUGCAUUAUUAUGUCUUGUAUAUCAUGUAUAUCAUGCAUUAAUCUAAGCCCAGAUACUGAAUCAAGCGAGAGGGAACUAACGAAAAUAUAAUAGCUCCAAGUAGCUAGAUAUAAGUGAGGUAUGAACAUAGUGUAUGGCAACCAAGAGCAGACAAAAAAAUCCAACACUUAUCACUUAUAUGAACAGAGCAGGCUGAACAGCAAAAGAGAUUGUUCAAAAGAUGCUAGGUGGCCAAAACUUUGCAUCAACUUUUUUUUUAUUCUUUUUUCUGAAUUUUUUUUUUCAACUUUCAGGCCGGCCGCUAGUAGAAGUCACGUACACAAAUAUCUGACCAAAUAGGUAUGAAGGGGUGGCCGGGGCACGUCCGGUGUAGCCCAUCGGCGCUGUCCAGCGGUAAAAGAUCUCAUGCCAUUGCUGAAAUUCACGUCCCCCACCCAGGGCAUUUUGGUCAUUUCGCAUAUGUGCCCUUUUCCGAUUCUCUGCCUCCUCCCCCAAUGAGUACCUCCCUCAUUUUUCUCUCCCUCACAUCUCUCUCGAGAGAGAGCCGCCGCUGCCAGUCAUCCUCCCCGUCCGCCGCCGCCGCCGCCAACCAUCCGCAGCCGCGCCACCAUCCCCUCCCCGUUCCACUCCCAUAACUGAGCCAGCCAUGGCCGGGAAGAAGUGCAAGUCCUCUUCCUUCCUCCCUCACCCCUGAUCUGAAUCCUCUCCCGAAACCCCAGCUAGCUGCAUGCAUCCCAUAUGGCGCCGCCCAGCUCGCAGCCCUCGGCCGCCGAGCCAUCGCGAGGCUCCUCGCGCAAGCGCACGACCUCCUCAAAGGCUGCGCCCGAGGCCGACCUGGAGUUCACCGUCACCAAGGAAAGGUAAGGGGAGGGGAGGGGAUGGAAGGGAUCGAGCGACCAGGUGAGGCAGCGCCCAGAUCCACGGGGCCAUCGACACUUCAUCAUCGACCUCAUCCGCGACCGUCCUCGAGGUCGGCCAUGGUGGUCUGGCCCGGCAACAGCCAUGGAAGGAGACGCCCGAAUCCCUGGCCCUCCAAGUACGCGCCUGCUGCAGGCCAUCUCCGGCGAGCUCAUCCACAGAUCUCCAACUAUGGUGCGUGCGCAUGAUACCUAAACCCCUUGUCUUGUCAGUUUCUUCAUCUCCCUUCCUUGUGAUUCCUUGGUUUGUUUUGUGCGCAGUUGCUCCGAUCUGGAAGAGGUGGUGGAGCUUUUGUUGUUGCUGCUGCAGGUGGACGAGGCACCACCCCCUCUUUCUACUUCUGGACACAACCUGGUGGUGAUUGCUAAUUUCAGUGUUAAAAAAUUCAGUUCAAUUCAGUCAUGUUCUUUUCCUUUUGUGGGGAAAUUCAGUCACAUUCAAUGUUCAACUUUUAGAGUUAACAAACUGUUGUUAUGACCACUGUGGUUUAGAUGUUCAGAAAUUCAGACAAGUGGUAUGAUGAAAUGAGCCACCUUUUAACCCCCUAGUAAACCUACCGUGAACGUUUAGAGAGCCAAUGCAGGGAGGUGUGGACAUUUUACCAUGUUCAUAGGAAGAAAUCAACAUAAAAUACACAGCUUGUAGAUGAUUCGUCAACCACCAUCAAACACGACUUGUAACUUUCUGGACUAAACUGAACCGUGCAAUUGACUCAAAAUAAAACUAAACCGUGCAAUUGACUCAAAAAUAAAUAGUAAAUAUACUUUGGUUGUGUCUGCAGAAUUGCAUUAUGGAAAGAUGUGUGUGAGGUUACCCCAUCGCCACUGGUUCCAACUUUGUCCAUCAUGUCGCUCUGAUGAGAAGACCUCGUCCAUGUUUCAUUAAUAGGGCAGAGUGCUGCUGAAGUAUCUAUGUUGAACAAUUAUAACAGUACCAAGUAAGUUUGCUCCAAUUGCAUUUGAUGCAGAAGGCACAACACCGCCAUCAUGCGUCAGGUUCAGUAGAAGGCACGACACCGCCACGCUCUCCUCCACUACAACGCCACGCACCCGGUAAUUAAACAUGCUUUCUCUUCAUUCAAGUAGUAAGAGNNNNNNNNNNNNNNNNNNNNNNNNNNNNNNNNNNNNNNNNNNNNNNNNNNNNNNNNNNNNNNNNNNNNNNNNNNNNNNNNNNNNNNNNNNNNNNNNNNNNNNNNNNNNNNNNNNNNNNNNNNNNNNNNNNNNNNNNNNNNNNNNNNNNNNNNNNNNNNNNNNNNNNNNNNNNNNNNNNNNNNNNNNNNNNNNNNNNNNNNNNNNNNNNNNNNNNNNNNNNNNNNNNNNNNNNNNNNNNNNNNNNNNNNNNNNNNNNNNNNNNNNNNNNNNNNNNNNNNNNNNNNNNNNNNNNNNNNNNNNNNNNNNNNNNNNNNNNNNNNNNNNNNNNNNNNNNNNNNNNNNNNNNNNNNNNNNNNNNNNNNNNNNNNNNNNNNNNNNNNNNNNNNNNNNNNNNNNNNNNNNNNNNNNNNNNNNNNNNNNNNNNNNNNNNNNNNNNNNNNNNNNNNNNNNNNNNNNNNNNNNNNNNNNNNNNNNNNNNNNNNNNNNNNNNNNNNNNNNNNNNNNNNNNNNNNNNNNNNNNNNNNNNNNNNNNNNNNNNNNNNNNNNNNGUGCCAGCGAACCCAGGCCACACCCAACGCGCUGGGGGGCUGCUAGGGCCGCCGGCGGAAGCAACAGCCAAUCAUAUUCCUCCAUGUAUCAUUUUUUUCUGGUCCACUCAUUCACUUUUUGCCUGGCGACUGUCCUGGGGGCACCAACGGCUGGGAAACCGUCCUCGCGUUUCAUUUGGCGAAGGUGUUUUGCCCCCCAGGACGUGCUAUAUUUGGCCCGGCGAUUGUCCUGGGGGGGGGGGCUCCAACGGCUGGAGAUGCUCUAAUUCAUUGUAUUUGCAUGUUUCCAGCAGCCAUGUAUCAAAAAAAGCUUCAGCUUUGGGUUGUUGAUUUAGCAGAAUCAAUCAUUAAUUGUUCUGCUAUAUAUGUUCUUAACCAUGACAACCUGAUUAGGCUCUUAGUUUAUUAUGGUCUUUGUUCUGGGUGGAUCUCUGACUAUUCUGGGUGGGCUUGAAUCUCUUCUUUGUUUCUUCAUCUCCUCUUAUUCUGAUUCCUGCGUUUGUUUUAUGUGAAGGUUGCUCCGAUGAGGACAAGCUGCUUCUGCAGGUGGAUGGGCCCUCAAGGCUGCUCUGCCUAUUCCUCCUGCUACCCCCACACGUGGUGAGCCCCACCCGUUCUCGAGCUACCCCUGCAAAUCUGAUGUGAUGUGCACAAAAUACUUGCAAUUGUUCUCGACACAAGAGCAUGUCAUGUAUUGUUUUAUUUGAAUGUGCAAUUUCAUUGCUUCUGUGUUGUUUGAUGCUUGCUUCACAAGAGGGAAAUCAUGGAUAUAAACUGCGCUUCCUUUCAAGUUGAAUAGUAAUGAUCACCAUUUGGUUCCAUUUUCUCCUCUGCAUCCAGUGUUCACUCUCUCAUAGAUGUCCAUAUAUACACAGUUCUGAUCUCCUUUUUCUGCGGCUCCAUACAUCGAACACAAAGCCGUCGAUGCAUUGAGGGCUCAAUGUCGUCUCCGUCGGCUGAGCGGCAAGCCGGGGUUGGGCCUGCACACCGUCUAUCAGCACCCUCCCGCGUCUCCAUUCACGGAUCUGCAGGUCAACCCCUCUUCUCCUCCUAUCCACGCAUCUUCUUUUCCAGAGCUAGGUGUAUGGUUGCAUGGCAAUUUGUGUUUUGGGGCUCACCAUGUUCUGCUUGCCCUGGUUGGCCAAUGAGGCUUUCCUUUUCUGGUAAAGGCCAAAUGUACUAUUCUCUAUGCUUUAUAUUUUUGUAGUUCCUUUGUUUCCAUGCUUGUUUUUUGAUGGGGUGUAAAUAUAUGCUUUUUUGUUCCUUGUCUGGAUUCAGGUAGGGCCUAACAUUAUUGUUCCUUUGUGCAUGGAAAUGUUGGUGGUUUUGUUCCUUUGUAUAUGGAAGGGGGCCUUGAUUAGAAUUUCUAACGUUUGAGUUGUAAUUAGUGUUUUUGUUACACAUGAAAACAUAUGGUUGUUUGUCCAAUCACAUAUGAAAAAGAGAUGAUUGUUUGUCCAACAAUUUUCUUUCUCUGUGAUAGUUUUACUAGAAAUAAAGUAUAGUCACUAUUACAUCCUAUUUUAUAUCUUGUUGUGUCGUGAUAUCUGUAUAGACUCUGUCUACGUCCUUUUGAUAUUCCAAGUUUUGUUUUCUAUGGCUCAAUUAGUUACCCCGUAUCAAGAGAAAUUUAACUGGUAUUUGCGGUAGAGUUAGCUGAAUUCAUGAAGCAAUGAUUUAGUUAUUAUUAAAGCUGAAACACAACAUGUUUUGACAAAUGCAUUCUAAGUAAAGCCUCCAACUAACAUAACCAAAAACAUAUUCUUUAGGUUUAUCAUCUAUUGAAGUAUUAUGUAGAAUUUUAAAUCAUACGAGGCAAAGCAAAUGAGCUCUAUGCACUUUCCAUGUAGCACAGAACAAAAAUAAUCAUGUAUAUUUUGGAUGCACCUAGAUAUACUCAUCAGCAAGGCUGAGGUUAUAGGGCACUCACCCACAUUGUCGAUAUCUCCGUCACUAUGAUCACCCACAUGAUGGACAAUUCCCUUCUUUCUUUUCUCUGUGGCUAUUGACACUUAAUGCUAUUACUGUGUGCAUAUAUGUACUGUGAUCCAUUCUCAUUCUUCAUAUCUUGAGAAACUAUCUCAAGAUACUCGCGUUUGUGUUUUGGAGAAAGCCUAUUCUAUGAUUAAUAUAUCGAGUAUGGAUGGCGCGAUAUCACCUCUCUUUAUGAUGAUGUUCUUACAGAAUAUAGGUUUUAUGGUAACACGUCUUAGCCAACACCUAUACUGAUGCUCAGACCAGAUGAUUAUAGUCUCUCCUUGCUAUUUUUCUUGAGGUGUGUACAUCUAUCUAGACAAUUUAAUUAAAAUAUAUAUUCCAUACAAACCAUCAAUACAUGUUAGUUGACUUUGAAACUAAUCAGUAAAAAGGUUGUCCCUUUCGCAUUUUAUGGACAUAAAGAUUUGGUGUUGACUGUCGAUCUUCAGUUAACACAUGACCUUACAACCGUAGGGAGUGGGAAAAAACUUAUAUGUUUGGCACAUUUGAAGAACAUAUCAUAGUAACGAAGUUUUGGUAAACAAUGUCCUAGAUCUCAACCAUAUAGAAAUACUAAAUAUAUGUUUAUUUGUAUAUGGAUUAAUUAUACAGACUUAUAAAACCUUGUGCAGGGCACAUAAAAGAAAUUUGAAAUAACUAUUAUUUCAAUAUUUGCUUUUUCAGUUGAGCAUAAUAGUUUAUAGCCUGAUAGGCUUGGACAUAAUUGUCUACAUGUACUGCUCAGUAGGCGACAUCCUUUGGGAAAUUGAGGAUGUCCUCGUGCAUUUUCUAAAUACAAUUGGGGCAUAUCUGAGGAAUGAAGGGAGGAAUAAACUCGUGGGAGAGUUCGGUGCAGAGGAAGAAGAACAAGAUAUUAUUUAUUUCUUGUGUACAGUCAAGCUUGUGCAUUGUCCCACUGUAAGUUAUUUCAACAAUAGUAGUAACUGUUAUCUCUGGCCAUCUGUUGCGACAUUUUCUUUAACCACCAAUGCAUAUUUAUUUUCUUGUUAAUAACUCUCAUAAUUGCCUGCUACUGUUUCAGUUCUGGGGCCAGGCAACCUUGAAUCCAACGUCCACCUGCAGGCUACAUCUCAGGUAGGAUAAAAAGAUUGCAGUGAACUUGAUGGGUAUAUCAUUAUUGUUGCCUCCUAAUUUGUGUGAUGAGCAAAUGUGUAGAUUGUGUGUAAAUCCGAGAUGCCUAAAACGGUUGGGAACUGAACUUGUUACCUCGGUUCACUUUAAUGGCAUGUUAAACUCGAUGCACUUUCUGGACUGUGACAUUUUUCCUGAAAUUUUGGAAGUGACUGCUAAUGUAGUCUAAAUAGAGUGACUGAGUAGUUACUUUCUCACAAGAGUUGACUUCCCGUUAUUGGAGUACUUGCUAAGAUGGAUUGGUGGUUUUUAUGUUAGAUGAAAAAUAUUACAUCAAUCUUUACGGCUUUUUAUGGGCAAGUGAUUCCGACUCCAUAAUAAGGAAUAAUAUAGCCCUAGUGCUGUGAUAAUGUUAAAACAUUUACCUCUUUUAUCGGUUCAUGUUAUGUAUUUGCUGCGAAAAAAUGGUCUUAUAUCAAAUAAUAGCCUAGAGCUUUUGGAGUGUUAUUACUUGUAUUUGUUGCUUGGAUGUAUAAACCUUCAACAGACUGUCAAUUUUGCUUUUAUAUAAUCUGUUUGUUUAAGUCUGCUGCAUAUUGGUCAAAAGCUCAUGCUAAUUGAUGAUGUUAGGUGAUGAUCUUGUAUCUAACAGUGAUUUCUGAAUGCAUGCUAAAGAAAACUCAUGAACAUCAUGGCGCCUUGUUGAUGGGGUGAUCAAUAGCUACUAUAUUGGGACCCUGCACUUAAAUUGUAGGUCUGAUUUUGUUUCGGAGUUCUCCUGCUACCCACAAGCUCAGAUAGUUCUUUUGUUUGUGCAGGGGAAAUUGCAAAGCAUAUUAUGAAUUGUUACAAGAAACUAUUUCUGCUGUUUUGGUGCAAGGAUGUUGCUUUUUAGUAUGCUUCCCGUAUCUUGGUAUCUUGGAAUAAUAAACAGAUAGAUGUCGUGUACCAAGAUUAUUCCUUGUUGUUAAGAGGGAUACAAAUAUUAUACAAGAAUUUUUCUGAUGACUCCUAAAGCAUAUUUGGAUAUAUAGCAAAGUAUAUUGUCGCUUCCCUGUUAGUAAAAUGAUUAUGUUAGAAAUUUGGUUGGCAGCCCCUACAUUUGGCUGAUUGCUAGCUGACUGGAUUACUCAUGUUUGCGGACUCUGGUAACUUAUGCCUACCAAGAACUACAUGAAUUUUGUGUCUUGCUGCAGUGAACAUUACCAAACUAAUUCUAAAGGUGUUAUAAUCAUGUUUUCUUUUGCAUUAUCAACUUUUAACUUUUGUCAUUUGUUGACACAUUCCUUUUGCAUUAUCAACUUUUAACUAUUGUCAUUUGUUAACAUGAUUAUUUAGCAUGUUCACUAUGCGAGUAGUAAUAAUAGGAGCUAUUUAUUUGCCAGAUAACUAACACUAUUCAUAAGGCAUAAGGGUUAGAAAAAGAACUGUAUUCUUUUUGUGAUGAUUUUCGUAUCACUACAAGAAAUGUGUUAAUACAUGACGGAUGCAAACUGUCACAGGUGUGCGCAAAACCGUCAAGGUAGCUCAGCCAUGACGGAUCCAAAAUUCAUCAUGUAUAUCGCGUCAUAAUUUGACCACCAUGCAGUCCAUGACGGAGCGCCAGAACCGUCAUGGAUCCAUGACGGUUCUUGACCGUCACAGCUUACUAUCAAAUAACGGCGUUAACCAUGCAUUCCACAUCAUCAUCUGACGUGGCGACCAACUUGGAAGCCCAUCUAGUAGUUUGCCCAAUUAGAAGUUUGGCCCACUUAAUUUCCACUCUAUCCAAGACCAUCGGCCCAUGUUUUCAUCAACCCAUAAGAAUAUUGGCCCAUUAAAUUUCAGGACGGUCCGAGGCCCACUAAUUUUGGUCGAGACAUUAGCUCGUCACUUUGUUUCUCUUGGUCCAUGUAAACUUUGAUGUAAUAAGAAUUUUUCUAAUUAUAUAUGCUCAUUGCCUUGUAAAUAAAUAUGGAAAUUGCAUAAACAAACCAAAUAAAUAACAUUUUUUUCAAUCAAAAGGAAGAAAUACACAACAAAAAACUUGAAAUUACGGAUGUGUUUCCAGAUCUGGCCUACUACUCUCCCUAAAGCUAUACAAUCUGCAGUCACCAUAUCAAGCGUCGGCCAGCGCUCGCGGGACGUCAAGAGGAGUUCAUCGCCAUGGCUUUUCUGGCCACAGAUCUGGCCGUGUCCGCUGGUGUCAUCGAAGGGAAACACCAUGUCCACCACCGUCUCGCGUCGACCCAUGCUCCUGUCCAGCUGACCUUCUCCACCGAUAGGGACAAUGGAAUCGUGGUUACCUGCGCAUCGAUGAACCAUACAGCACCUCGAAUAAUCAAAAGAAAAGGGAAGGGAGAAUCUGAAGCAACAGGGAGGGGAGAAUCUGAAUCGACAAAUGACUCAACCUGCAAAACUCGACGGACAAGCUAACGGCGAGGCCGGCAAAGGCCAUGAACGUAGGCCCGCACUGACGAAUGGGCUGCAGUGGCCCAGCAUGGAGCAGCCCCCGGCGGCGGCACGGCGCAGCCACCCGGCCAUCGCAGCACAACAUAACCGCCGCCAAGCCAGGGGACGGGGACGUGCGGCCAAAGCCACCGCCGCCAAGCACUCACAGGGGCCCAGCAUGGCAACCCCAGAAGGUGUGGAAGCAGCCUGAAUGUCACGGUGGCGAUGCUUUCCUCUGUGUGGCCUCCAAGCGCCUCGACCUGCACUCAAAUCGGGAGAACGGGAGGCUGAGAUGAGAGUUAACAUCGAAGAAGGAAGAAGGAAAUAAAGUCCGAGCGGCGUCCGAGCGCAUCAACCUCAACAUCCAUCGCCUGCUCAUAGAGAUGGAAGGAGGCAGAUCUGGACGGAGGAAGAGGAACGACAGGUGAAGUCAUUGCUCGGUGGAAGAGAAUAUAGCUGGCCAAACGGGCCGGGAUAGUUGGGCCGGCCCGGUAGCACGGCCGGCACGGCACGGCACGUGCUAAACGGGCCAGGCCCGGCACGCAGCACGCCAUGGGCCGUGCCUGGGCCUGAAAGGCGAGCACGCGGGCUGGCACGGCACGGCCCGAUUAACUUUUUUAUAUUUUUUUAUGUAUCCUAAUAUGGGCCAACAGGUAAAAAUAGGCUAAAAACGCUCAAUGCGCAAAAUAGGAGGUAGAUUAGUGGGCCUGGCGUGCUGGUGGGCCGGCCCGAUUAGCAUAGGGGUCGUGCCUGGGCUGCAGGCUGCAGCACGCGGGCUGGCACGGCACGGCCCGUAUAAUAAUCGUGCCUAGGCGGGCCGGGCCGUGCCAGGCACGAUUAGGAUGGGCCGUGCCGUGCCGGGCCGGGCCGGCCCGUUUGGCCAGCUAUAGAAGAGAAGACGGCGGCGUGUGGGGUCUAGGAUAAAGGAGUGGAGACAGAGAGACCGUGUGCUCGCCGUCGGAUCUGCGAGAACGGGCGGCUAGGAUGCAUGAUCCGCAUGAUGCUCGGAUCAACCAAUCAGGAUAGAGCAUUUGUAUCACGCCGGAUCCACGCCUCCUCGGCUGGGAAACCCAAGUGGGCCGGCCAGGAAUUCUGAACAUUUUUAGUUUUGUGUUUUCUUUUUCCCUUUUCCCUUAUUUUCUAUACUCCCUUUUUCUUACUGAAUCAAUAACUCCUGAAAGUCAGAUUUUGAGAAUCUCGCCCUGAACGCCUUGUCACCACUGGUCCAGGCGCAUGCAACUUGGCGCAAGAAUAUCAGAGAUGUCACACAUUUUUCGUUCGGAAAAGAAACGAUACAUCAAGAGCACACACGUAUCCCCUUUGCCCACCACACACUCCCCCUCCCCCCUCGCUUCGUAUUUUUCUCUCCGGUGUCCACGACGACGUGUACCGUCUCGGAGCAAGGGACGGAGGCCAAAGCCCAGAGNNNNNNNNNNNNNNNNNNNNNNNNNNNNNNNNNNNNNNNNNNNNNNNNNNNNNNNNNNNNNNNNNNNNNNNNNNNNNNNNNNNNNNNNNNNNNNNNNNNNNNNNNNNNNNNNNNNNNNNNNNNNNNNNNNNNNNNNNNNNNNNNNNNNNNNNNNNNNNNNNNNNNNNNNNNNNNNNNNNNNNNNNNNNNNNNNNNNNNNNNNNNNNNNNNNNNNNNNNNNNNNNNNNNNNNNNNNNNNNNNNNNNNNNNNNNNNNNNNNNNNNNNNNNNNNNNNNNNNNNNNNNNNNNNNNNNNNNNNNNNNNNNNNNNNNNNNNNNNNNNNNNNNNNNNNNNNNNNNNNNNNNNNNNNNNNNNNNNNNNNNNNNNNNNNNNNNNNNNNNNNNNNNNNNNNNNNNNNNGUUUCACGGCGGUGGUGGCUGAGAGGAGAUGCGGUGAAGGGACUGCACAACACCGGAGCUUUGCGAGGUCCUACGUUGCCACUGGUGGUGGUGGUGGCAGGGUAUGUGGUUUGUUUGGAGCUCAUGUCAAGUUACAGAUAAAAAUGAGCCCCCCUCCCCCCAAAUGGCAAAUUUGUUUGCAGUGAUGGCAAGUUCACAUGGAGCCAUACUACAAAUUUUCCAUAUUUUUUAUUGAGGAAGAACAAUAUAUUGCCAUGGAAAAUUCAUACAUGGUUUCUUGACAUGUGUGGUAGAUGUGCUGGCAAGUUUUAAACCAAUAUUUGCCAUGGUUAAUUCAGUAUGUAGUUUUUGAUUUGGCGGUAGAGAUGUCAAGGCAAUUUUGCCUCCUCUAGUAUGCGGCGAUCGUCGCCCAAUUUUGGACGUAAGAACUCUCGAGGCCCAAUUUUCCAGCAAUUUUUAUCAGCUUCGCAACGUGGCUCUCAUUACACGCACGAGCUUUGCAACGUGGCCCGUGAAGUGGAGGUUGCUUUUGCAACACAUGUGGUGUUGCAUACCAAUCCCAUGACUAUGCAGCACGUGCCCGCGCCCCGGCUCGUUGCCUUGUCACUGUGUCGCGUUGGGACCCUCCCUAGCCACCACGCAUCAUCCAUCGCGACCUUGUCGCCGUCCGCCGCAUUGAUUCGGCCGGGGACGGAGAGAUCUACCGGCCCAGCCUAUCCACUGCCACGGUCAUCGGUGCCCCACCAAUGACAUGUGAACAACCACAACAAUCCCGGAGUCAACGACGACCACGUUUCUACACCACCAUCUCCGUUGAAAUUUUUUCUACAACAUCAUCUGUGUUGGAAAGGGUUAUGGAGCACUGCCUUUGUUGCAAUGGUGAGGGAGGGCAGGGCCACUAUAUUGAGCCAGAUCUAAUGGCUGCCGAGGCGGCAGAAAAGAUUUGCCGGCCGACGUGUAGUAUGUCCCACUAUUCUUUUCUGGAUUCGUUUUUCUGUUUUUUCCAGUUUUCUUAGAACUUUGUUUGGCAUUAUCUGAACUUUUUUUAAUAACACACGAAUUUUUCUUGUCGUGUAAUUAUAUAUUUUAAAAUGUAUGAACUUUAUAAAAAUACAUUCACAUUUCCUAUUAUAUUUGAAAUAAAAAAAUAAAAAAAGUUCAUGUCUACCUCGAAUUUGUUCAGCAUGUUUUUGGAAAAUGUUUCAUCGGUAUUAAAAAAUUGUCAACAUGUUUUUGAAAAAUGUUUGUCAUGCUUCAAAAAAUAGAAAACGUGUAUUUUAAAAAUAUUCAGUGUGUUUUAGAAAAUGUUCAACGUGUAUUAAAAAAAUAUUAUGUACAAUUAGUCUUACAUGUGUAUAGACUACAAACGUGUGUAACAUUUUUAAUACAUUUCCUAUGAUUAUUAUUAUUAAACAAUAAUUUUUAAUACAGGUUGAACAAUAUACAAUAAUUGUGUGCUUUUGGUCCUGAAUUAAGAUACGAAAUUUACAAAAUAAUAUUUAAUACAUGUUGAACUGUUUAAAUACAUGUAAAUUUUAGAAGAAGUUCACGUUCAUCCACAUAUGAUAAUAUUGUAUACACCGUUUUAUUAGAAUAAUAACAGUUGAGAUUUAAAGGUUCUUACGUAACAUCGUAAUAUAUAUGUGCCAGUAGUAUUGAACCGUCAUGUUGUCACGUUAUAUAUGAACAUAGGAGGCUGCAAAUAAUCAUGACGUACACACAUACCUUAAAAAAACAUGACGUACACACAUGUACACAAAUAAAAGCUCUAGGAAAAAAAAGUAGGAUGACGUAUGAAUUAGAAACGGAGACCUAGGGGAGGUAGAUCUAUUUAGUAUGAAAAAAUUCCAUACACACAUAGGACGUGAAGGCAGACUUCAACUUGGACACAUACAAGUAUUGCACAAGAAAGCACGCGUGAAGGAUAUUCAUUGGAAAAGAACCUGUACGUAAAUCUACCAACGAAAAGAAGGCAAUAAAUGUCUCCACAAUUAUUUCACUAAAAAUGUCUCCAUGACUUGGAUUUAUCUCCUUAUGCAAAACGAGAUCGAGUGACUACAAAAUUGGAAGUAAAAUAAAAUCAGCUAGAAGUUUCCUAAUCUCUUCACGGCUCUUUCUCUAAAAAGAAUUCUCCACGUACGACUCAGAUUUAUCUCUUUAUUAUAAGGAAAAAAAGAUUGACUGUCAAACGGUUGGAAAGAAAGAAAAAAUACGGCUAGAGGAUUUCCUAAUAUGAUUCGGAAAUUAAAUAAGGAAACACAUUUUUUUGCCGAUCUAUCUCCUUGUAGGGAAAAAAGAUUGAUUAUGAAUUUGAAAAAAAACGGCUAGAGAGUUUCCUAAUAUGAUUCGGAAAUUAAAUAAGGAAACGAAUAUUUCGGAUCUACUACCUCCGUCCCAAAAUAAGGAAACGAAUAUUUCGGAUCUAGUGUAGUGUUAAAAACGUAACUAGUGUAGUGUUAAAAACGUAGAAACGUUUUUAACACUACACUAGUGUUAAAAACGUUCUUAUAUUUUGGGACGGAGGGAGUACGUAUCUCCUUAUAGGAAAAAAAAGAUUGAUUAUGAAUUUGAAAAAGAAACUUAGGCUAGAGACUUGCGUACUACUAUGAAUAUUGGAAAUUAAUAAUUAAUUAAAUAAAGAAAUGAGUAUUGGCUAUUAUGCACGUUCGAUAGACUUCACACAAGACCAUCGAUCUCCGUGGAGACUAGGAGCAAAGGGCACAUUGGCUGGCCAGCUACGCAGAAAUAUAGUUGUUACUAAUGUUAACUGGACCAUUUCCUCAAAAAAGAAAAAGCUUAACUAGGCCAUGAAAGCACGUACAUGUGAGAGAGAAAACACUAGAUUAUCUAAUCACUGGCUAGACUUAGACUCACAUUAUACACCUGAGAUCAUCAUCGUUGGGCCAGAAUUUUGAGUGCCCUGCUGCACCUGUUGAUCAUGCUAGAGUAGAUCACCCAGAAACAUUGCAAUGCUAUUCGCUAAGGUAUUAAAAAAUAUUACGCACAAUUAAUCAUACAAGUGUAUAGACUACAAACAUGUGUAACAUUUUUAAUACAUUUCCUAAUAUUAUUAUUAUUAAACAAUAGUUUUAAAUACAGGUUGAACAAUAUACAAUAAUUGUGUGCUUUUGGUCCUGAAUUAAGAUACAAAAUUUAAAAAAUAAUUUUUAAUACAUGUUGAACUAUGUAAGUCCAUUUAAAUUUUAGAAAACGUUCAUGUCUACCUCUUCAAGGUACACAAUAAUGAAAAUAGAAUAGAGAUUUAAAAUACAAAAUAAUUGUAUACUACUACUUAUCGUAACUUUUUUAUGUGGGAAAAACUAAAUGCAAACUUGGACAAAAUAAAAAAGAAAACGAGUAGAAACUACUACAUGGUUGGCGUACAGGACCAGCCAAAUUAUAUGCGGUGCUAUAGGCGAGCGAUUUGCUCAAAAAAAAAGAGGCGAGCGAUACAUGGUAUAGUCUAUAUACGUUUCUAGCCCAUAGGUGGAUAAACACGGUUUGACCAGGUGGCUAGCUUGUUUGGUUUCAUAGCUGGAGGUCUUAGGUUCAAAACCCUUUGCUCACAAUUUAUCCUAGUCAGGACCUACAUGUUUCUUUUUGUUAUUUCUCUCUCUCUCUCUCUCAUACUAACAUGCGGGACCCACACUCUACUGCAAGCUGAUGUUAUUUCUCUCUCUCUCAUACUAACAUGCGGGACCCACACUCUACUGCAAGCUGACAUAGCAACAGUCUAGGCACCUCACGUAGCUUGGGACGUAGUGAGGACUGACAUGUGGGCCAAAGAAGUAAAAACGCACAACACAUUAGCACGAGCCAUCCAUGACGGUCCAGAUGAUGUAUAAGGGAAAUUUUUUGGUCCCGCUACUCAUUUCAUGACGGUUUUUGUGACGGUUCCUUUAUGUCUGUCAUAACGGGGGCUAUUGUUUUAGGAUCCAUUCUCAUCUUCCGGAUAUGUGACGAUUUCAGUGACGAACUCCGUAAACUGUCAUCGAUGGCACCCUAUAUGUGACGGAUUGUAGGAACGUCACCUGAAAUCCGUCAUGGAUUAACAGGUUUCUUGUAGUGUAUGGCACACUAUGGAUUCUUUGUAUAACACAUACUGUCGAUCAACAUGUGUUUACAACGUAGGGAGGAGCCGGGCGACAAGGCAGUCAGACCAAACUCUCUAUCCAUAUAUAUAGGUAGUCUGAUGUUAUGCCAUAGCCGAACCAUAUAUGUUUCGUGUACUGCUCUAUCAAUCUGGUCUUUUGGUAUAUUAGACUCUAUCCUUUGUAAUGAACUUAUUGUCAUGGGCGAUCAUUAUGACUGGAUCGUAUGGUAUGAAUCGGGUCUUUAUGCUUUGUGAUGAAAUAUCAUAUUAUCCUGUUCACCAGUUUGGUUUGGUUUUGAGCUAAAACGUAUAAAAAUACAUGGCUUACAACAAUGGAUAUAUGUGAUGAUAUAUUGAGUGAUUAAGCAUAAUUUUAGACUUUCGGUGCUGGACCAAUGGGAUGCAUGGGGUAAUUGAAUGUUUCUUCUUCACUUUAUUAUUAUCGGUUGGGAUCAGCACUCUCGCGCGAUCUAGUUAUGAUGAUGCUGCCUAUACAAAGCAAACCUACGUGGCUAUAAAGUGGAGCACCAUGCGAACAAGAAACUGGCGCUUGAGGACAAACACGAGUGGAACUGAUGUCUGAUGCAACACGGCGCUGCUGUACGCGUCAGGGCGGACAGCAACGACGUGUAACAGAUGGGAUGUCGGAUUGCACGCAAAACAAAGGAAUCCAAUGCAAUUUUGAUAGGUUUUUUUUCAGAUUAUGGACGAGCUUGCGGCGGAAACUAUGGUGGAGAAAAAAAAGUUUGAUCUAGUAGACAAAAUUUUCUCGUACAAAUCUAAACCAGCACUAUUUGUAGGAUGAUGCAACCAAAAAUUCAACUACGCAAGUACUAGAUGCAAAAAUUGCUAAAGGCUAAAAAGAUAGAUGCAAAGGAUGAACUAAUCUUUCUUUCUUUUUUGGCUUUUUUUGGGUUAUAGGACAUGAAAAAUAAACUAAUCUAACAAAACUGUAAAUCUCUCACCGAUGAAACUGAAAACUGACACCACUUAUGUGACGGCGGUCCGAUGUUUCGAUGAGAGUGAGGAUAACUAUCAAUUUGGUGGAUUCUGAUCUUGACGAUCCGGCUAUACAAUACCCGAUGAUAUGCCUCGACAAUCGCUAAACCAAUCUCCGAUGGUUAUUGACCUUGCCGUAGGCACGGUCAACCUGAACGACGAGGUUUGAGUUCCUGCAAGCAACUAAAGAGAAGAACAAAGGUGAAUUGCAAUCUGAAAUUGCGAAUGAAAAAUUAAGCACAUGAACUAGAUCAAAAGUUGGGGUUCCACUUUGGAUCUGAUAAGGCGGUAGUCCUACACGUCUCAUAGAUGCGAAAUUGUAGCAUGGCUAAACAAUACAAUAAAACCCACGUAAACCCUAGAAUAUGAUGACUAUUUAUUAAAGGCCGGCGUGGAGAACGCUUCAUCUAUUUUCUUGGAAGUCAAGACGGGCCUGCUAAUUGGCCGGACCCACACGCGAUCUGAUUUGAAAAUAAACUUCUCAUAUCAAUCUGGUGGCAAACUGCCUCGUCGGUACUAUAGGCCCAGAUGCGCAACACACAAGGCCAUGCAUGGGCGCAAAACCUAUCCGGCGCCCUCAGCGUCCGAUACCGUGUUAACGGUAAAGGGCGCAGAACGUCGUGAGAUACUUCGGUCCAUAUCCGGUGUGGGCGUUAGAGCAUUGAGAUAAGUACCAUGAUUCAAACCGGCAAUCGACUGGUUCAACACACACCACCUAACCAAUAGGCCACCUGCUGUUGACGUGGUUAGUUAUAGCUUUUCCUUCUUUUCUUCUUUGUACCUUCUUUUUUGUUUUUUUGUUGGAAUGAUUUUGUUAGUUUUUAUUAUUUUCCUUCUUAAUUUUUUUCAAUAAUACCAACAUUUUUCGUUUCAAUUUCGUGAAUUUUUUAAAAUUCGAUAUUUUUUUUCAAAAUUCAAUGAACUUAUUUGAAAAAAGAUGAACUUUUUACAAAUUGGAUGAACUUUUUUCAAAUUUGAUGAACCUUUUUUCAAUCUCGAUAUUUGUUUUCAAAUUUGCCAACUUUUUUGAAAAUUCAUGUACAAUUAUGAAUUCAUGAAUUUUUUGAUUUUUUUUAAUUUUGCAAAUUUUCCCUUUUUAGUUUUUUUAAACAGCAAUGGUUUUUUCGACAAGUGCUUGCAAGAGAAAAAAGGCUAGCAAAGGAGCGAGCAGCGACCGAUCGAGCCAGCAGCAGCGGUCGAGCGAGCAGUCGAGCGAUUAGCGAUCGAGCGAGCAGCGAUCGAGCGAGCCAGCAGCAGCGGCCGAGCGAGCAGUUGAGCGAUUAGCGAUCGAGCGAACACAUGCAUGUUGAUUCGAUAAUGCUCAAGUGUAAAUCUUCUGUAUUAAACUUCGCAUCUUCACCCGAGGUUUGUGCAUGUCUUCUUUAAUCCUGCAUAUAAAAUAUUGUGUUGUAUUUUUGUUUCGGAUAACAAAAUAAUAAUUCAUAUAAUUUCUAUUAGAAUUCAUCUGAUAAUUAUCUUUAAGCGUAAUAAUUGUUGUUAUAUCCGUACGGGCCAUGUUUAUAUCAGGUCGUUAAUCUUCUUCUUCUUGUCCGCAAGCCACUUCUUCACAUGCUCAUCCAAGAUGGUUUCGUCUGCCAACAUGAUCAUCGCAUCCACCACGUCCUGUGAGAGUUGCAAUCUCUCCUUCUCAAGCUCUAUGUAGCCAAAUGUCUUGGCCUUCUCGAGUUCCCAUUUGAUCGCCACCCCUUGGUGGUCCACCAUGUACGAAACUCCUUGCACCGCCGCCGCCUCCCUCUCUCGCUGCAGGCGUUGCCGCAACUACCGGGCGGCGUCCUCCGCCUUGCAAGUCGGAGCCGACGAAGGGUCGCCGACGGACAAGGUGGACUGCGUCUUCGUCGCGGUGGUGGAUCGGGACCGGUGGUGAGGAUUGGGAGCAAGGGUGGAGGACGGCGAGGGUUUGGGUGCGGCAAAAGUUGGAGGGCGGCGGGAGGAGGAGAAAGGGUUUGGUGCAUUUGGCACAAUUUUCGAUGGGGUCGGGCUGACGGGUCCGACGUGGCGGGCGCGCCCGGGCGCCCCAUAUUUGGGCUGGAUAUGAGGGGUGUCAGUCAGCCCAGGCGUUCGAGGCCCGUUUAAGGAGCCCGUCUGGAUCGAAAAAUCGUGACCGGGUGGCCCACCCGGGUGUAUGAGCCAGGCUUGAGGUGCCCGACUGUAGAUGCUCUAAUCAUCUAGAUCCGACGCUCAAAGGCUCCACCCUUCCCCACGGCUUGGGUUCGGGCGCCUCCCCAAAACUUCGUUGGGAUCCGCCACAACCGGCAACGGCGAGGCCAGAGGUGGCCGGAUCCGGCACAGGUUGGUCUCUCCCCUCCUUCUUCGCCCACCCUCUCCUCCUUACCUCACGCCACUUGUCUUCCCUUUUUCGCAGGUCGCCAUGGCGCGGACGGCGAUGACGGCAGGAGGGGCACACACAUCCGUGGAAUGGGACGCCGCCAUGGAGAUGGAGAUCGUUCGUCACACCACGCAGAGGCCCCAUGGAGCCUCCCUCCUUCGGUGACUUCUUCUCAGGCCCCACCCACUACCUCUGCCCUCCCCCCUCCCCUACUUUGAGUUGCACCAUGCUUUGUUUCAGAUUCAUCCACCCAUGGAUGAUACAUGGCAAGUUAGGGGUAGUUGCAGUUUGAGGUUAAUCCCUUGAUUGGCUGCUAUUUAGGGUUGAUUAGAUUAGUUAGCUCAGUUGGCUGCUAGACUUUAGGAGUGCAUACAUGGGUAUGACGUGCUCUGCACAUUUAGGAUUGAAGUAUUGUGCUGCAGCACUCAGUGACGUUAAUUUAGGGCAUUUCAGUGUCAGUUUCACUAUAUUUCGGGGGACAUUUAACAGUGCAAUUUCAUGGUUAUUACAGUGUAAUUUCAAGGUUCUUGCACUGUAAGUUCAGAGAAUUACAAUGUUAGUUUAUGUGAAUUCCCGUGCAUUUUACUGUGUAAUUUAAGUGCAAUGGAAAUUAUAGUGUAAAUUCAGUGUAAUUUACUAUGUAAAUUUACGGAAAUUACACUGUAAUUCGUGUGCAACUUUUAGUGUAAUUUACACUGUAAUUUCAACGGGUUUACAGUAGAGUAAUUUAAUUGUAAUUACAGUGUGCACUUUAGAGCAAUCAUACUAUAUAUUUAGUGAAUUUAAAGUAUCACUCCAUACCUUUCCGGUUUGUCUUUUUUCUCUACAAGUUACUGCUAUACUGUUGAUUGAUUCUACCCUUGCGUAAGAAACUUUGAUGAGCACAUAAUUUUCUACUAUGUAAUUUGAGCAGCUUGGUAACCGUAAUUUUCAGUUUCCUUUGACCCUAGGCCCUUGUGCUUUAGAAUUGCUAUUUUUUGUCAGUGUACAUGCUAGAUCAUGUGGUUUAUGAUACUUCUCUGGUCCUUAUAAACAAAGUGACAUGUUUGUGCUCUGGAAUAGAAAGAAUAUUUCAGUGUCUCUCUUUAGGCCUUUUGUCGAAUUGUUAUGUGGUCCAGCGCAGCCUUACAAAACCGGGUUCUAUGCAGUUCAUGUACAGUGCAAAACUCAUUGUUGCAGGUCAGGCCUGUUGCAUGUUUUGGGUCAUUGACAUGCAGGAAAGAAGGAAAAAGGACAUAGAAGUAUCAUUUUGUUAUUGGUCAAGAAAUUUGAAUAAUGUCCAACUGAUUUCAGUUGAAUGACAAAUAGACAAUCCCUUGUUUAAUCAGUAGAUAUACACCAUUAACUCGAAUAGCAAAGAAAUACUAGUCCACUUAUAAUCGAUGAUUGCGCAUGAUGUAUCCAUCCAUUCUAUCGGAGAGGCUGUGUUUUUUUCUUCUUCUUGUGCUAAGGUUGAUAGCAUCACAUAUCUUAUGCUUUUGUUUCUCAAGUAGAGCCUUGAGAUAGAUGUGUCUGCAACCGUCCUCGAAUGGUUGUGCAAUAAUAAUGGUCCUAGCUAAUUACUAGUAUGCACUGCUUAUAAAACAACUUGCUGCUCGUUUCACUUUGAGUAUGUUGUUGCUGCUAAAGUAGCAACAACAACAGCCAUGCUUUGGUUCCCCAAAAUUCAGAUGGCACUGGCAUCUCUACAUACACACACAUAUGAAUAUGCACCUCGGUUUGGUUCAGUUUGCAUGUGUACCGUUGCUUUAACUUUGACUGAAACUAUCUUGGUGGCACUUGCAUCAAUGUUGUGCUCUGCCCUUGUAUAUGUCCUUGGAGAAGAUGACCAUUGGACUGUAGGGGACGAACAACCUUGUCCUGCUCGAGGAGGAGGAGGAUGGCCACCCGAGCUCGAGGACGACACGGCAACAGGUAGCACUCACCUCCCUACCAAGGUGAAGGUCCGAUCUGCCUAUUUAGAUGGUCUGCUCUUGUCUUGUGAUCUGAGGGGAGAAGAAAGCCAUUGGCCUCAAUUAUAUUUGCAUGUGAGGGGAGCGAUCCUUUUGGUAGAUGCAGAGUAUAGAUUACAUAUUCCACAAAACUCACCACACGAGUAUACUACCUAUAUCCACAAAAUUCACCACACGAGCAUACUACCUAUGUCCAAAUGUGGGUGUGAUACUUUCGACACGAAACAUGAAUAUCAGGUUGGGAGUUUGGAGUUUAAUCAAAUAACGCAGCAAGGCGAUCAUCGGUAAGGAUGCACCUUUGAGGCGUCAAGGAGAGCUUCUCAAAGGCAGUACACAUGGCUUAUUACAGCUUGUAUGUGAGUACGCAGAUGUGGCGUCUAUGGAUAGAGGGUUACGGGCGCAACGCAAGUGGCAGUAGGGGAUACACAACCUGAUUUGAUUUGGUCAAUCACGGGAAAUGGGAGAAGGCCUAGGGUGCAAAGUUUGGAUCGGUGGGUUGGUAGCGUUAGGCAUAAUAGAGAUCAAACCUUUUUCAUAGGCAUAUGUAGGUUAUUUCCUUGAAGCAUUUUAUCAAAAUGGUGUAGGUGGGUAAUAUCUCUCAACUUAAAUGUGAAGGGGAGAUAUUAUUUCCUUGUAGAGGCCGAGGAAUACAUGGCGUACCGCUACAUAUGCAACCAUGAUUUUUUGUGGAUGGUUACGAGAGAACCUGAAAGAUACCAUGGACCGAAGCAUGGGCACAUGAAGUUCCAACACCGAAGGGUAAGGAGACGGGCCCGCGUCAUUUACGUCGGGAAUAUGCGACCUUGAUUCUUUGUGGAUGGUGAUGCCAAGACUAGGAUAAGGUGGAUUCGGACACAUGAGCAGAUGAAGUGCCUGACACGAAGUAGGUUAAGGAGCUGGACCCAAGUCAUCUACACCGCAAAUUGGUCGAAGGUGUGCUGCGAAUGAUAGAUGUACUUGAGGGGGGAGAAAGCCCGUGAAAAGAACAUACGGUUGCUCGAUGAUGACACAUGUCUUGAGAGGAUGGAGAGAACCCUAGAUAUGGUUAAGGCACGCCACGAGAACAUCACCCCAGUCGCGAGAUUCUCAGUGGUGUGCGGCAACCGAAGCCAAAAGGGCACCCCCGCAAGACCUUGAAACGCCAGAGCGGUGGGCGCACAAGCAAUGGUGAGGAAAAUCACAUAAGGUACCAAGCAAGGCCAUCCUGACCAGGGCUCCAUUGCCAAGCUUAUGUCCACCACUACGAUUCAGACAAACUUUCAAUUGGCGUCUCUGUCUUCUCAAGAUUUCCAUGGUCCCAUCAGGAUGUAUAUGUGUACUUUGUUUAUUUCGAAAAUUAAUAUAUCACCAAAGAAAUUGUAGUACUUGUCAUUCUUUUAAUUACUUAGUAGUUUGCAUGAUAGACUCAAUCUUAUAUUUACUAAUUAGAGGCACCAAAUAAGCGACCACGUUAAUCCUCAAAAACUAAGAAUAUUAUCCAUCCGAUCUCCAUAUUAAGUAUCUGUAGCCGUCCAUUGGACAACUCAAGGGUCCUGGGUUACUAUCCCACGUCAUGCUCCAUGUAAUGUGAAAAAAAAUCAUCUCCUUGGCCAAAUCCAUCCCACGUCAUGCUCCAUGUAAUGUGAAAAAAAUCAUCUCCCUGGCCAAAUUCUUCCUCCCCCGAUCUAUCAUGUGAGGCACUUGCGCAUCAUCCACAAAUCCCUAGCGCAAAUCCAUCCCACGUCAUGCUCCAUGUAAUGUGAAAAAAAUCAUCUCCCUGGCCAAAUUCUUCCUCCCCCGAUCUAUCAUGUGAGGCACUUGCGCAUCAUCCACAAAUCCCUAGCGCUGCUCUUCCAGGUCGUCCUCCUCCUUCCUAUCUUUUGCUGUCUUAAUGCAAAACGAUUCCGUGAGAUCCUUGUGAUCCUCUUCAUCUUCACGUAGAAAUCUGAACUCUCCCAACCACGCUGCAGAUCUGUGGUCCAUCUUGGACAGAGAGAAGGCCCUUUCAAUCUCCACAGAUGCCAUGCCCCAACCAAACCGCAACCCAUGAUAAACGAUGUUGUUGAGAAGGAGGCGCUACCUAAGUCUGAUCGGACAUAUGCCAUUGUUGGGGAAGCUACAAGUCGAAGAACUAUGGUAGACUGAUUGUAGGUAAUUAAGGAGCUAGCAACGAUCCAGUAGGUUUUUGUUAUUAGGAAUUUUUAUGUAGUGCGACUUGAUCUCAAAGAACAAGUACACCAUUAGAGUUCGUUUUGGAGGAUUUUGAUGAUGUGCGCUUAGUUACAGACUUAUCUAAAUACGUAUAACUAGGAUGGACAAUAUUUGUAGGAGCCAUACAAUCCAAUUAGGGGAUUCAGUUUGUCAAAGAUGUUUCCACAUAUCCCUAGCGCUGCUCUUCUAGGUUGCCCCCUGCUUCCUAUCUACGGUCUUCAAGUAAAGCGAUUUAAUGAGUCUCUUGCUGCAGAAAUUUCAACUGCCACAAGAAGGCUGCAGACCUGCGGUUCAUCUUGGCUGAGGUGUCAUACAAUCCAGUUAAGGGAUUCCAUUCAUUGAAGAUGUGGUUGUACUUUCGCACAACAAACUCAAGCACAUCUUCUUAUGUUCUUAGAAACUGGAUGAGUUGUUUUGGACUACUCCUCUAUGCUUCUUAUUGGGAAAAACUACAGGUUCGAUUUGGAUCUGUACUUACAAUUUUAUGCUUCUGUAAUUAUCCUAUAGGCCAGGUCCAUCAUAGAAGCACAAACAAUACUCUAUUCUGGUGAUUUUUAUUUAUCUAUAGUGUCGUCUGCAAGCCUAUUUAUAUGUUAUUUGCAGACAUGGAAUGUUUAUGCGUUCAAGAAGUCAAGAAGAUGACACCUUAGCAGUAUCUAUUUGAAGAAAGACGGGAGAUCUAAAAAGAUGCUCAAGUUAACAUCAUGAUCCGUUCACCUCCUCAACACUGUUAAGAAGUAGCUCUGUGUGGAAAAUAAAAAUGCCAUGUUUUUUCAUCUUCAUGUCUUCUUAUUUCUGUAUAUAUUAUGCAGCAAAUGCUAACUGUUACUGUUACUUCCGUCUCUAACAAACCAAAUCAGUGGUUGGUACUUUGUUUCUCAAGUAAAAAAAAUAGGAUUUGUGUCACGAUCCAGGAGAUAAAUUUAGGAGGUUUCCACUGCCUCAGGCAAUGUCAUAUGGUAUAGGUCAUUAGGCCAAGUAAAAAAAAUCUACAAGAACAUUAAUUGAAAAUAGAUCGCCGCAUUGAAUCGAAAGAGAAGACAAACUAGCAGGUAUGUAAUAUUUAUUUUGCUUUUUGUUGUGUUGUUUUUGUUCUGACUACAGAACUUGAAUUAGAUACAAGUUUCAAAUGAAUAGUGCCCUUCUAAAAUUUAUGCUUCGUUAUGUAUGAUGCAGGAUUCAACCGACCCAGUUAUAUGGCGUUCUGAACAUGGGUGUCCCCACUAUAUUGACUUCUUGAUAUGCUUCUAUUACAUUCUCUAAAAAAGACAAAAAACAAAAACCUUCCCCCAAUCUAGCGGCGACGAUCGAGUUCCAACCGGCCGAUGGAUAGCCAGGACAUCUCCCUGUUGUCUAGAUUGUGUGCCACAGUCAGUUUAAUUUGCUUUGUAUCCAACAUGAACUUCAUGCAACCAUCAACUGCAGUGCUGCCUGGGCUGAUGGAGAACCAUGGCAUCAGUGUUGUGUGGAUUGUGUGCCACGCCAACUAAAGUUUGCUUCAUCUCUAACACGUAGCUGAUGCAACCAUGAACUGUAGGGUUGCCUGAGAUCUGUACUCGGCUCCUUCUCAGGUAUAAACGUACUUCUUUGGUGUUUUAUGGUAAGUGCCUGCUCGCAGCUUUUCAAUCAGAUGGGUAAGAGUGUUUCUCCUUCUCAGGUACAAACGUAGUCCUUUGAUGUUUGACGGUUUUGAUCUUGGGGACCCCCAUCCAUUGGUCAUCAAUAACCUGUUGCCCCUGUCUCAAGGAGAAAAAGGCAUGGUUGUGGCAAUCAUGGGCUGCAGUGAGGCAUCUACACAAUGAGAGAAAAAAUUCUGAUCAAACAGUACAACAGGAAGUUUGGGCGAAAAUCAGCUCAAGUUCCAAGUAUCUGCUCCUUUUCGUUUUAGCCAUACUUUGCUCUACAUGUGCAACUUUUGUGGGCUGCACGGUGUGUCACUUUGUGUGAGAAACAACCUGACAUGAUUUAGUACAUUCUCCCGCCCUAUUAACAAGAGUGCUUAGUUAAUAGUUUGCAAGACAAUUGUUUCUUUAAUCAUUUGUUAGUUGUAGCCAACAAAUAAUGACUUACCAGAAAAAUAAGAUUACGCAAGAUUAUAAUUCGCUACUCAGGAUUUGAAAUCCUUUAUAAUUUCAACCACGCCCACUUUAGGCAUUAAUGAUGUUAGAGAAGAAUGAGUAUCACAUAUUAGGUACCACAACAGAAAUGAGUAUCACAUAUUAGGUACCACAACAGAAAUGAGUAUCACAUAUUAGGUAUCUCAUGAGGUACAUUUUUUUAAUCUAAAUUUGUUUAAGUAUUGAAAUAGUGCAAAUCUACUACAAUGUGAAGAUGUCAGCAUAUCAGAACUUCGCAAUCAAGAAAAGAAAUCAUGUUAUGGGAGCAUCUGCUUCUCGCAUUAGUUUUUCUGUUGUUAAUUUCUGUAAUUUUCCAAUACUUUGCUACUAAGGGUUUUAGGAGCAUGAAUAUUGCAAUGAUAUUCCUUUCAGGUGUAGGAAGGUAGUUGCGAUGUGCAGAAUACGUGGUGGGUGAGAUUGAUCAAUCAUGCAUGUGUUAACUUAUAAAAAACAUAACUUAGAGAGAGCUAAAUUUUGGUCGAAAACAGGAUUCCGACGGGGGUUUUAGAGACAUUUCGUUCGUGGUAUUUCAUUCUGCUUUUAGGUUGAUGAAAGCGUGCACCUAACUUUUAGUAUAUUCUAAUAAUUUUGGACCUAAUAAUCAUAACAAAUGUGCAGUAGCAUGAUAAUGAUUUGACUUAUCCAAGUCCUUCAAGUUGAAGAGAAGUAUAUACAUUCCUCAUAUGUAAUAACCAAUCAUGAUUCCAUUUUACCUUCUUAGGUAAUAUAUGUCUAACUAGGUUAUUACAUAUAUUCCCUAAAUUUUAUUCCUUCCAUAAUAAUCAAUCUAACUAGGUUCUAAUUCCCAUGACCUCUAAAUGUGAUGCUCAUUUUUCUCUACUGGGUAUGUGGUUCCUUCUAAGCGUUUCUUCAAAAUCCAUAUUAUAAUUCCAAUUGUAUUGUCUCAUAGUGUCAAUCAUAUUUCUAUAUAUGGCGUAUAAUGAUUAGUUGGGACAUAUUGAAGAUUCCAGUCCAAGUUCUAAUAUAUUUCGAACUCAUAGUAUAGUAUAGAGUAUUGUACAUUCGUGUUUCGAAAAUCACUAGACCGUGCGGGCGCACGGGUUGAUGACUAGUUCAUUUAACUAGGCAAGUAGUUACACUGCAUUUCGUUCGUGCGGCUAAUUAACCUUCUCAUCUUUAGCAUAUGGGAUCAAUUGGACAAAUAUCUCCUUAACUCCCGACUCUUGGUGUCGAUGUGCAUGUCACACAUGUGAUGCAUGAAACAUGCUCACCGCACUUCACUCGCUCACAAGUAUUGUCAAGCUUCUAUGUAUCAUAGGACGAGAUAGGACAGCAUGGGGCUGUCCACACGAGGCACAUGCACAGUCUACGGCUUAGGGUUGGUGGAUCCGCGCCAAACUAGUUGCCGGCAUUAAGGGUAGAUAUCGUGUGCUCUCCUUCCAUCUCUACGUACGCAUGAGGGCCUAUAGCAUGCAUGCAAUGCAAUGCAAUAUACUCCCUCCAUUCCUAAAUAUAAGUUUUUUUAGAGAUUUCACUAUAGACUACAUACGGAUGCAUAUAUACAUAUUUUAGAGUGUAGAUUCACUCAUUUUGCUUCGUAUGUAGUCUCUUAUUGCAAUCUCUAACAAGACUUACAUUUCGGAACGGAGGGAGUAUUUAUUCCUUCUUUUCCCUGUGUACAGUACACUACAAACCAGUGGAUAUGCGUGCAUACGUACCCAUUCACGUAAGUAGAAUAACAUGGUUCUUCUGUACAGCUACUAGUAUUAGCUACGUACUGGAUCCAGCAGGCUGGCCAACUAUAAAUAGUGCACGCACGAAGGCGUCCAAGUCCAUCCAUAUGCAAAACAGCAAAACAAACACAACACGCCUUCUUACACCUUCCUAGCAACAUGGCCUCCACUUGCUCCUUCGUCUUGGUGCUAGGCAUCAUGUGCUUCGGGCUGCUGGCCCUGCCGGCCUCAUCCGUUGGGGCCACUGCUGCAGGCGCCGCCGGUGCCACUACUGCCGGUGCCGCCGGUGCCUCCAUGCAGCUUCGAGAGGAUCUUCGCCUGAUGGAGAUCGCAGGCUGCUGCGACAUAUGUCAGGCAUGCCUCGUCGACACCUUCCAGCCAUGCUUUGAUUUCCGCCCCGCGAGGUUCGUUGCCUGCUUCAUCAAGUACAUAGUCAAAGACAUUGAAAACGGAUAUAUAUAUCCAAUCAAGUAAUGGAUCAUUGCCGGCGACAUGGCCGGGGAGGUUGAUCCCCUACAUGCCGAUGCACUUCUCUUUGACUACUAACAUCAGAUCAUGGAUCCAAUCCGCAUCAUUGCUACUAACAUCUUUCAACACAAUUUUCUCUAGGAACAUAUCAAAAUAAACACAGGGAAGCAACAACGCGAGCUAUUGAUCUAUAACAUAAUUUGCAAAAUACUACCAGGACUAAGUUCAUGAUAAAUUUAAGUUCAGUUUAAUCAUAUUACUUAAGAACUCCCACUUAGAUAGACAUCCCUCUAAUCCUCUAAGUGAUUACGUGAUCCAAAUCAACUAAACCAUGUCCGAUCAUCACGUGAGAUGGAGUAGUUUCAUUGGUGAACAUCACUAUAUUGAUCAUAUCUACUAUAUGAUUCACGCUCGACCUUUUGGUCUCCGUGUUCCGAGGCCAUAUCUGUAUAUGCUUGGCUUGUCAAGUAUAACCUGAGUAUUCCGCGUGUGCAACUGUUUUGCACCCGUUGUAUUUGAACGUAGAGCCUAUCACACCCGAUCAUCACGUGGUGUCUCAGCACGAAGAACUUUCGCAACGGUGCAUACUUAGGGAGAACACUUCUUGAUAAUUAGUGAGAGAUCAUCUUAUAAUGCUACCGUCAAUCUAAGCAAGAUAAGAUGCAUAAAAGUUCAACAUCACAUGCAAUCAAUAUAAGUGAUAUGAUAUGGCCAUCAUCAUCUUGUGCUUGUGAUCUCCAUCUCCGAAGCACCGUCGUGAUCACCAUCGUUACCCGCGUGACACCUUGAUCUCCAUCGUAGCAUCGUUGUCGUCUCGCCAAGCUUGUGCUUCCACGACUAUGGCUACCGUUUAGUGAUAAAGUGAAGCAUUACAUCGCGAUUGCAUUGCAUACAAUAAAGCGACAACCAUAUGGCUCUUGCCAGUUGCCGAUAACUCGGUUACAAAACAUGAUCAUCUCAUACAAUAAAAUUCAGCAACAUGUCUUAACCAUAUCACAUCACAACAUGCCCUGCAAAAACAAGUUAGACGUCCUCUACUUUGUUGUUGCAAGUUUUACGUGGCUGCUACGGGGUUAAGCAAGAAGUAAUCUUACCUACGCAUCAAAACCACAACGAUAGUUUGUCAAGUUGGUGCUGUUUUAACCUUCGCAAGGACCGGGCGUAGCCACACUCGAUUCAACUAAAGUUGGAGAAACUGUCACCCGCAAGCCACCUAUGUGCAAAGCAUGUCGGGAGAACCGGUCUCGCGUAAGCGUACGCGUAAUGUCGGUCCGGGCCGCUUCGUCCAACAAUACCGCCGAACCAAAGUAUGACAUGCUGGUAAGAAGUAUGACUUAUAUCGCCCACAAAUCACUUGUGUUCUACUCGUGCAUAUAACAUCAACAUAUAAAACCUAGGCUCUGAUACCACUGUUGGGGAACGUAGUAAUUUCAAAAUUUUCCUACGCACACGCAAGAUCAUGGUGAUGCAUAGCAACGAGAGGGGAGAGUGUGAUCUACAUACCUAGUAGAUAGACAACAGAAGCGUUUGGUUAAUGUAGUCGUAUGUCUUCACGGCCCGACCGAUCAAGCACCGAAACUAUGGCACCUCCGAGUUUUAGCACACGUUCAGCUCGAUGACGAUCCCCGGACUCUGAUCCAGCAAAGUGUUGGGGAAGAGUUCCGUCAGCACGACGGCGUGGUGAUGAUCUUGAUGUACUACUGCAGCAGGGCUUCGCCUAAACUCCGCUACAAUAUUAUCGAGGACUAUGGUGGAAGGGGGCACCGCACACGGCUAAGAAUAUGAUCACGUGGAUCAACUUGUGUGUCUCUAGGGUGCCUCUGCCUCAGUAUAUAAAGGACCAAAGGGGGGGGGGCGGCCGGCCACAUAGGGCGCGCCAGGAGAGUCCUACUUCCUCUGGGAGUAGGAUUCCCCCCCCCCCAAUCCUAGUUGGAAUAGGACUCGUGGAGGGGGGAAAAGAGAGAGAGGGGCCGGCCCCCUCUCCUUCUCCAAUUCGGACCAAGGGAUGGGAGGGGCGCGCGGCCCACUAUGGGCUGCCUCUUCUCUUUUCCACCAAUGCCCAUUAAGGCCCAUCUAGCUCCCCGGGGGGUUCCGGUAACCUCCCGGUACUCCGGUAAAAUCCCGAUUUCACCUGGAACACUUCCGAUAUCCAAACAUAGGCUUCCAAUAUAUCAAUCUUUAUGUCUCGACCAUUUCGAGACUCCUCGUCAAGUCCGUGAUCUCAUCCGGGACUCCGAACAACCUUCGGUACAUCAAAAUGCAUAAACUCAUAAUAUAACUGUCAUCGUAACCUUAAGCGUGCGGACCCUACGGGCUCGAGAACAAUGUAGACAUGACCGAGACAUGUCUCCGGUCAAUAACCAACUGCGGGACCUGGAUGCCCAUAUUGGCUCCUACAUAUUCUACGAAGAUCUUUAUCGGUCAGACCGCAUAACAACAUACGUUGUCCCCUUUGUCAUCUGUAUGUUACUUGCCCAAGAUUCGAUCGUCGGUAUUCCUAUACCUAGUUCAAUCUCGUUACCGGCAAGUCUCUUUACUCGUUCUGUAAUACAUCAUCCCGCAACUAACUCAUUAGUUGCAAUGCUUGCAAGGCUUUAUGUGAUGUGCAUUACCGAGAGGGCCCAGAGAUACCUCUCCGACAAUCGGAGUGACAAAUCCUAAUCUCGAAAUCCCAACAUGUACCUUUGGAGAUACCUGUAGAGCUCCUUUAUAAUCACCCAGUUACGUUGUGACGUUUGGUAGCACACAAAGUGUUCCUCCGGCAAACGGGAGUUGCAUAAUCUCAUAGUCAUAGGAACAUGUAUAAGUCAUGAAGAAAGCAAUAGCAACAUACUAAACGAUCGGGUGCUAAGCUAAUGGAAUGGGUCAUGUCAAUCACAUCAUUCUCCUAAUGAUGUGAUCCCAUUAAUCAAAUAACAACUCUUUUGUUUAUGGUUAGGAAACAUAACCAUCUUCGAUUAACGAGCUAGUCAAGUAGAGGCAUACUAGUGACACUCUGUUUGUCUAUGUAUUCACACAUGUAUUAUGUUUCCGGUUAAUACAAUUCUAGCAUGAAUAAUAAACAUUUAUCAUGAUAUAAGGAAAUAAAUAAUAACUUUAUUAUUGCCUCUAUGGCAUAUUUCCUUUAGUCUCCCACUUGCACUAGAGUCAAUAAUCUAGUUCAUAUCGCCAUGUGAUUCAACACUAAGAGUUCACAUCACCAUGUGAUUAACACCCAUAGUUCACAUCGUCAUGUGACCUAUACCCAAAGGGUUUACUAGAGUCAAUAAUCUAGUUCACAUCAUUUAUGUGAUUAACACCCAAAGAGUACUAAGGUGUGAUCAUGUUUUGCUUGUGAGAUAAUUUUAGUCAACGGGUCUGUCACAUACAGAUCCGUAAGUAUUUUGCGAAUUCUAUGUCUACAAUGCUCUGCAUGGAGAUACUCUAGCUAAUUGCUCCCACUUUCAAUAUGUAUCUAGAUAGAGAGUUAGAGUCAUCCAGAUCUGUGUCAAAACUGUUGGGUAACGUAGCAAUAAUUCAAAAAAAUUCCUACGUGUCACCAAGAUCAAUCUAUGGAGUCAUCUAGCAACAAGGGAGGAGUGGAUCUACAUACCCUUGUAGAUCGCGCGCGGAAGCGUUCAAGAGAAAUGGAAUCGUACUCGUCGUGAUCCAAAUCACCGAUGAUCCUAGCGCCGAACGGACGGCACCUCCGCGUUCAACACACGUACGGAGCUGCGACGUCUCCUCCUUCUUGAUCCAGCAGGGGGGGAGGAGAGGUUGAUGAAGACUCCAUCCAGCAGCAGCACAAUGGCAUGGUGGUGGUGGAGGAGCGUGGCAAUCCUGCAGGGCUUCGCCAAGCACCACGGGAGAGGAGAAGGACUUGGGAGAGGGAGAAGGAUUGCACCAAAGGCAAAGGUAUGGCUGCCCUCCCACCCCCCACAUAUAUAUAGGGGCAAGGGAGAGGGGGGGAGGCGCAGCCUUGGCCCUUCCUCCAAGGAAGGGUGCGGCUAGGAGGAGUCCCUCCUCCCCAAGGCACCUCGGAGGUGCCUUCCCCUUUAGGACUCUUCCUUUCCUUAUCCUUUGGCGCAUGGGCCUCUUGGGGCUGGUGCCCUUGGCCCAUAUAGGCCAAGGUGCACACCCCUACAGCCCAUGUGGCCCCCCGGGGCAGGUGGCCCCACCCGGUGGACCCCCGGGACCCUUCCGGUGGUCCCGGUACAAUACCGAUGACUCCGAAACUUGUCCCGAUGGCCGAAACAGGAUUUCCUAUAUAUAAAUCUUUACCUCCGGACCAUUCCGGAACUCCUCGUGACGUCCGGGAUCUCAUCCGGGACUCCGAACAACAUUCGGUAACCACAUACAAACUUCCUUUAUAACCCUAGCAUCAUCGAACCUUAAGUGUGUAGACCCUACGGGUUCGGGAACCAUGCAGACAUGACCGAGACGACUCUCCGGUCAAUAACCAACAGCGGGAUCUGGAUAUCCAUGUUGGCUCCCACAUGUUCCACGAUGAUCUCAUCGGAUGAACCACGAUGUCAAGGACUUAAUCAAUCCCGUAUACAAUUCCCUUUGUCUAUCGGUACGACACUUGCCCGAGAUUCGAUCGUCGGUAUCCCGAUACCUUGUUCAAUCUCGUUACCGGCAAGUCUCUUUUACUCGUUCCGUAACACAUCAUCCCGUGAUCAACUCCUUGAUCACACUGUGCACAUUAUGAUGAUGUCCUACCGAGUGGGCCCAGAGAUACCUCUCCGCUUACACGGAGUGACAAAUCCCAGUCUCGAUUUGUGCCAACCCAACAAACACUUUCGGAGAUACCCGUAGUGCACCUUUAUAGUCACCCAGUUACGUUGUGACGUUUGGUACACCCAAAGCACUCCUACGGUAUCCGAGAGUUGCACAAUCUCAUGGUCUAAGGAAAUGAUACUUGACAUUAGAAAAGCUUUAGCAUACGAACUACAUGAUCUUCGUGCUAGGCUUAGGAUUGGGUCUUGUCCAUCACAUCAUUCUCCUAAUGAUGUGAUCCCGUUAUCAAUGACAUCCAAUGUCCAUGGUCAGGAAACCGUAACCAUCUAUUGAUCAACGAGCUAGUCAACUAGAGGCUUACUAGGGACAUGGUGUUGUCUAUGUAUCCACACAUGUAUCUGAGUUUCCUAUGAAUACAAUUAUAGCAUGGAUAAUAAACGAUUAUCAUGAACAAGGAAAUAUAAUAAUAAUUAAUUUAUUAUUGCCUCUAGGGCAUAUUUCCAACAGUCUCCCACUUGCACUAGAGUCAAUAAUCCAGUUCACAUUGAUAUGUGAUUAACACUCAAGGUCACAUCCCCAUGUUACUAACAUCCAAAGAAUGCUGGGUUUGAUCAUGUUAUGCUUGUGAGAGAGGUUAUAGUCAACGGGUCUGAACCUUUCAGAUCCGUGUGUGCUUUACAAAUCUCUAUGUCAUCUCCUAGAUGCAGCUACUACGCUACAUUUGGAGCUAUUCCAAAUAACUGUUCUACUAUACGAAUCCAGUUUACUACUCAGAAUAAUCUGGAUUAGUGUGAAAGUUUGCAUCGGCGUAACCCUUUACGACGAACUCUUUUACCACCUCCAUAAUCGAGAAAAUUCCUUAGUCCACUAGUUACUAAUGAUAACUUUGACCGCUGUCCUAUGAUCCAUUCUUGGAUCACUCUUGUACCCCUUGACUGACUCAUGGCAAGGCACAUUUCAGGUGUGGUACACAACAUAGCAUACUGUAGAGCCUAUGUCUUAAGCAUAGGGGACGACCUUCGUCCUUUCUCUCUAUUCUGCCGUGGUCGAGCUUUAAGUCUUAACUUCAUACCUUACAACUCAGGCAAGAACUCCUUCUUUGACUGGUCCAUCUUGAACACCUUCAAGAUCAUGUCAAGGUAUGUGCUCAUUUGAAAAGUACCAUUAAGCGUUUUGAUCUAUCCUUAUAGAUCUUGAUGCUUAAUGUUCAAGUAGCUUAAUCCUGGUUUUCCAUUGAAAAACACCUUUCAAAUGACCCUAUAUGCUUUCCAGAAAUCCUACGUCAUUUCUGAUCAACAAUAUGUCAACAACAUAUAUUUAUCAGAAAUUCUAUAGUGCUCCCACUCACUUCUUUGGAAAUACAAGUUUCUCAUAAACUUUGUACACACCCAAAACUUUGAUCAUCUCAUCAAAGCAUACAUUCCAACUCCGAGAUGCUUACUCCAGUCCUUAGAAGGAUUGCUGGAGCUUUGCAUACUUAUUAGCAUCUUUCAGGAUUAACAAAACCUUCUAGUUGUAUCACAUACAACCUUUCCUCAAGAAAAUCGUCGAGGAAACAAUGUUUUAACAUCCUAUCUGCAAGAUCUCAUAAAUAAUGCAGUAAUCGCUAAUAUAAUUCCAACAGACUCUUAGCAUCGCUACGAGUGAGAAAGUCUCAUCACAGUCAACUCCUUGAACUUGUCGGAAAACAUCUUAAUGACAAGUCGAACUUACCAUCAUUGUCCGUCUUCCUUUUAAAAUCCAUCUGUACUCAACAGCCUUACGACCAUCGAGCUGUUCUGCCAAAGUCUACACUUUGUUUUCAUACAUGGAUCCUCUCUCGGAUUUUAUGGCCUCGAGCCAUUUAUCAGAAUCCAGGCCCACCAUCGCUUCUCCAUAGCUCGUAGGUUCAUUGUUGUCUAGCAACAUGACUUCUAAGACAGGAUUACGUACCACUCUGAAGUAGUACGCAUCCUUGUCAUCCCACGAGGUUUGGUAGUGACUUGAUCUGAAGUUUCAUGAUCACUAUCAUAAGCUUCCACUUCAAUUGGUGUAGGUGCCACAGGAACAACUUCUUGUGCCCUGCCACACACUAGUUGAAGAGACGGUUCAAUAACCUCAUCAAGUCUCCACCAUCCUCCCACUCAAUUCUUUCGGGAGAAACUUUUCCUCGAGAAAGGACCCGAUUCUAGAAACAAUCCCUUAUUGCUUUCGGAUCUGAGACAGGAGGUAUACCCAACUGUUUUGGGUGUCCUAUGAAGAUGCAUUUAUCCGCUUUGGGUUCGAUCUUAUCAGCCUGAAACUUUUUCACAUAAGCGUCGCAGCCCCAAACCUUUUUAAGAAAUGAUAGCUUAGGUUUAUCUAAACCAUAGUUCAUACGGUGUCAUCUCAUCGGAAUUACGUGGUGCCCUAUUUAAAGUGAAUGUGGUUGUCUCUAAUGCCUAACCCAUAAACUAUCGUGGUAAUUCGAUAAGAGACAUCAUGGUAUGCAUCAUAUCCAAUAGGGUGCAGUUAUGAUGUUCGGAUACACCAUUACGCUACGGUGUUCCAGGCUGUAUUAGUUAUGAAACAAUUUCCACAAUGUCUUAAUUAUGUGCCAAACUCGUAAUUCAGAUAUUCAUCUCUAUGAUCAUAUCAUAGAUCUUUUAUCCUCUUGUCAUGACGAUCUUUCAACUUCACCCUGAAAUUACUUGAACCUUUCAAUAAUUCAGACUCGUGAUUCAUCAAGUAAAUAUACUCAACAUCCACUCAAAUCAUCUGUGAAGUAAGAACAUAACGAUAUCCACUACACGCCUCAGCACUCAUUGGACUGCACACAUCAAAAUGUAUUACUUCCAACAAGUUGCUUUCUAGUUCCAUUUUACUGAAACCGAGGCUUUCAGUCAUCUUGCCUAUGUGGUAUGAUUUGCAUGUCUCAAGUGAUUCAAAAUCAAGUGAGUCCAAACGGUCCACUUGCAUGGAGUUUCUUCAUGCAUAUACACCAAUAGACAUGGUUCGCAUGUCUCAAACUUUUCAAAAAACGAGUGAGCCCAAAGAUCCAUCAACAUGGAGCUUCUUCAUGCGUUUUAUACCGAUAUGACUUACGUGGCAGUGCCACAAGUAGGUGGUACUAUCAUUACUAUCUUUUGGCAUGAACAUGUGUAUCACUAUGAUUGAGAUUCAAUAAACCAUUCAUUUUAGGUGCAAGACCAUUGAAGGUAUUAUUCAAAUAAACAGAGUAACCAUUAUUCUCCUUAAAUGAAUAACCGUAUUGCGAUAGACAUAAUCCAAUCAUGUCUAUGCUCAACGCAAACACCAAUCUCGAUGGUAGAGGGAGCGUGCGAUGCUUGAUCAUAUCAACAUUGGAAACACUUCCAACACAUAUCGUCAGCUCACCUUUAGCUAGUCUCCGUUUAUUCCGUAGCUUUUAUUUCGAGUUACUAACACUUAGCAACCGAACCGGUAUCUAAUACCCUGGUGCCACUAGGAGUACUAGUAAAGUACACAUUAACACAAUGUAUAUCCAAUAUACUCCUAUCGACCUUGCCAGCCUUCUCAUCUACCAAGUAUCUAGGGUAAUUCUGCUCUAGUGGCUGUUCCCCUUAUUACAGAAGCACUUAGUCUCGGGUUUGGGUUCAACCUUGGGUUUCUUCACUAGAGCAGCAGCUGAUUUGCCGUUUCAUGAAGUUUCCCUUCUUGCCCUUGCCCUUCUUGAAACUAGUGGUUUCACCAACUAUCAACAAUUGAUGCUCCUUCUUGAUUUCUACUUUUUGCGGUGUCAAACAUCGCGAAUAUCUCAACGAUCAUCAUAUAUGUCCCUGAUAUAUCAUAGUUCAUCACGAAGCUCUAGCAGCUUGGUGGUAAUGACUUCGGAGAACCAUCACUAUUUCAUCUGGAAGAUCAACUCCCACUCGAUUCAAGCGAUUGUUGUACUCAGACAAUCUGAGCACAAGCACAACAAUUGAGCUUUUCUCCCUUAGUUUGCAGGCUAAGAAAAUCGUCGGAGGUCUUAUACCUCUUGACGUGGGCACGAGCCUGAAAUCCCAAUUUCAGCCCUCAAAACAUCUCAUAUGUUUCGCGACGUUUCAAAACCGUCUUCGGUGCCUCAAUUCUAAACCGUUUAACUGAACUAUCACGUAGUUAUCAAAAUGUGUAUGUCAGAUGUUCGCAACAUCCACAGACGACGUUCGAGGUUCAGCACACUGAGCGGUGCAUUAAGGACAUAAGCCUUCUAUGAAGCAAUGAGGACAAUCCUCAGUUUACGGACCUAGUCCGCAUAAUUGCUACUAUCAAUUUUCAACUAAAUUUUCUCUAGGAACAUAACUAAACAGUAGAACUAAAGCGCGAGCCACGACAUAAUUUGCGAAGAUCUUUUGACUAUGUUCAGGAUAAUUAAGUUCAUCUUAUGAACUCCCACUCAGAUAGACAUCCCUCUAGUCAUCUAAGUGAUUACAUGAUCCGAGUCAACUAGGCCGUGUCCGAUCAUCACAUGAGACGGACUAGUCAUCAUCGGUGAACAUCUUCAUGUUGAUCGUAUCUACCAUACGACUCAUGCUCGACCUUUCGGUCUCUUGUGUUCCGAGGCCAUGUCUGUACAUGCUAGGCUCGUCAAGUCAACCUAAGUGUUUCGCGUGUGUAAAUCUGUCUUACACCUGUUGUAUGUGAACGUAAGAAUCUAUCACACCCGAUCAUCACAUGGUGCUUCGAAACGACGAACUUUCGCAAUGGUGCACAGUUAGGGGGAACACUUUCUUGAAAUUUUAAUGAGGGAUCAUCUUAUUUACUACCGUCGUUCUAAGUAAACAAGAUGCAAAAACAUGAUAAACAUCACAUGCAAUCAAAUAGUGACAUGAUAUGGCCAAUAUCAUAUUGCUCCUUUUGAUCUCCAUCUUCGGGGCUCCAUGAUCAUCAUUGUCACCGGCAUGACACCAUGAUGUCCAUCAUCAUGAUCUCCAUCAUCGUGUCUUCUUGAAGUUGUCUCGUCAUCUAUUACUUCUACUACUAUGGCUAACGCUUUAGCAAUAAAGUAAAGUAAUUACAUGACGUUUAUGUUGACACGCAGGUCAUAAAUAAAUUAAGACAACUCCUAUGGCUCCUGCCGGUUGUCAUACUCAUCGACAUGCAAGUCGUGAUUCCUAUUACAAGAACAUGAUCAAUCUCAUACAUCACAUAUAUCAUUCAUCACAUCCUUUUGGCCAUAUCACAUCACAUAGCAUACCCUGCAAAAACAAGUUAGACGUCCUCUAAUUGUUGUUUGCAUGUUUUACGUGGCUGCUAUGGGUUUCUAGCAAGAACGUUUCUUACCUACGCAAAACCACAACGUGAUAUGCCAAUUGCUAUUUACCCUUCAUAAGGACCUUUUUCAUCGAAUCCGAUCCGACUAAAGUGGGAGAGACAGACACCCGCUAGCCACCUUAUGCAACUAGUGCAUGUCUGUCGGUGCAACCUGUCUCACGUAAGAGUACGUGUAAGGUCGGUCCGGGCCGCUUCAUCCCACAAUACCAUCGAAUCAAGAUAAGACUAGUAGCGGCAAGCAUAUUGAACAAAAUCAACGCCCACAACUUCUUUGUUCUCUACUCGUGCAUAGAAUCUACACAUAGACCUAGCUCAUGAUGCCACUGUUGGGUAACGUAGCAAUAAUUCAAAAAAUUUCCUACGUGUCACCAAGAUCAAUCUAUGGAGUCAUCUAGCAACAAGGGAGGAGUGGAUCUACAUACCCUUGUAGAUCGUGGGCGGAAGCGUUCAAGAGAACGGGGUUGAUGGAGUCGUACUCGUCGUGAUCCAAAUCACCGAUGAUCCUAGCGCCGAACGGACGGCACCUCCGCGUUCAACACACGUACGGAGCUGCGACGUCUCCUCCUUCUUGAUCCAGCAAGGGGGGAGGAGAGGUUGAUGAAGACUCCAUCCAGCAGCAGCACAACGGCGUGGUGGUGGUGGAGGAGUGUGGCAAUCCUGCAGGGCUUCGCCAAGCACCACGGGAGAGGAGAAGGACUUGGGAGAGGGAGAAGGAUUGCACCAAAGGCAAAGGUAUGGCUGCCCUCCCACCCCCCACAUAUAUAUAGGGGCAAGGGAGAGGGGGGAGGCGCAGCCUUGGCCCUUCCUCCAAGGAAGGGUGCGGCUAGGAGGAGUCCCUCCUCCCCAAGGCACCUCGGAGGUGCCUUCCCCCUUUAGGACUCUUCCUUUCCUUAUCCUUUGGCGCAUGGGCCUCUUGGGGCUGGUUCCCUUGGCCCAUAUAGGCCAAGGUGCACACCGCUACAGCCCAUGUGGCCCCCCGGGGCAGGUGGCCCCACCCGGUGGACCCCCGGGCCCCUUCCGGUGGUCCCGGUACAAUACCGAUGACCCCGAAACUUGUCUCGAUGGCCGAAACAGGAUUUCCUAUAUAUAAAUCUUUACCUCAGGACCAUUCCGGAACUCCUCGUGACGUCCGGGAUCUCAUCCGGGACUCCGAACAACAUUCGGUAACCACAUACAAACUUCCUUUAUAACCCUAGCGUCAUCGAACCUUAAGUGUGUAGACCCUACGGGUUCGGGAACCAUGCAGACAUGACCGAGACGACUCUCCGGUCAAUAACCAACAGCGGGAUCUGGAUACCCAUGUUGGCUCCCACAUGUUCCACGAUGAUCUCAUCGGAUGAACCACGAUGUCAAGGACUUAAUCAAUCCCGUAUACAAUUCCCUUUGUCUAUCGGUACGACACUUGCCCGAGAUUCGAUCGUCGGUAUCCCGAUACCUUGUUCAAUCUCGUUACCGGCAAGUCUCUUUUACUCGUUCCGUAACGCAUCAUCCCGUGAUCAACUCCUUGAUCACACUGUGCACAUUAUGAUGUCCUACCGAGUGGGCCCAGAGAUACCUCUCCGCUUACACGGAGUGACAAAUCCCAGUCUCGAUUCGUGCCAACCCAACAGACACUUUCGGAGAUACCCAUAGUGCACCUUUAUAGUCACCCAGUUACGUUGUGACGUUUGGUACACCCAAAGCACUCCUACGGUAUCCGGGAGUUGCACAAUCUCAUGGUCUAAGGAAAUGAUACUUGACAUUAGAAAAGCUUUAGCAUACGAACUACAUGAUCUUUGUGCUAGGCUUAGGAUUGGGUCUUGUCCAUCACAUCAUUCUCCUAAUGAUGUGAUCCCGUUAUCAAUGACAUCCAAUGUCCAUGGUCAGGAAACCGUAACCAUCUAUUGAUCAACGAGCUAGUCAACUAGAGGCUUACUAGGGACAUGGUGUUAUCUAUGUAUCCACACAUGUAUGUGAGUUUCCUAUCAAUACAAUUAUAGCAUGGAUAAUAAACGAUUAUCAUGAACAAGGAAAUAUAAUAAUAACUAAUUUACUAUUGCCUCUAGGGCAUAUUUCCAACAAAAACUUGCAUCGACGUAACUUUUUACGACGAACCUUUUGUCACCUCCAUAAUCGAGAAAUAUUUCCUUAUUCCACUAAGGAUAAUUUUGACCAAUGUCCAGUGAUCUACUCUUAGAUCACUAUUGUACUCCCUUGCUUAACACAGUGUAGGGUAUACAAUAGAUCUGGUACACAUCAUGGCAUACUUUAUAGAACCUAAGGCUGAGGCAUAGGGAAUGACUUUCAUUCUCUUUCUAUCUUCUGCCGUGGUCGGGCUUUGAGUCUUACUCAAUUUCAUACCUUGUAACACAGCCGAGAACUCUUUCUUUGACUGUUCCAUUUUUGAACUACUUCAAAAUAUUGUCAAGGUAUGUACUCAUUGAAAAAACUUAUCAAGCGUCUUGAUCUAUCUCUAUAGAUUUUGAUGCUUAAUAUGUAAGCAGCUUCACCGAGGUCUUUCUUUGAAAAACUUCUUUAAGAACACUCCUUUAUGCUUUGCAGAUUAAUUCUACAUUAUUUCCGAUCAACAAUAUGCCAUUCACAUAUACUUAUCAGAAAUGCUGUAGUGCUCCCACUCACUUUCUUGUAAAUACAGGCUUCAUCGCAAGUCUGUAUAAAACUACAUGCUUUGAUCAACUUAUCAAAGCGUAUAUUCCAACUCCGAGAUGCUUGCACCAGUCCAUAGAUGGAUCGCUGGAGCUUGCAUAUUUUUUUAGCACCUUUAGGAUUGACAAAACCUUCUGGUUGUAUCAUAGAGAACUCUUCUUUAAUAAAUCUAUUAAGGAAUGUAGUUUUGUUUAUUCAUUUGCUAGAUUUCAUAAAAUGCGGCAAUUGCUAACAUGAUUCGGAUAGACUUAAGCAUAGAUACGAGUGAGAAACUCUCAUCGUAGUCAACACCUUGAACUUGUCGAAAACCUUUUGCAACAAUUCUGGCUUUGUAGAUAGUAACACUACUAUCAGUGUCCGUCUUCCUCUUGAAGAUCCAUUUAUUCUCAAUUGCUUGCCGAUCAUCGGGCAAGUCAACCAAAGUCCAUACUUUGUUCUCAUACAUGGAUCCCAUCUCAGAUUUCAUGGCCUCAAGCCAUUUCGCGGAAUCUAGGCUCAUCAUCGCUUCCUCAUAGUUCGCAAGUUCGUCAUGGUCUAGUAACAUGACUUCCAUAACAGGAUUACCGUACCACUCUGGUGCGGAUCUCACUAUGGUUUACCUACGAGAUUCGGUAGUAACUUGAUCUGAAGUUACAUGAUCAUCAUCAUUAGCUUCCUCACUAAUUGGUGUAGUAGUCACAAGAACAGAUUUUUGUGAUGAACUACUUUCCAAUAAGGGAGAAGGUACAAUUACCUUAUCAAGUUUUCUACUUUCCUCCCACUCACUUCUUUCGAGAGAAACUCCUUCUCUAGAAAGGAUCCAUUCUUAGCAACGAAUGUCUUGCCUUCGGAUCUGUGAUAGAAGGUGUACCCAAUAGUCUCCUUUGGGUAUCUUAUGAAGACAUAUUUCUCCGAUUUGGGUUUGAGCUUAUCAGGAUGAAACUUUUUCAUAUAAGCAUCACAAUCCCAAACUUUAAGAAACGACAACUUUGGUUUCUUGCCAAACCACAGUUCAGAUUGUGUCGUCUCAACGGACUUAGAUGGUGCCCUUUUAAAUGUGAAUGCAGCUGUCUUUAAUGCAUAACCCCAAAACGAUAGUGGUAGAUCGGUAAGGGACAUCAUAGAUUGCACUAUAUCCAAUAAAGUACGGUUAUGACGAUCGGACACACCAUUAUGUUGUGGUGUUCCAGGUGGCAUGAGUUUGUGAAACUAUUCCACAAUGUUUUAAUUGAAGACCAAACUCGUAACUCAAAUAUUUGUCUCCGCGAUCAGAUCGUAGAAACCUUUUCUUUUCUUGUCACGAUGAUUUUCCACUUCACCCUGAAAUUAUUUGAACUUUUCAAAUGUUUCAGACUUAUGUUUCAUCAAGUAGAUAUACUCAUAUCUGCUCAAAUCAUCUGUGAAGAUCAGAAAAUAAUGAUACCUGUCGCGAGCCUCAAUAUUCAUCGGACCACAUACAUCAGUAUGUAUGAUUUCCAACAAAUCUGUUGCUCGCUCCAUUGUUCCGAAGAACGGAGUCUUGGUCAUCUUGCCCAUGAGGCAUGGUUCGCAAGCAUCAACUGAUUCAUAAUCAAGUGAUUCCAAAAGCCCAUCAAUAUGGAGUUUCUUCAUGCGCUUUACACCAAUAUGACCUAAACGGCAGUGCUACAAAUAAGUUGCACUAUCAUUAUUAACUUUGCAUCUUUUGGUUUCAAUAUUAUGAUUAUGUGUAUCACUACGAUCGAGAUCCAACGAACUAUUUUCAUUGGGUGUGUAACCAUAUAAGGUUUUGUUCAUGUAAACAGAACAACAAUCUAUUCUCUUAUUUAAAUGAAUAACCGUAUUACAAUAAACAUGAUCAAAUCAUAUUCAUGCUUAACGCAAACACCAAAUAACACUUAUUCAGGUUCAACACUAAUCCCGAAAGUAUAGGGAGUGUGCGAUGAUGAUCAUAUCAAUCUUGGAACCACUUCCAACACACAUCGUCACUUUACCCUUAACUAGUCUCUGUUUAUUCUGCAACUCCCGUUUCGAGUUACUAAUCUUAGCAACUGAACUAGUAUCAAAUACUGAGGGGUUGCUAUAAACACUAGUAAAGUACACAUCAAUAACAUGUAUAUCAAAUAUACUUAUGUUCACUUUGCCAUCCUUCUUAUCUGCCAAUCACUUGGGGUAGUUCCGCUUCCUGUGACCAGUCCCUUUGCAGUAGAAACACUUAGUCUCAGGCUUAGGACUAGACUUGGGCUUCUUCACUUGAGCAGCAACUUGCUUGCUGUUCUUCUUGAAGUUCCCCUUCUUCCCUAUGCCCUUUUCUUGAAACUAGUGGUCUUUUCUACCAUCAACACUUGAUGUUUUUCUCGAUUUCUACCUUCGUCAAUUUCCGCAUUAUGAAGAGCUUGGGAAUCGUUUCCGUUAUCCCUUGCAUACCAUAGUUCAUCACAAAGUUCUACUAACUUGGUGAUGGUGACUAGAGAAUUCUGUCAAUCACUAUCUUAUCUGGAAGAUUAACUCCCACUUGAUUCUAGCGAUUGUUGUACUCAGACAAUCUGGGCACAUGCUCACUAGUUGAGCGAUUCUCCUCCAUCUUUUAGCUAUAGAACUUGUUGGAGACUUUCAUAUCUCUCAACUUGGGUAUUUGCUUGAAAUAUUAACUUUAACUCCCGGAACAUCUCAUAUGCUCCAUGACGUUCAAAAACGUCUUUGAAGUCCCGAUUCUAAGCCAUUAAGCAUGGUGCACUAAACUAUCAAGUAGUCAUCAUAUUGAGCUAGCCAAACGUUCAUAACGUCUGCAUCUGCUCCUGCAAUAGGUUUGUCACCUAGCGGUGCAUCAAGGACAUAAUUCUUCUGUGCAGCAAUGAGGAUAAACCUCAGAUCAUGGAUCCAAUCCGCAUCAUUGCUACUAACAUCUUUCAACACAAUUUUCUCUAGGAACAUAUCAAAAUAAACACAGGGAAGCAACAACGCGAGCUAUUGAUCUAUAACAUAAUUUGCAAAAUACUACCAGGACUAAGUUCAUGAUAAAUUUAAGUUCAGUUUAAUCAUAUUACUUAAGAACUCCCACUUAGAUAGACAUCCCUCUAAUCCUCUAAGUGAUUACGUGAUCCAAAUCAACUAAACCAUGUCCGAUCAUCACGUGAGAUGGAGUAGUUUCAUUGGUGAACAUCACUAUGUUGAUCAUAUCUACUAUAUGAUUCACGCUCGACCUUUUGGUCUCCGUGUUCCGAGGCCAUAUCUGUAUAUGCUUGGCUUGUCAAGUAUAACCUGAGUAUUCCGCGUGUGCAACUGUUUUGCACCCGUUGUAUUUGAACGUAGAGCCUAUCACACCCGAUCAUCACGUGGUGUCUCAGCACGAAGAACUUUCGCAACGGUGCAUACUUAGGGAGAACACUUCUUGAUAAUUAGUGAGAGAUCAUCUUAUAAUGCUACCGUCAAUCUAAGCAAGAUAAGAUGCAUAAAAGUUCAACAUCACAUGCAAUCAAUAUAAGUGAUAUGAUAUGGCCAUCAUCAUCUUGUGCUUGUGAUCUCCAUCUCCGAAGCACCGUCGUGAUCACCAUCGUUACCCGCGUGACACCUUGAUCUCCAUCGUAGCAUCGUUGUCGUCUCGCCAAGCUUGUGCUUCCACGACUAUGGCUACCGUUUAGUGAUAAAGUGAAGCAUUACAUCGCGAUUGCAUUGCAUACAAUAAAGCGACAACCAUAUGGCUCUUGCCAGUUGCCGAUAACUCGGUUACAAAACAUGAUCAUCUCAUACAAUAAAAUUCAGCAACAUGUCUUAACCAUAUCACAUCACAACAUGCCCUGCAAAAACAAGUUAGACGUCCUCUACUUUGUUGUUGCAAGUUUUACGUGGCUGCUACGGGGUUAAGCAAGAAGUAAUCUUACCUACGCAUCAAAACCACAACGAUAGUUUGUCAAGUUGGUGCUGUUUUAACCUUCGCAAGGACCGGGCGUAGCCACACUCGAUUCAACUAAAGUUGGAGAAACUGUCACCCGCAAGCCACCUAUGUGCAAAGCAUGUCGGGAGAACCGGUCUCGCGUAAGCGUACGCGUAAUGUCGGUCCGGGCCGCUUCGUCCAACAAUACCGCCGAACCAAAGUAUGACAUGCUGGUAAGAAGUAUGACUUAUAUCGCCCACAAAUCACUUGUGUUCUACUCGUGCAUAUAACAUCAACAUAUAAAACCUAGGCUCUGAUACCACUGUUGGGGAACGUAGUAAUUUCAAAAUUUUCCUACGCACACGCAAGAUCAUGGUGAUGCAUAGCAACGAGAGGGGAGAGUGUGAUCUACAUACCUAGUAGAUAGACAACAGAAGCGUUUGGUUAAUGUAGUCGUAUGUCUUCACGGCCCGACCGAUCAAGCACCGAAACUAUGGCACCUCCGAGUUUUAGCACACGUUCAGCUCGAUGACGAUCCCCGGACUCUGAUCCAGCAAAGUGUUGGGGAAGAGUUCCGUCAGCACGACGGCGUGGUGAUGAUCUUGAUGUACUACUGCAGCAGGGCUUCGCCUAAACUCCGCUACAAUAUUAUCGAGGACUAUGGUGGAAGGGGGCACCGCACACGGCUAAGAAUAUGAUCACGUGGAUCAACUUGUGUGUCUCUAGGGUGCCUCUGCCUCAGUAUAUAAAGGACCAAAGGGGGGAGGCCGGCCGGCCACAUAGGGCGCGCCAGGAGAGUCCUACUCCCUCUGGGAGUAGGAUUCCCCUCCCCCCCCAAUCCUAGUUGGAAUAGGACUCGCGGAGGGGGGGAAAGAGAGAGAGAGGGGCCGGCCCCUCUCCUUGUCCAAUUCGGACCAAGGGAGGGGAGGGGCGCGUGGCCCACUAUGGGCUGCCUCUUCUCUUUUCCACCAAGGCCCAUUAAGGCCCAUCUAGCUCCCCGGGGGGUUCCGGUAACCUCCCGGUACUCCGGUAAAAUCCUGAUUUCACCCGGAACACUUUUGAUAUCCAAACAUAGGCUUCCAAUAUAUCAAUCUUUAUGUCUCGACCAUUUCGAGACUCCUCAUCAAGUCCGUGAUUUCAUCCGGGACUCCGAACAACCUUCGGUACAUCGAAAUGCAUAAACUCAUAAUAUAACUGUCAUCGUAACCUUAAGCGUGCGGACCCUACGGGCUCGAGAACAAUGUAGACAUGACCGAGACAUGUCUCCGGUCAAUAACCAACUGCGGGACCUGGAUUCCCAUAUUGGCUCCUACAUAUUCUACGAAGAUCUUUAUCGGUCAGACCGCAUAACAACAUACGUUGUUCGCUUUGUCAUCGGUAUGUUACUUGCCCAAGAUUCGAUCGUCGGUAUUCCAAUACCUAGUUCAAUCUCGUUACCGGCAAGUCUCUUUACUCGUUCUGUAAUACAUCAUCCCGCAACUAACUCAUUAGUUGCGAUGCUUGCAAGGCUUUAUGUGAUGUGCAUUACCGAGAGGGCCCAGAGAUACCUCUCCGACAAUCGGAGUGACAAAUCCUAAUCUCGAAAUCCCAACAUGUACCUUUGGAGACACCUGUAGAGCUCCUUUAUAAUCACCCAGUUACGUUGUGACGUUUGGUAGCACACAAAGUGUUCCUCCGGCAAACGGGAGUUGCAUAAUCUCAUAGUCAUAGGAACAUGUAUAAGUCAUGAAGAAAGCAAUAGCAACAUACUAAACGAUCGGGUGCUAAGCUAAUGGAAUGGGUCAUGUCAAUCACAUCAUUCUCCUAAUGAUGUGAUCCCAUUAAUCAAAUAACAACUCUUUUGUUUAUGGUUAGGAAACAUAACCAUCUUCGAUUAACGAGCUAGUCAAGUAGAGGCAUACUAGUGACACUCUGUUUGUCUAUGUAUUCACACAUGUAUUAUGUUUUCGGUUAAUACAAUUCUAGCAUGAAUAAUAAACAUUUAUCAUGAUAUAAGGAAAUAAAUAAUAACUUUAUUAUUGCCUCUAGGGCAUAUUUCCUUCAGGAGUAUAUUGCAUUGCAUUGCAUGCAUGCUAUAGGCCCUCAUGCGUACGUAGAGAUGGAAGGAGAGCACACGAUAUCUACCCUUAAUGCCGGCAACUAGUUUGGCGUGGAUCCACCAACCCUAAGCCGUAGACUGUGCAUGUGCCUCGUGUGGACAGCCCCAUGCUGUUCUAUCUCGUCCUAUGAUACAUAGAAGCUUGACAAUACUUGUGAGCGAGUGAAGUGCGGUGAGCAUGUUUCAUGCAUCACAUGUGUGACAUGCACAUCGACACCAAGAGUCGGGAGUUAAGGAGAUAUUUGUCCAAUUGAUCCCAUAUGCUAAAGAUGAGAAGGUUAAUUAGCCGCACGAACGAAAUGCAGUGUAACUACUUGCCUAGUUAAAUGAACUAGUCAUCAACCCGUGCGCCCGCACGGUCUAGUGAUUUUCGAAACACGAAUGUACAAUACUCUAUACUAUACUAUGAGUUCGAAAUAUAUUAGAACUUGGACUGGAAUCUUCAAUAUGUCCCAACUAAUCAUUAUACGCCAUAUAUAGAAAUAUGAUUGACACUAUGAGACGAUACAAUUGGAAUUAUAAUAUGGAUUUUGAAGAAACGCUUAGAAGGAACCACAUACCCAGUAGAGAAAAAUGAGCAUCACAUUUAGAGGUCAUGGGAAUUAGAACCUAGUUAGAUUGAUUAUUAUGGAAGGAAUAAAAUUUAGGGAAUAUAUGUAAUAACCUAGUUAGACAUAUAUUACCUAAGAAGGAAAAAUGGAAUCAUGAUUGGUUAUUACAUAUGAGGAAUGUAUAUACUUCUCUUCAACUUGAAGGACUUGGAUAAGUCAAAUCAUUAUCAUGCUACUGCACAUUUGUUAUGAUUAUUAGGUCCAAAAUUAUUAGAAUAUACUAAAAGUUAGGUGCACGCUUUCAUCGACCUAAAAGCAGAAUGAAGUACCACGAACGAAAUGUCUCUAAAACCCCCGUCGGAAUCCUGUUUUCGACCAAAAUUUAGCUCUCUCUAAGUUAUGUUUUUUAUAAGUUAACACAUGCAUGAUUGAUCAAUCUCACCCACAACGUAUUCUGCACAUCGCAACUACCUUCCCACACCUGAAAGGAAUAUCAUUGCAAUAUUCAUGCUCCUAAAACCCUUAGUAGCAAAGUAUUGGAAAAUUAGAGAAAUUAACAACAUAAAAACUAAUGCGAGAAGCAGAUGCUUCCAUAACAUGAUUUCUUUUCUUGAUUGCGAAGUUCUGAUAUGCUGACAUCUUCACAUUGUAGUAGAUUUGCACUAUUUCAAUACUUAAACAAAUUUAGAUUAAAAAAAUGUACCUCAUGAGAUACCUAAUAUGUGAUACUCAUUUCUGUUGUGGUACCUAAUAUGUGAUACUCAUUUCUGUUGUGGUACCUAAUAUGUGAUACUCAUUCUUCUCUAACAUCAUUAAUGCCUAAAGUGGGCGUGGUUGAAAUUAUAAAGGAUUUCAAAUCCUGAGUAGCGAAUUAUAAUCUUGCGUAAUCUUAUUUUUCUGAUAAGUCAUUAUUUGUUGGCUACAACUAACAAAUGAUUAAAGAAACAAUUGUCUUGCAAACUAUUAACUAAGCACUCUUGUUAAUAGGGCGGGAGAAUGUACUAAAUCAUGUCAGGUUGUUUCUCACACAAAGUGACACACCGUGCAGCCCACAAAAGUUGCACAUGUAGAGCAAAGUAUGGCUAAAACGAAAAGGAGCAGAUACUUGGAACUUGAGCUGAUUUUUGCCCAAACUUCCUGUUGUACUGUUUGAUCAGAAUUUUUUCUCUCAUUGUGUAGAUGCCUCACUGCAGCCCAUGAUUGCCACAACCAUGCCUUUUUCUCCUUGAGACAGGGGCAACAGGUUAUUGAUGACCAAUGGACGGGCGUCCCCAAGAUCAAAACCGUCAAACAUCAAAGGACUACGUUUGUACCUGAGAAGGAGAAACACUCUUACCCAUCUGAUUGAAAAGCUGCGAGCAGGCACUUACCAUAAAACACCAAAGAAGUACGUUUAUACCUGAGAAGGAGCCGAGUACAGAUCUCAGGCAACCCUACAGUUCAUGGUUGCAUCAGCUACGUGUUAGAGAUGAAGCAAACUUUAGUUGGCGUGGCACACAAUCCACACAACACUGAUGCCAUGGUUCUCCAUCAGCCUAGGCAGCAGUGCAGUUGAUGGUUGCAUGAAGUUCGUGUUGGAGACAAAGCAAAUUAAAUUGACUGUGGCACACAAUCUAGACAACAGGGAGAUGUCCUGGCCAUCCAUCGGCCGGUUGGAACUCGAUCGUCGCCGCUAGAUUGGGGGAAGGUUUUUGUUUUUUGUCUUUUUAGAGAAUAUAAUAGAAGCAUAUCAAGAAGUCAAUAUAGUGGGGACACCCAUGUUCAGAACGCCUUAUAACUGGGUCGGUUGAAUCCUGCAUCAUACAUAACGAAGCAUAAAUUUUAGAAGGGCACUAUUCGUUUGAAACUUGUAUCUAAUUCAAGUUCUGUAGUCAGAACAAAAACAACACAACAAAAAGCAAAAUAAAUAUUACAUACCUACUAGUUUGUCUUCUCUUUCGAUUCAAUGCGGCGAUCUAUUUUCAAUCAAUGUUCUUGUAGAUUUUUUUUACUUGGCCUAAUGACCUAUACCAUAUGAAAUUGCCUGAGGCAGUGGAAACCUCCUAAAUUUAUCUCCUGGAUCGUGACACAAAUCCUAUUUUUUUACUUGAGAAACAAAGUACCAACCACUGAUUUGGUUUGUUAGAGAUGGAGGUAAUAGUAACAGUUAGCACUUGCUGCAUAAUAUAUACAAAAAUAAGAAAACAUGAAGAUGAAAAAACAUGGCAUUUUUAUUUUCCACACAGAGCUACUUCUUAACAGUGUUGAGGAGGUGAACGGACCAUGAUGUUAACUUGAGCAUCUUUUUAGAUCUCCCGUCAUUCUUCAAAUAGAUACUGCUAAGGUGUCAUCUUCUUGACUUCUUGAACGCAUAAACAUUCCAUGUCUGCAAAUAACAUAUAAAUAGGCUUGCAGACGACACUAUAGAUAAAUAAAAAUCACCAGAAUAGAGUAUUGUUUGUGCUUCUAUGAUGGACCUGGCCUAUAGGAUAAUUACAGAAGCAUAAAAUUGUAAGUAUAGAUCCAAAUCGAACCUGUAGUUUUUCCCAAUAAGAAGCAUAGAGGAGUAGACCAAAGAAAGUCCAAAACAACUCAUCCAGUUUCUAAGAACAUAAGAAGAUGUGCUUGAGUUUGUUGUGCGAAAGUACAGCCACAUCUUCAAUGAAUGGAAUCCCUUAACUGGAUUGUAUGACACCUCAGCCAAGAUGAACCGCAGGUCUGCAGCCUUCUUGUGGCAGUUGAAAUUUCUGCAGUAAGAGACUCAUUAAAUCGCUUUACUUGAAGACCGUAGAUAGGAAGCAGGGGGCAACCUAGAAGAGCAGCGCUAGGGAUAUGUGGAAACAUCUUUGACAAACUGAAUCCCCUAAUUGGAUUGUAUGGCUUCUACAAAUAUUGUCCAUCCUAGUUAUACGUAUUUAGAUAAGUCUGUAACUAAGCGCACAUCAUCAAAAUCCUCCAAAACAAACUCUAAUGGUGUACUUGUUCUUUGAGAUCAAGUCGCACUACAUAAAAAUUCCUAAUAACAAAAACCUACUGGAUCGUUGCUAGCUCCUUAAUUACCUGCAAUCAGUCUACCAUAGUUCUUCGACUUGUAGCUUCCCCAACAAUGGCAUAUGUCCGAUCAGACUUAGGUAGCGCCUCCUUCUCAACAACAUCGUUUAUCAUGGGUUGCGGUUUGGUUGGGGCAUUGCAUCUGUGGAGAUUGAAAGGGCCUUCUCUUUGUCCAAGACGGACCACAGAUCUGCAGCGUGGUUGGGAGAGUUCAGAUUUCUACGUGAAGAUGAAGAGGAUCAAAAGGAUCUCACGAAAUCGUUUUGCAUUAAGACAGCAAAAGAUAGGAAGGAGUAGGACGACCUGGAAGAGCAGCGCUAGGGAUUUGUGGAUGAUGCGCAAGUGCCUCACAUGAUAGAUCGGGGGAGGAAGAAUUUGGCCAAGGAGAUGAUUAUUUUCACAUUACAUGGAGCAUGACGUGGGAUGGAUUUGCGCUAGGGAUUUGUGGAUGAUGCGCAAGUGCCUCACAUGAUAGAUCGGGGGAGGAAGAAUUUGGCCAGGGAGAUGAUUUUUUUCACAUUACAUGGAGCAUGACGUGGGAUGGAUUUGGCCAAGGAGAUGAUUUUUUUUUCACAUUACAUGGAGCAUGAUGUGGGAUAGUAACCCAGGACUCUUGAGUUGUCCAAUGGACGGCUACAGAUACUUAAUAUGGAGAUCAGAUGGAUAAUAUUCUUAGUUUUUGAGGAUUAACGUGGUCGCUUAUUUGGUGCUUCUAAUUAGUAAAUAUAAGAUUGAGUCUAUCAUGCAAACUACUAAGUAAUUAAAAGAAUGACAAGUACUACAAUUUCUUUGGUGAUAUAUUAAUUUUCAAAAUAAACAAAGUACAUAUAUACAUCCUGAUGGGACCGUGGAAAUCUUGAGAAGACAGAGACGCCAGUUGAAAGUUUGUCUGAAUCGCAGUGGUGGACAUAAGCUUGGCAAUGGAGCCCUGAUCAGGAUGGCCUUGCUUGGUACCUUAUGCGAUUUUCCUCACCAUUGCUUGUGCGCCCACCGCUCUGGCGUUUCAAGGUCUUGCGGGGGUGCCCUUUUGGCUUCGGUUGCCGCACACCACUGAGAAUCUCGCGACCGGGGUGAUGUUCUCGUGGCAUGCCUUAACCAUAUCUAGGGUUCUCGCCAUCCUCUCAAGACAUGUGUCAUCAUCGAGCAACCGUAUGUUCUUUUCACAGGCUUUCUCCCCCCUCAAGUACAUCUAUCAUUCGCGGCACACCUUUGACCAAUCUGUGGUGUAGAUGACUUGGGUCCAGCUCCUUAACCUACUUUGUGUCAGGCACUUCAUCUGCUCAUGUGUCCGGAUCCACCUUAUCCUAUAGUCUUGGCAUCACCAUCCACAAAGAAUCAAGGUCGCAUAUUCCCGACGUAAAUGACGUGGGCCCGUCUCCUUACCCUUCCGUGUUGGAACUGCAUGUGCCCAUGCUUCGGUCCAUGGUAUCUUUCAGGUUCUCUUGUAACCAUCCACAAAAAAUCAUGGUUGCAUAUGUAGCGGUACGCCAUGUAUUCCUCGGCCUCUACAAGGAAAUAAUAUCUCCCCUUCACAUUUAAGUUGAGAGAUAUUACCCACCUACACCAUUUUGAUAAAAUGCUUCAAGGAAAUAACCUACAUACGCCUAUGAAAAAGGUUUGAUCUCUAUUAUGCCUAACGCUACCAACCCACCGAUCCAAACUUUGCACCCUAGGCCUUCUCCCAUUUCCCGUGAUUGACCAAAUCAAAUCAGGUUGUGUAUCCCCUACUGCCGCUUGCGUUGCGCCCCUAACCCUCUAUCCAUAGACGCCACAUCUGCAUACUCACAUACAAGCAGUAAUAAGCCAUGUGUACUGCCUUUGAGAAGCUCUCCUUGCCGCCUCAAAGGUGCAUCCCUACCGAUGAUCGCCUUGCUGUGUUAUUUGAUUAAACUCCAAGCUCCCAACCUGAUAUUCAUGUUUCAUGUCGAAAGUAUCACACCCACAUUUGGACAUAGGUAGUAUGCUCGUGUGGUGAAUUUUGUGGAUAUAGGUAGUAUACUCGUGUGGUGAGUUUUGUGGAAUAUCUAAUCUAUACUUUGCAUCUACCAAAAGGAUCGCUCCCCUCACAUGCAAAUAUAAUUGAGGCCAAUGGCUUUCUUCUCCCCUCAGAUCACAAGACAAGAGCAGACCAUCUAAACAGGCGGAUCGGACCUUCACCUUGGUAGGGAGGUGAGUGCUACCUGUUGCCGUGUCGUCCUCGAGCUCGGGGUGGCCAUCCUCCUCCUCCUCGAGCAGGACAAGGUUGUUCGUCCCCUACAGUCCAAUGGUCAUAUUCUCCAAGGACAUAUACAAGGGCAGAGCACAACAUUGAUGCAAGUGCCACCAAGAUAGUUUCAGUCAAAGUUAAAGCAACGGUACACAUGCAAACUGAACCAAACCGAGGUGCAUAUUCAUAUGUGUGUGUAUGUAGAGAUGCCAGUGCCAUCUGAAUUUUGGGGAACCAAAGCAUGGCUGUUGUUGUUGCUACUUUAGCAGCAACAGCAUACUCAAAGUGAAACGAGCAGCAAGUUGUUUUAUAAGCAGUGCAUACUAGUAAUUAGCUAGGACCAUUAUUAUUGCACAACCAUUCGAGGACGGUUGCAGACACAUCUAUCUCAAGGCUCUACUUGAGAAACAAAAGCAUAAGAUAUGUGAUGCUAUCAACCUUAGCACAAGAAGAAGAAAAACCACAGCCUCUCCGAUAGAAUGGAUGGAUGCAUCAUACACAAUCAUCGAUUAUAAGUGGACUAGUAUUUCUUUGCUAUUUGAGUUAAUGGUGUAUAUCUACUGAUUAAACAAGGGAUUGUCUAUUUGUCAUUCAACUGAAAUCAGUUGGACAUUAUUCAAAUUUCUUGACCAAUAAAAAAAUGAUACUUCUAUGUCCUUUUUCCUUCUUUCCUGCAUGUCAAUGACCCAAAACAUGCAACAGGCCUGACCUGCAAUAAUGAGUUUUGCACUGUAGAUGAACUGCAUAGAACCCGGUUUCGUAAGGCUGCGCUGGACCACAUAACAAUUCGACAAAAGGUCUAAAGAGAGACACUGAAAUAUUCUUUCUAUUCCACAGCACAAACAUGUCACUUUGUUUAUAAGGACCAGAGAAGUAUCAUAAACCACAUGAUCUAGCAUGUACACUGACAAAAAAUAGCAAUUCUAAAGCACAAGGGCCUAGGGUCAAAGGAAACUGAAAAUUACGGUUACCAAGCUGCUCAAAUUACAUAGUAGAAAAUUAUGUGCUCAUCAAAGUUUCUUACGCAAGGGUAGAAUCAAUCGACAGUAUAACAGUAACUUGUAGAGAAAAAAGACAAACCCGAAAGGUAUGAAGUGAUACUUUAAAUUCACUAAAUAUAUAGUAUGAUUGCUCUAAAGUGCACACUGUAAUUACACUUAAAUUACUCUACUGUAAACCCGUUGAAAUUACAGUGUAAAUUACACUAAAAGUUGCACACGAAUUACAAUGUAAUUUCCGUAAAUUUACAUAGUAAAUUACACUGAAUUUACACUAUAAUUUCCAUUGCACUUAAAUUACACAGUAAAAUGCACGGGAAUUCACAUAAACUAACAUUGUAAUUCUCUGAACUUACAGUGCAAGAACCUUGAAAUUACACUGUAAUAACCAUGAAAUUGCAUUGUUAAAUGUCCCCCGAAAUAUAGUGGAACUGACACUGAAAUGCCCUAAAUUAACGUCACUGAGUGCUGCAACACAAUACUUCAAUCCUAAAUGUGCAGAGCACGUCAUACCCAUGUAUGCACUCCUAAAGUCUAGCAGCCAACUGAGCUAACUAAUCUAAUCAACCCUAAACAACAGCCAAUCAAGGGAUUGACCUCAAACUGCAGCAACCCCUAACUUGCCAUGUAUCACCCAUGGGUGGAUGAAUCUGAAACAAAGCAUGGUGCAACUCAAAGUAGAGGAGGGGGGAGGGCAGAGGUAGU